AUAAAUGGGAAUUCAUUAAGUGCCCCUAAUUCCUGCAAUAACUCCUCUAUAUAUAUGAUCACCGUCAUGCCCAAUACUGGCAUCCAUCGACUAGAAAAACAACACUAGCUGCCCAGAAGAAGAGGAGUUUGCAAGAUCCCAUUCACCAUGGCACGCCCAAGGAACAACACACAUAUUUUGUUCUUGGUUGUAGCUCUUCUGGUCAUGUCUACCGCCUUCCUGGCCUGUAAUGCAGACAGUAAGAACAUACAUUUCUCCUGUACAAUUUUCUUUUUGAAACAAGGCAAAUACUUUGCUUAUUAUAUUGAUAUAGUAGGAGCAAAGGACAACCCGGCCGAAGCCAAAAACAAAAAAAGAAAAAGAAUAUAUGCUUCCAUCAUCUUCUUCUUUAUAGAUCUGUUCUUUCUUUCCCUUGGUACAAAACUGACUGUUCAUCUCUGUUCGUGCCGCCGUGCAGUCGACCCACCUACUGCAAUCCCGAUCCCACUCCAAGGUGCUGCUGCAUCUAUUAAGCGCAGGAAAUAACAAUGCCACUGUAGUGGCAGAUGAUGGAUGACAAAGCUAGCAAACUCAUUUUUAUGUGUCUAUCUCGUCUCAUGUAAAAAUCGGAACAGAUCAUGGUCCAGUCCUGUCCGUGAAUAAAGAUUAGAAAAGUUUCUUAAAUAGCCGUGUUUGCAGCAUUAAUAAGUCAACAUCUGGUAAACACAAGGGGACGAAAUGUUUUGACUAAAGACGCGAAAUUUACUCUUCGGAAGCGCUAGCGAUCAGACUACUGAUAGCUGGCUUCCCACAGACUAGUGCUGCAUUGUCGGAUUGAAAUUGCCUGGAAUGUCUGAUUGGAGAUGUGGGCCUAGGUAUUUUGCAUGUGGUGUUUCCGUCAAUAACUCCCAGAAAAGCGUGUCAGUGCACUAACUGGUUUUUUAAUUUUUACUGCUUCCUCCGUGCUUCAAAAUCUGGACUAUGUGAAACCGGUGCAUGUGGCAAACUGGGUGCAUCUGAUACAUUCUAUUCGUCAGUUUUUUUAUAGGACGCACACCAUGUUCUAUUAACAGUGGAAGCAUAUCAUGUCAAAAAAAAAAAACAGUGGAAGCAUACCAAUUCAUUUUGCUUCUAACGGCUAGCAAAUUUGCAUCCAGCAUCCAUAUCAAUUGUAUAUUGUUUCAAUAUCGUGAUAUUUGUGUCCAGCAUGGAAAAUCAUUUUGCAUCGCCUAAGAGCAAUGGGAGUAUCGGACACCUUGCUUCCAACAUUACAAAUACAUGCUUCCAUCAAACAUAUUUUUCUACCAUUGUUGCAUACUCUUUCAAAUUAACUAAAUUGGAACUUGUCUUCCAAAGAAUCUGGUAUCUGCAUCCAAAUAAAAAGGAAAUUGCUUCCAAGGAAUUUGGAAUUUGCAUCCAAAGAAAUAGUAUUUGCUUCCAUAGUUCGGAAUCUGAAUCGAAAGAAUGCAGAAUUUUCUUUCGUACAACAAAUUGAUGUUUGCUUCCAGAGAUCUAUACUGUGCUUGCAAAUCAUUCUGAUACUAUUUUCAUAUACUAGAGAAUUGCUUACAUACAUAUAUAGAUUUCUUUCCAUUAAAGGAAAAAAAUUGUAUCAAAUAACAUGAAGAAUGUUACCAUGGUGAUGAGCAUGUAUCUCUGUUAAAUAUAGAAUUUCCUUCUAUGGUUGUCAGGAAGCUCCACACCAUCUACCGCGGUGACACAAACUGCAAUCAAAAGUGUAAGGACCUUGUCCCUUGCUGUCUUCAUGUGGACAGAUGUGAUGCUUCUUACUAGCUUCUUACAUGCUUGUGCUUCCUACAAUCAGAGUACAUAAUCAUGUGACGAAGUUAGCAAAAUUUGAUGAACAAACCCAAGAGAGAUGGAGAAGAACAUGUACAACUGCUUCAGAUAAUGGAAAUAUUUCUCGCAUUGGCGAUUGACACACUAACCUUCAACUCCGAUCAGGUGCUCUUCGAAGAGAGGAAUACCGGAGUCCACUGCCUUACUGUUUGGACUUUUGGUGCUACUCCGGCAUGGGAGGGUAACAUGUCGAAGCAUCAAUCAAGGAGGGGAAGGUGGGAUCGACCCUCUAAUGCACCUCACACCUGCAAUGUUGCCCUGGGGACACAUCAAUGGACAGGAGGAGUAGUGGAACGGAUCUGGCCACUGAGGUCGGGAGGAGCAGGGGAAAAAUCCGAGCAGGUGAUGGGCGGCGCAGUCGGAGAGGAGGAGAGCAGGGGAGUCGAUGGCGAGCUAGGAACGUCAUGCGAGGGGUCUCACGAGGGAUAAAUUGGCAAGUGAUUAACGGGAGGGGAUUAAGCGGCAGAUGCUGGUAGUUACAACGAGGCGCUGUGACUUUUUUUUUCAAAAACGGGCAAAGGGAUAAUAUUUUGGCCGUGGAAUUCACCUGGAAUAGACGGCGGUCCAUCGGUCUGAUGCACUGCUUCUAAUCAGACUACAGAUUAUAAGUGUUUCCGAAUGACAAACUGAGUCCCAUGUUUGCUGAUGGAAUUGUGUGGGCGCCAACUGUUGGGUUAGGGAUGAUGUGGCUGUAAAUGGAAUCAGUUUUUUUUUUUUGCUUAGAUGGCAUGGUUGCUCAUGUGGACAGCUGUAGCGAGCCGACCUCAGACGGUCAAGUCUCUGUGCUUAAGUGUCAUCCCUGGAUUGGUAUGCUGACACAUACAGUACUCGAGGAUUUAUGUGACGCCCGGAUAAUUAAGCUACAGUGAUCCCCGCUAAUGAUGUCAUGUCACCUCGGUUACUGUUGAUAAACCUUAGAUAAUUCAAAACCGAAACAAGUUCAAAAUUUAAUUACAGGAAAACAAUAAAAAUUUUCAAACAUUAAAAUUAAAAUGUUCUAAAGGUGGCAAAUAAUGCUUAGGUAAUUAUGGUGGAGGAGCACAUUUUUAUAAAAUAAUUUAAAAAUCACUAAACUAAAUAAAACAGUGGCUUAUACAAAUAAUUAAAUGUAUUUUAUAAAUAUUAAAACAUUAAACUAUUUUAUUCGGUAUGAGGAAUUAAUGUGGCAAUAGAGUAUUUAUAAAUACUAAUUUAGGGGCUAGUGGUAUAUUUUAUAAAACUAAAAAUAAAUAACACAAAAGAAACUACAAAAAACAGAAACAAACAAAAAAAUAAAGAAAAGAAAGAAAGAACGAGAAAGGAAACCCCCCCAAACCACCCUGGGCCAUCUGGCCCAGUUAACCCACCUGGCCCAUCCGGCCGGACCGGCCCGCCUCCCCCUGCCGCCUCCCUUCCCUGUUCCCCCGACCUGGGUCGGAACAGGGGCACGUCCCCGCCGCACCCUCUCGCCAGCGACGACGAGGGGAUAAGGUCGCCACGCCGUGCCCCCUCGGUCUCUCCUCCCACUCGCCCCACUCUCCCCUCGGUCCCCGCACCUUCCCCCUCAGAUCCACCGCACCUCGCCCCCUCGUUCCCCACCGUAACCGAGCGCCACCGCCGCCAUGGCUCCGGCCUAGCCACGGCCACCGUGCCCACCUCGCCGCCCCACGGUGUCUCCAAGGGACGCCGUCGUCCGCUGCUUCGAUUGGUGCAGCCCGUUGGAGACCGGAGCCACCGCAACGCCCCCGACGCCGCCGUCUUCCUCCUCUGCCCCGACAAGCUUCGCCGCCGUUCUUCUUCAUCUCCGGCGACGCCCCUGCAGCUACUAACCCAUUCACCGGCCAUCGUGUGUGCCGCUAGGUGAGCUGCCUCCCCCCUCUGCCCUCUACCUCCCCUAGCUCGCGCUCUAGCUAGCUGCCGCCGUCGCACCCGAACGCCCCGCCGCGGAUCUCGUCGCCGACGCAUUUCCGGUGACCAAAUGGUCACAGGGCCGAGCCCUUUGUGCUCAGCGCGUCGCGCAGCUCCGCCCUAGCCUCCCCGUUAGCCCCGGAGCGCUCUGCCUCGUCGUCUUCGCCUCACGCCCGAACCACCUCGCCGCCGUCGAGCCCGUGACGCUCGACUCCGGCCACCACAGCCUCCGCAGCAACCCCCAUUCGCUCCGCCGUCGUCUUGCCGUUCGAAUGCGACUGGUCCCGCCCAUUUUGGUGGCCUGCAGACGAAACCCGCCACUCACCCGAGCCCCGACGUCCGCCUCUCUGCUCGUCGGCGACAGCUCCGGCGACCUCGGGACGAACCACCACCACCACUAGAUGCGCGUCUUCGCGCUUGUUCGAACGGGCCCAGGCACGCGCGGAUUCGUGCCCUGUGCACAAAUUCCGGCAAACUCCGGCGGGUCGGCGCCGUGCUUUUGGUCGUCGCGGCGAGAGCCGGCCCUGCUGACCUGGCACCGCGGGUCCCACCACCUGGGCCACUGACUGGUGGGCCCAGGGCCCCCUGUUGACCUGUUGACUGGGUCAACUGCUGACUGGGCCGCCCCUAUCUCACUGACCUAUAGGCCCCACUUCAAUAAACGAAAUAAAUGAAAAGAAUAAUUGGUUAAUUAAAUAGUUUAGCUAAUUAAUACACUAAUCUCUCACUGACUAUUGGGCCCACCCUUAUUUAACCUGUUCAAUUAGUCUAAAACCCUCCCUGUUAGUACCCUGUCAAUGACAUGUGGGUCCCACUGGACCCACCUGUCUGGUUUGACUGGUCAACCGACCAGUUGACCUGCUGACAUCACUCUGAUGUCAUGCUGACGUCAUCAUUCACUGUUUUGGAUAAUGUUGGAAUAAAAUAAAUAAUUAAAAUCAGAAAAUGAGUUAAAUCUUUAGAAAAUCAUAUCUUUUAAUCCGUAACUCGGAUGAAAAUACUUUCUACAUGAAAGUUGCUCAGAACGACGAGACGAAUCUAGAUACGCAGUCCGUUCGUCCGCUACACAUCCCUAGCAUAGCAAACACGCAACUUUCCCCCUCCGGUUCAUCUGUCCGAAAACGCGAAACACCGGGAAUACUUUCCCGGAUGUUUCCCCCCUUCGCCGGUAUCACCUAUCCCUGCGUUAGAUCACCUCUAGCACCACGUUUAUCAUGUUAUGAUUUGAUUUCUCUGUUAUUUAUUGUGUUCCCCCUCCGUUACUUCUUUCCGGUAGACUACGAGACCGACGCCGUUGAUGCCCCGGUCGGCUACGGUGUUGGCGACCCCUCAUUCUUGUCUGAGCAACCAGGCAAGCCCCCCCCCCUUGAUCACCAGAUAUCGCCUAUUCUUCUCUAUACUACUUGCAUUAGAGUAGUGUAGCAUGUUACUGCUUUUAGUUAAUCCUAUACUGCUGCAUAGCCUGCCCUUGCUACUACUGUUGUUACCUUUACCUGCUAUCCUACUGCUUAGUAUAGGAUGCUAGUGUUCCAUCAGUGGCCCUACAUUCUUGUCCGUCUGCCAUGCUAUACUACUGAGCCGUGAUCACUUCGGGAGGUGAUCACGGGCAUAUACUAUAUACUUUACACUGUUACAUUACCUGUGAUACUGUUCGGAGAUGGGGGCUGAAGGGGCAGGUGGCUCCAUCCCGGUAGAGGUGGGCCUGGGUUCCCGACGGCCCUCGACUAUUACUUUGUGGCGGAGCGACAGGGCAGGUUGAGGCCACCUAGGAGAAAGGUGGGCCUGGCCCUAGUCGGCGUUCGCGGAUACUUAACACGCUUAACGAGAUCUGGGUAUUUGAUCUGAGUCUGGCCUUUUGAUUUAUACGCACUAACCAUCUAUGCGGGAGUAGUUAUGGGUAUCCCUGCGUCGUGGUAUCAGCCGAAGCCUUCGUGACAUCAGCGACUGAGUGGCGCGCGCCGGAUUGGACUGGAACGCCACUAGGCUAGGUCUGCUUCCGGCCGCGUACGCAACGUGCAGGUGUGCUAAGGGCGAUGGGCCCAGACCCCUGUGCGCUUAGGUUUAGACCGGCGUGCUGACCUCUCUGUGUUGCCUAGGUGGGGCUACGACGUGUUGAUCUUCCGAGGCCGGGCAUGACCCAGGAAAGUGUGUCCGGCCAAAUGGGAUCGAGCGUGUUGGGGAAUGUGGUGCACCCCUGCAGGGAAGUUAAUCUAUUCGAAUAGCCGUGAUCUUCGGUAACAGGACGACUUGGAGUUGUACCUUGACCUUAUGACAACUAGAACCGGAUACUUAAUAAAACACACCCUUCCAUGUGCCAGAUACAACCGGUGAUCGCUCUCUCACAGGGCGACGAGGGAAGGAUCAUCGGUUAGGAUUAUGCUACACGAUGCUACUUGGAGGACUUCAGUCUACUCUCUUCUACAUGCUGCAAGAUGGAGGCUGCCAGAAGCGUAGUCUUCUAAAGGACUAGCUAUCCCCCUCUUAUUCCGGCUUUCUGCAGUCCAGUCCACAUAUAAUAGCCUUAUUCCAGUUGAUACCAACGCAUACAUAUGUAGUGUAGCUCCUUGCUUGCGAGUACUUUGGAUGAGUACUCACGGUUGCUUUCACCUUCUUUUCCCUCUAUCCCUUCUACCUGGUUGUCGCAACCAGAUGUUGGAGCCCAGGAGCCAGACGCCACCGUCGACGACGACUCCUACUACACCGGAGGUGCCUACUACUACAUGCUGCCCGCUGACGACGACCAGGAGUAGUUAGGAGGAUCCCAGGCAGGAGGCCUGUGCCUCUUUCGAUCUGUAUCCAAGUUUGUGCUAGCCUUCUUAAGGCAAACUUGUUUAACUUAUGUCUGUACUCAGAUAUUGUUGCUUCCGCUGACUCGUCUAUGAUCGAGCUCUUGUAUUCGAGCCCUCGAGGCCCCUGGCUUGUAAUAUGAUGCUUGUAUGACUUAUUUUAUUUGUAGAGUUGUGUUGUGAUAUCUUCCCGUGAGUCCCUGAUCUUGAUUGUACACGUUUGCGUGUAUGAUUAGUGUACGAUUAAAUCGGGGGCGUCACAAGUUGGUAUCAGAGCCGACUGCUUGUAGGAAUCCCCCUUCCACACUCCUUGGCCGAAGUCGAGUCUAGACAUUACAAAAACUUUUACUAACAUGGUUGUGCGGCUUACGGGCCCACAUCGCCAUCUGGGUGGUAUUAGGAUCUUUUACUCCUCGAUCCUUACUCUGGGGCUCUGGACUCUCUUCUAUUCAGGUUAAAUGAAUUAUGCUAAAAUCUAACUCUAGGUUCUCGUUACCACUUCCUGCCGGAGAGCCCUUUAAUACGGAUGAUCGACUGCUUCAACGGAAGAUUCUGACAAUACGCUCGGAUGUUCCCUCGAUACUUUGUGCCAUCCCUCUUGCGAUUCCCCUUCCAUCGUAAACCCUUAAGGAUAACUACUUACAGUUGUUAUUCUUACAUUCAUCCCCAGUUGGUCUUGUUAUUACAAGAUACCCCGAAACACUCGUCGUUGUUUCGAUAAUCCUUUGAGCUCACUGCCUCGCAGUUCUUGACACAUGAAUAUCCCUACGGAUAAUUCUCGCACUUAUUGAGUAUCCGCUCAUCCCCCAGUUGUUCAUGUGUUUCACAAUGGUCAUCGACAUACUAUUCGAUCCUCCAAAAAUCCUUAGUAGCUUAUUACUGUGCAAAUACUUGUCUGCUUGCAUUAUGGUUGCGUUCCAAAUGUCUAGCAAUAUUCAUUAGUAUCCCUUGUCAUCAUCAUUUUCAUCCUUUAAUUUGAUGCGAGGUGAAUGCUCGCAAUCCUCAGUCGAAAUCCUAGAAUUCAUCCUUCCGGAUCAGACGUCAUUUUAAACAUGAACUAGUUCUUGACCAACCGAAUUGCCGUCGGUUGUACCCCUAAGUCUACUCAACUUAUCCAUCCUUAAUCAGAGCGUUUACUUCUGAUCCCUUGAUUUAGAAAUCACAAUUCCUUUGCAUUUGAGAUUUAAAUUAAUUAGUCAAUGGUUUCUAUAAUCGGAUACCUUGCAUUCCUUUUCCCUUCUGAUUGAGUAUCGAUACUCACAUCAGGUUCCUUGUGGUCCGCGAGACCAUUUGCUUGGUUAUUAUCCGACAAUGUCCUUCACAACCAAAAUUCUUGUGAGUUCUUUACCUGAUACAUAAUGCCCUUGGUAAAUUGUAUCAUUUGCUUGGCCAACCAUGCUCUGCUUUCGAGCUAGUCGUAUUUACUAUUGAAGCUUGUGGUAUAUGUUUCCACGAUACCCCUGACGGGUUGAACCUAUGCCUUCCUUUAUAUGUGUGAACUCGGAAGUUUUCACGAGUCAUACUCAUCUGGUAUUUCGCUAGAUAAAACUUUCAGCAUAAUGCCUUUAUCAAAGCGAAAAGUGAAUGGAAGGUUAUACAUUGAAGAAGUGGGAGUCGACCUUGAACUUUGUGUUCAUGCCCAUGGACACGAUGUGGAUCUUAUCAUUAAAGCUUCUCUUAAGUUAAUUAUUCCUGGGUAUAAGUUCUUAUAUCUGGGAUCUGGCCUUUUUCAAUCGUGGUUCCGACCAUGUUCUCCUUUAAAUAACAUUUCUUGUGCAAGUUUAAGCACUUGUCUUCUACGGGGUAAUACCCCAGUCCAACCUCUACUUUGAUUUGUCGUCGAGUAUUACCCCCUGGUAUCUCAAGAUUAUCACGGAACUGCAUAACUUCUUAUGGGUUCUUCAACCAAGUGCUACAUUCUCACUGGUUCCAAUUUUUCACGGGCCCUGAGUUAUUAAACACUCGAGAACACCGUUAAGUGAACCGAUUCCGCACUACGAUUCAAUAACUCUAAGUAAUUUUCGUUGCUUAUGGUUUAAUAACACUUCAAGUUAUUCCUAGCCUGAUCGGCUAUAUCAUUAUCGUGCAACUUUUUAACUGUGCUACCUUGUCCUUCUUCCUGGAGCACAACUUUUUGACGAUGAGCUAAGCUUACAUCGACUUUCCUCGUCUUAUCAUUUCGCCUUGUACAACAAGCUUGAUUUCGAGUUUGUGACGUAACCGUGGUUCCAAUAACCUUUCGCUUCAUCAUUCCUUUGACUAGAAGUCAUCGCCGAUCGAUAACACCUUCAUGAAAUCUCUCGACAAUUGUGUCGUGAUCAUCAUCAACAUUUUGGUCUCGUCCAAGAUAUCAAUUGAAUUCAUGAUGAGAAAUACCAUCCUUGCCCUCGAUGAAUUUCAUUGUUCGUGCGACCCAGCCCAUAUUUCGGGUGCACUUUUCAACCAAUGUUUAAAAGGGUAUGUUUCCCCGAGCAUACCUCAUUGUAUCAUUUUAACUGACAAUUGUCAUCCCCUUGUUCACCUAAUUGUGGAAAUCCAUCCUUUGGAAUUCUUGAUGAUUUGUCGCUGAGUACAUCAGCCACCUCCUCAUCCUCUCCUUGAUUUACUGAUGAACUCUUGUUUUGGAACUCGCUUCCAUAGUUCUUUUCCCGAGGAUCUUACAUUUUCAUCUCGUCAAUAUCUGUUGCACCUUUUCUUCUCUGGCAUCCCGAGUCUGAGGUAUCCUGACACCAAUCGGACCUGAACCUCGGUCAGAUAUAAUGGUUGGAACAUAUUCCCAAGAAUUAUAACAUUGGUCUUUAACCCGAUAAGGUGAUGUCAUGCCUAGCACACCUGGCCGGAGAACCUAUUGUUAUAGUUUUCUUUUUAGCAAAGUUAUCCAUUUUUUUAUGAGAAAAUUGUAAGACUAAUUCUAUAAGUUGUUCCUGGUGAAUCCUUAGAGUAUCCAAACUCUGAUCUUUAUCCAGUGACCAUGUCAAUGCUAUCUCGAAGCAUAUCUGUGAUACUCCAAUUUUCAACAAGAACAUUUGAAGCCCAAUGCUAAAUGUUUCCUGCUCAAUUACCCAAACACCAUUGUAUGGGUAAUGUCAUGAAAUUACUCUCCCCUUACCUAAAAGAGUUUUCUACAUUAUAUCCUGUCAUGGAUAUCAUACUCUGCUUGUCCUUGGGAAGGGUAUACCCCUGGUAUAUGUGACAAACACAUUAUCCUUUCCACUGUUCUGUUUGAUCCGAUGAUCACAUUUUCCUUCCAUUGGUUUGUUUAAACCUCCUUGUGAUCUAUAAUAUAUAAGCAGUAAUAUUUCCCUGCUUAUGUAAACACCUCGUUGUACCUCUCUGUCCGCAAGACCCUGUCGCGAUUGUUGAUGACAUUCGAUAACCACCGAUGGACGAGAACUUUGCCUAUUGGUCCGCCUCGUUUCAACGAGCAGGAGAAUGGUUCUCUUCAUCCCUCACCCUUGGUAUCGAUGUUAUUGCCAACAUAACUGACAGGCUACCCUCUGACAUGCCUUGCUAUUGUGACCGUGCAAGAUGUCAGACCCUUUCUACUUUAAUACACAUAGUGGGCCCAUAACCCACAGUUCCACAGGAUCCAAACCUGACUCUCCUAUACACCCUGUUGCCAAAGUUAUUCCUAGAGCUUGACUUCGUAUGUAGUUCGAGCCACCUGCCUAGUGAUCUAUUCUGGUAUCAGACGCAAUACUUAUUCCCAUUGCUCUGAAUCCCUUUCACACUUUGUUUCAGGCACCGAACGAUUGCCUACCCGCUCAAAACUUCUCAUGAUACCUUCUUACUUUGCUCUCGAUAUUUUUGAAAGUUUCAAUUUGAGAGUUACUUUCGCCACCUUCCUCGAUGUUAUCGACCAGAUAGUCUACCUGGUAGAGGUCUGUUCUCCCAGAAUGUCCACCCAAUAUUCUUUAGUAAGUACGACGGAGUCCUGUAGAAAGGACACCGACUUCAUCGUGAUGACUGAAGCACAGGAAUGAACCUCUUCGAGAAGAGCAACCAACACCGAGAAGGUCCGUUAGAAUUUCGUAAACAAUCUCUGCCCCUUACUCCCCUCCUAAAUCUCGGGACGAGAUUUCUUGUAGUGGAGGAGAAUUGUGACGCCCGGAUAAUUAAGCUACAGUGAUCCCCCGCUAAUGAUGCCACGUCACCUCGGUUACUGUUGAUAAACCCUAGAUUAUUCCAAACCGAAACAAGUUCAAAAUUUAAUUACAGGAAAACAAUAAAAGUUUUCAAACAUUAAAAUUAAAAUGUUCUAAAGGUGGCAAAUAAUGCUUAGGUAAUUAUGGUGGAGGAGCACAUUUUUAUAAAAUAAUUUAAAAAGCACUAAACUAAAUAAAACAGUGGCUUAUACAAAUAAUUAAAUGCAUUUUAUAAAUAUUAAAACAUUAAAGUAUUUUAUUCGGUAUGAGGAAUUAAUGUGGCAAUAGAGUAUUUAUAAAUACUAAUUUAGGGGCUAGUGGUAUAUUUUAUAAAACUAAAAAUAAAUAACACAAAAGAAACUACAAAAAACAGAAACAAACAAAAAAAAUAAAGAAAAGAAAGAAAGAAAGAGAAACGAAACCCCCCCAAACCCCCCUGGGCCAUCUGGCCCAGUUAACCCACCUGGCCCAUCCGGCCGGACCGGCCCGCCUCCCCCUGCCGCCUCCCUUCCCUGUUCCCCCGACCUGGGUCGGAACAGGGGCACGUCCCCGCCGCACCCUCUCGCCGGUGACGACUAGGGGAUAAGGUCGCCACGCCGCGCCCCCUCAGUCUCUCCUCCCACUCGCCCCACUCUCCCCUCGGUCCCCGCACCUUNNNNNNNNNNNNNNNNNNNNNNNNNNNNNNNNNNNNNNNNNNNNNNNNNNNNNNNNNNNNNNNNNNNNNNNNNNNNNNNNNNNNNNNNNNNNNNNNNNNNNNNNNNNNNNNNNNNNNNNNNNNNNNNNNNNNNNNNNNNNNNNNNNNNNNNNNNNNNNNNNNNNNNNNNNNNNNNNNNNNNNNNNNNNNNNNCACCGCACCUCGCCCCCUCGUUCCCCACCGUAACCGAGCGCCACCGCCGCCAUGGCUCCGGCCUAGCCACGGCCACCGUGCCCACCUCGCCGCCCCACGGUGUCUCCAAGGGACGCCGUCGUCCGCUGCUUCAACUGGUGCAGCCCGUUGGAGACCGGAGCCACCGCAACACCCCCGACGCCGCCGUCUUCCUCCUCUGCCCCGACAAGCUUCGCCGCCGUUCUUCUUCAUCUCCGGCGACGCCCCUGCAACUACUAACCCAUUCACCGGCCAUCGUGCGUGCCGCAACGUGAGCUGCCUCCCCCCUCUGCCCUCUACCUCCCCUAGCUCGUGCUCUAGCUAGCUGACGCCGUAGCACCCAAACGCCCCGCCGCGGAUCUCGUCGCCGACGCGUUUCCGGUGACCAAAUGGUCACGGGGCCGAGACCUUUGUGCUCAGCGCGUCGCGCAGCUCCGUCCUAGCCUCCCCGUUAGCACCGGAGCGCUCUGCCUCGCCAUCUUCGCCUCACGCCCGAACCACCACGCCGCCGUCGAGCCCGUGGCGCUCGACUCCGGCCACCACAGCCUCCGUAGCCACCCCCAUUUGCUCCGCCGUCGUCUUGCCGUUCGAAUGCGACUGGUCCCGCCCAUUUUGGUGGCCUGCAGACGAAACCCGCCACUCACCCGAGCCCCAACGUCCGCCUCUCUGCUCGCCGGCGACAGCUCCGGCGACCUCGGGACGAACCACCACCAUCACUAGAUACGCGUCUUCGCGCUUGUUCGAACGGGCCCAGGCACGCGCGGAUUCGUGCCCUGUGCACAAAUUCCGGCGAACUCCGGCGGGUCGGCGCCGUGCUUUUGGUCGCCAGCGGCGAGAGCCGGCCCUGCUGACCUGGCACCGCGGGUCCCACCACCUGGGCCACUGACUGAUUGGCCCAGGGCCCCCUGUUGACCUGUUGACUAGGUCAACUGCUGACUGGGCCGCCCCUAUCUCACUGACCUAUAGGCCCCACUUCAAUAAACGAAAUAAAUGAAAAGAAUAAUUGGUUAAUUAAAUAGUUUAGCUAAUUAAUACACUAAUCUCUCACUGACUACUGGGGCACACCCUUAUUUAACAUGUUUAAUUAGUCUAAAACCCUCCCUAUUAGUACCCUGUCAAUGACAUGUGGGUCCCACUGGACCCACCUGUCUGGUUUGACUGGUCAACCGACCAGUUGACCUGUUGACAUCACUCUGAUGUCAUGCUGAUGUCAUCAUUCACUGUUUUGGAUAAUGUUGGAAUAAAAUAAAUAAUUAAAAUCAGAAAAUGAGUUAAAUCUUUAGAAAAUCAUAUCUUUUAAUCCAUAACUCGGAUGAAAAUACUUUCUACAUGAAAGUUGCUCAGAACGACGAGAUGAAUCCAGAUACGCAGUCCGUUCGUCCGCUACACAUCCCUAGCAUAGCAAACACGCAACUUUCCCCCUUCGGUUCAUAUGUCCGAAAACGCGAAACACCGGGAAUACUUUCCCGGAUGUUUCCCCCCUUCGCCGGUAUCACCUAUCCCUGCGUUAGAUCACCUCUAGCACCACGUUUAUCAUGUUAUGAUUUGAUUUCGCUGUUAUUUAUUGUGUUCCCCCUCCGUUACUUCUUUCCGGUAGACUACAAGACCAACGCCGUUGAUGCCCCGGUCGGCUACGGUGUUGACGACCCCUCAUUCUUGUCUGAGCAACCAGGCAAGCCCCCCCCCCCUUGAUCACCAGAUAUCGCCUAUUCUUCUCUAUACUACUUGCAUUAGAGUAGUGUAGCAUGUUACUGCUUUCAGUUAAUCCUAUACUGCUGCAUAGCCUGCCCUUGCUACUACUGUUGUUACCUUUACCUGCUAUCCUACUACUUAGUAUAGGAUGCUAGUGUUCCAUCAGUGGCCCUACAUUCUUGUCCGUCUGCCAUGCUAUACUACUGAGCCGUGAUCACUUCGGGAGGUGAUCACGGGCAUAUACUAUAUACUUUACACUGUUACAUUACCUGUGAUACUGUUCGGAGAUGGGGGCUGAAGGGGCAAGUGGCUCCAUCCCGGUAGAGGUGGGCCUGGGUUCCCGACGGCCCCCGACUGUUACUUUGUGGCAGAGCGACAGGGCAGGUUGAGGCCACCUAGGAGAGAGGUGGGCCUGGCCCUGGUCGGCGUUCGCGGAUACUUAACACGCUUAACGAGAUCUGGGUAUUUGAUCUGAGUCUGGCCUUUUGGUCUAUAUGCACUAACCAUCUACGCGGGAGUAGUUAUGGGUAUCCCGGUGUCGUGGUAUCAGCCGAAGCCUUCGUGACGUCAGCGACUGAGUGGCACGCGCCGGAUUGGACUGGAACGCCACUAGGCUAGGUCUGCUUCCGACCGCGUACGCAACGUGCAGGUGUGCUAAGGGCGAUGGGCCCAGACCCCUGUGCGCUUAGGUUUAGACCGGCGUGCUGACCUCUCUGUUGUGCCUAGGUGGGGCUGCGACGUGUUGAUCUUCCGAGGCCGGGCAUGACCCAGGAAAGUGUGUCCGGCCAAAUGGGAUGGAGCGUGUUGGGGAAUGUGGUGCACCCCUGCAGGGAAGUUAUUCUAUUCGAAUAGCCGUGAUCUUCGGUAACAGGACGACUUGGAGUUGUACCUUGACCUUAUGACAACUAGAACCGGAUACUUAAUAAAACACACCCUUCCAAGUGCCAGAUACAACCGGUGAUCGCUCUCUCACAGGGCAACGAGGGGAGGAUCAUCGGUUAGGAUUAUGCUACACGAUGCUACUUGGAGGACUUUAGUCUACUCUCUUCUACAUGCUGCAAGAUGGAGGCUGCCAGAAGCGUAGUCUUCUAAAGGACUAGCUAUCCCCCUCUUAUUCCGGCUUUCUGCAGUCCAGUCCACAUAUAAUAGCCUUAUUCCAGUUGAUACCAACGCAUACAUAUGUAGUGUAGCUCCUUGCUUGCGAGUACUUUGGAUGAGUACUCACGGUUGCUUUCACAUUGUUUUCCCUCUAUCCCUUCUACCUGGUUGUCGCAACCAAAUGUUGGAGCCCAGGAGUCAGACGCCACCGUCGACGACGACUCCUACUACACCGGAGGUGCCUACUACUACGUGCUGCCCGCUGACGACGACCAGGAGUAGUUAGGAGGAUCCCAGGCAGGAGGCCUGCGCCUCUUUCGAUCUGUAUCCCAGUUUGUGCUAGCCUUCUUAAGGCAAACUUGUUUAACUUAUGUCUGUACUCAGAUAUUGUUGCUUCCGUUGACUCGUCUAUGAUCGAGCUCUUGUAUUCGAGCCCUCGAGGCCCCUGGCUUGUAAUAUGAUACUUGUAUGACUUAUUUUAUUUGUAGAAUUGUGUUGUGAUAUCUUCCCGUGAGUCCCUGAUCUUGAUCGUACACGUUUGCGUGUAUGAUUAGUGUACAAUUAAAUUGGGGGCGUCACAAUUUAUAACAGAGGGAAAUCACAUGUAUAAAAUAACGUAUAUACUAUUACCUCAAUCCAAAUAGCGGAAGCAACAACAAGGUUGUGGAUUCUCAUCAACACCAACGGCAAAGUUGAGUGUAGAAAUCGUAAUCCUAACGUAUCACUUACUCGUCGUAAGAAUACUGCAACAUGAGACGUUGCAGCCACAAAGGGUCAGUACAUUGAAUGUACUGGCAAAUUCACACCAUAGGAUAAUGAUGAAUAAUAGCUAUCACUACAUGCAUAUAUGGCUGGUGGAAAAGCUCUAUGGUUAUAAUGUUUUUGCGAAAAGCCAAUUUUUUCCUACUGCAAAGGAAUAUAUUUUUAUUUAACUACAAAUUUAUUGAAAAACAUUGAGAAUGGUAAAUCCCCAUAUCAAUCCCAAUUAAAAGUAACCCAACAAAUUAAUUAUAGAGUGAUGAGAUCCAUAGGAUAAUCCAAGAAUCAGAUACUCAAGAUGUCCAUAACCGGGGAAACGGCUAAUCAUGAUUAGUUUGCACACUCUGCAGAGGUUUGCACACUUUUCCCCACAAGACUCGAUCUCCUCCGUUGGAUUUCUCCACUACAGGGUGUUUGAGAAACGGAUGACCAAGACACAGUCUUUCAGAAGCAUUAACUCUUUACUUUGGAUGGACCGUUACACCUACUUUCCCUCUACAUUUGCUAGCCCACCACUGAAAGAGGUCACACAACAUACUCAACUAUGCCAGAGCCCAUAAUGGCUUGUGGCUGCACACGGAAGUUUCUAACAUGAAUAAUCUUAUGAUCCCUUUGAGCCUGGGUGGCGUACCGUAGGAGGAUCACACGGUAUAUCCCCGGGAUCUCCUAGGACAACACUGGAUUCCCCAGGUGCCCAAACAAGCAAUCCACUCAGAUGUGCAUUAAUGUUGUCACCUUAAGUUGAACUAUUAAUUAACAAUCUCACAUCUGUCAUGGAUUCACUCAUCCAAACCACGUCUACGAGCAUAGCAUGGCAAUACAAGUUGAACGUAAUAGUAACUCCCAAGGUUUGAAUGCAGGACAAUAGGUUCUACCUUAUCAACUACUUCCCAAUACCCACAUGUUAUCAAGUCCUAACCAUGCAAUGUUUGAGAAUUCAAACUAAUGCAUAAAAAUUGGGUAAUAAGGGGAUAUGAUCAAAGUGUGAACUUGCCUUGUACUGUUGAUUAAGAUGAUUCGCACUCAUAACUCCUAAUAGUUCUACUCGUCACACUCCAGUCAAUCUAUCGUGAGCAAGCAAUAGUAACCACACAUAAGCAAUCACUCAAAGGAUCGGAUAGAAUGAAGCAAACAAUUUCCAACAGUACCAAAAUUAUGUGAAUUUGGCCUUAUCAGAAAGUUUAGGUCAAGAGCUUCGAUUUGCAAAAAGAAUCAACUCAAACAGAGUUAUAAAACUUGAGUUAUGAUCAAAAGAAGUUUGAAUAUGAAUCUGAACAAAUUUCGAAAUUUGAAAAUUUCAAAAGAUUGAUGUGACAGGUUCACUGGAUAGGUGAAAACAAGACAAAACUAUAGGCGCUGGUUUCAUCUAAUUUGGAUGAACGAGUAAUAAGUUAUGGCUAUUUGAAAAAUCAAGGCCAAGCUGUUUUACGGAGAAAAAUAUAUAAAUACGUAGACCAAUUGAUAAUCUAAUUAUUUUUCCGUACUAGUCUAGAAAUAAUAAGCUACGAAAGUAUAUAUGAAGAAAGAUACUUUUAUAAGAUAGAGAAAAAAUGACUUUGGAAAGAAGAGACAACUUUUAAAAGUACCGCCGGAGAGGAGAAAUACAUUUUUCUUUAGUGAAUCUAGUCAAACCAAAAAAAUUGAUUUAACCCUAAUCGGAUGAUUUUUGAAGCUCUAUGGGUCUAUAUUUAUAGGUGGAAAAGAGAUUUAGGGGUCAAAGGCUAGGCAAUGUGGGACUAAAACUAUACGUACGCAGAAGAAAUUUGAAAAAGAUCGCAUGGGCUAAAAGUUUGGCCCGGCCGCGGGCUGUAGUUUUUUUGAAGCAAAAUUCGGUCAAAGUAAAAAAAAGGCUGGCUGGGCCUGGCCCAUGUAGGAGAGAAGAAAAAAAAUAAAAUGAUGGGGCGCCUGAUGCCACUAUGCAGCGCGCGUGGGCGGCAAAUAAUUAUGGGCCGCACGUAUCGUUUUUUCUAAAUAGAAACAGAAAGUAAAACUGAAUAACGAAAAUAAAAUAAAACUUUUAUAUAGGCAUAUUAUAUAUCAAAAUUUUCAUAAAAAUCUUUUCUACGACAUGGACAUUUUACCAAAGUCAAAUAAAAUCCACACAAAUUUAUAUAAAGCAAAGAGUGCUACUGCUCUAAUAAAAUCCAAUAAAAAUCAUUUCAAAAAUACCAAAAUGAUUUCUAAUUUAUUACUCUCCAAUUUUAUGUUGUAGGGAAUCAUGUUACCCUAUUAAGCAUAUAUUUUAUUUUUGGAGAAAAAUAAUUUGAAUAAAACCCAAAUAACUCCAAAUUGAAAAUAAUUUUCAAAAGGACUUUAAAUUUGAUCCUUUUAAACUCCCAACUCAUAUUUCAUAUAUUUUUAAUAAGUCAUUUUAUCUUCUCUAAUGAAAAUCAUUGAGUUGCUUGAAGUUUUCUAAAUUUGAAAGCCUUUCCAAAUAAAAUUCAAAUCUUUUUGAAACCCUUUACAUUUAUUUAAAAUGAAAGAAGUCAUGUCAUCUUCUCUCUAGGGUUUUGUGAUGAAAAGAAUUUGAAUUCAUGGAGAUUAAAAUGCAAAAAGAAAAUUGUGGGAAAGUCCUUUUAUUCCCUCUCAUUUAACUUUCAAAAAGUUUCGAAUUUCACACAAUCAAUCAAAUAAGCAAUCAAAUCUAUCUAUUUAAUAUAACAUUCCAAAAUUUAGAAUUUUGGGAUGUUACAAACCUGCCACCCUUAAAAUGAAUCUUGUCCUCAAGAUUCGGAGAGGCUACAAAGAAAUAGGUUAGGUUUGGGGGUCUUCUUAAAAUCCAUUGAUCGUCUCCGGGGUCUCGGGUGCUGCCACCCUUAGAAGCAUUGUUACAGUUCCAUCAAAACUCAUAUACUCCAUCCUUAUCUUUGACAGUGUCGGUCUUCUCGGAUUAUCGGAAAAAUUCCUUCUCUGGGCUCUUCCGGUAGUGGCAUAACCUUUACUGUAAUUCUUCCGUCUUUAUAUAUGGGACUGGGUCUUCUUAGCUGACGGGUCUGGCGCCAAUUCUAAACAACUAUCGAUAUCUCAUGGUGGUCAACAAUUUAUGGUUUCUCCCGUAGGAAAUGGGUUUGGGCUUCAUUCUCACCGUAUAACCUACGAUUGGCAACAACUGUUGUGUACAAUGGAAAAAUUCUUAUACCAUUCUAAGGUUUAAUCAAGGUUUAAUUUCGUCGUCACUCUACUAUGGGUAAGUCACUCAGAUUUACCAUCCCAUAUAGCAAGGCGAAUAAUAGAGUAAGUCGGUAUGGUGAUCAAUCCAUCCCGCACCCAAAUCAUUACCGUGUAUAUGGUUUAGUGAAUCUCAUUCUAUCACUCGGUCAUCCUCACAAGCAUUGCAGAAUUUCUCUUGUCGACGAACUAAGUUCGGAUAUAUCCAUUGAUUCUGCAAGCCAAACAAACAUCUAUCGUUCCUUCACCACUCUCAGGUUUUGCGUAAACUCCUAUAAGAUCGUCGGUGGGUAAGGUCGAAAUCUCAUCCAGGGUUUUUCCUUCAGCAAGAGUGUGCUUGCUUCUUGGUAGGUCCUGGGGCCUAUGGGUUAUGGCCCAUCUCAUCACUUGCAAACCUUGAAAUCCUCAUCGGGGCAACUGAUCAUUAACCCACCAUCCAGCUUCCUAGCAUACUUAAAAUCCUUCCAAUUGUACUGUCUCCCUUCCUUAUAUUGGUACCAAACUCAAACGUAAUUACUCCGACUCAUCAUGGAGUUACAAUUGCUCCAUAUUACCAACCUUCUACCUCCUUUACAUCCAAUAAUACUCCAUACCUUCAUACUCUUGGGGUAUCCCACAUAUCGAGACAAAACUAGGACUUAUCUUGUCCAACGUCCACUCCGUGGAAUAUCCUUAUCUUUUCCAAGGGUCAAAUCUCCUCACAGGGUACUACCACCCUUGAAAUGCACCAAUAUCAUCCAUAGACCAUAUUUCUCAUAUCCUCGAAAAUGGUCAAAAAUCCCUCUUCACAGAGUAACAACUCAUAAAAUCCAUAUCAGUACCAACGAUGCUAACUUUAUUGAUUCUCCAAUUAUUGCAAUCUCCUGCAUUUCCAUUACAUGCCUCAACUCAACACCUCACUAUAAAGGAAAUGUUCCCACUGCUACUACUAUAUUUCUCACAGACACAACUAAUUAUCACAAGUCUCCUUCUCCUUGGGACAAUCUCUGGCAAAGUGCCCUGCUUCAUCACAACGAAAACAUAUUACUUCUGACAAGUCCCGAGGUUUCCUUUUUUUGGGCAACUGCUAAAGUAGUGCCCUGACUCCUUGCACCUGAAACGGGUGAUAUGACUUAGGUCCUUCCUGGAAUCCAAUCUACUUCUCUUCCUGGACUUUUCCGUGCCAAUCAGGGCUUCCAUUUCCUGUGGGUCAUACUCUACUUCCUCUGUCGGGAAUUAAAGUAGAUCCCCAUUCAAACAAUUUUGGGAGAUGUGUUCUUCUUCUCCACGUGAAUAGCAAAACUUAGUGCAGGGUUUAAUCGGGUCUUCUUUAGGUGUGUCCUCCACCUCUUCCUUCAUCACCAGUUCUUCUAAAAUUUACAUGAGGGCUCUUUUCAUUGCUUCCUUCUUCUACUGGAUGGUUCUUCGAACCAUGUGGUAAAUGCGACACUGAGCAGGGUAGUGGGUAGUCCCUUCACACAAGAAUCAAGUGAUCUGCCUAGUUGGCAUUCUUCAGCUGGGUGGCUUUCUUCACAAUGAGGGCAUUCCCCCUUGUGUUAUUUAUGGGUGUGUCCUACUUCUCCAUGGAGCUUGCAUGCACAAGGUUUAUUCAUAUCAUUUCCAUAAGGCUUCAAUUUCUGGGACACAAGACGAGACGUUAGCAAAGUCAACUUAAAUUCCUUCCAAAUGGUUACUCCUUGCCAUCCAUUGAGGGUUUGGUACAUCCUCCACCUAGUAGCAACACCUCUUUCAAAGCACUUAAAACAUAUUGGGCCAUAUCCUUUCCGGCUAUAGGGUUAUUCUCCAUGUGAUCCUCCAUGUUCUGAAUCCAUCGGUCUGUCUCCAAUUGACUUAUUCGUCCCGGAAACACAAGUUCAUCUCCAUUCACCCUCUAUUUGGUCAAUGGGUUUGGGGUGGGAUAAGAGAGAUAGAGAGGGAUACACACGAUGCAAACAAUGGUUUUGAAAAGACAGAUUUUAUUUGUGGCUGUCGAAAAAACAUCAAACAAUGUGAUCCUCCAUUCACCCUCACAAACGUUGCAUCUAACGUAGGUAUAUAACAGGGGUUUGGGUCUUCUAAAGGUCAAUAAAUCUUCAAAGUCAUCAAACUCUUCAGGUCUUAUUCAUGUCUCCGAUGGCUUCUUCCGAUCGUGCUUGUCCUUCUCAAGUUAUUUUGCCAUGUCAUUUCUAUUGACACGAAGUCUCUCGUGGCGUCCUUCAAUAUUUCUGGAGUUGCGUUCCAAACUUCUGGGUUUCAACAUCCUUGGCAUGAAUCAUGCUCCUACUGUUCUUCAGUUCCGAAUGAGUUCUCUGAUAUCUCGAGGUUUUGCUCCUCCAGCUUGGCUACUUCCAGCUUCUGGGUCCUAAGUUCUUCAUGGAAUGCUUUAUUGUCAAAUACGGCUUCUUGCAAGUCCAUCUUAAAAUCCUUGAUGUAACACUCCAGAUCCUGGUGAUACACCAACUAAGAUUAAAACUUCCUCUCUUGCUGAUAGGUGCUCCAUCAGCCUUCUACCAUCCAAUCCUUCCGAAGAAAUGCAUGCUUAACUCAGCACGGUGUCCAUAGCAUAAGCGGGCAAUAACAUCAUGGAUAGCCGUGUUUCUUCCCUUGUCAUUGCCAUGAGUUGUCAUUCAAUAGUUUAUAUCUCCUGCAUUAGGGUUUUCUUGACAAAAACUUUGAGUUCUAAUGCUCCAUGUUCCGGUCUUUCUCUGAUACACCUUGAUCUCGGGUAUUGACAGCUUCCAUAGUCUGCCAAGUUCCACAAGGGUAGCCUUCCUAGGUUCUACAAAUCUGGGAAUUCUUCAGAGCUUUCAAAUCCUCCUAGUCUUCGGAGUCUUCAACCGUUGUAGUUUCCAUUAUUAUAAUGCACGGAAAAAAAUCUUCUUCAUUCCAAAGUGGUCUUAGUUGUCCGAUAUCUUGUACUUCUUGGAGUGGUCUCAUCAGUCGAAUCUUCGUGUAGUCAAAAGGGGAAAGGGGUAUGGUCUCACUUAAUAGGGAAUAUUUGAAUAAGCUCAGAAGAGAAGAGAGGUAAAAGAUCUUUUUGAAAAUGAAGUUUGUAGAGAAAAUCUUUCCUAUGGGCUUGUCAGUUUCUAAGGGUCACGUACUAUGAUGACCCACAAGUAUAGGGGAUCUAUCGUAGUCCUUUCGAUAAGUAAGAGUGUCGAACCCAACAAGGAGCAGAAGGAAAUGAUAAGCGGUUUUCAGCAAGGUAUUCUCUGCAAGUACUGAAAUAAGUGGUAACAGAUAGGUUGGUGAUAAGGUAAAUUGUAAUGAGCAACAAGUAACAAAAGUAAAUAAGGUGCAGUAAGGUGGCCCAAUCCUUUUUGUAGCAAAGGACAAGCCGGAACAAACUCUUAUAAUAGGAAAAGUGCUCCCGAGGACACAUGGGAAUAUCAUCAAGCUAGCUUUCAUCACGUUCAUAUGAUUCGCGUUCGGUACUUUGAUAAUUUGAUAUGUGGGUCGACCGGUGCUUGGGUGAUGUUCUUACUUGAACAAGCGUCCCACUUAUGAUUAACCUCUAUUGCAAGCAUCCGCAACUACAACAAAAGUAUUAAGGUAAACCUAACCAUAGCAUGAAACAAGUGGAUCCAAAUCAGCCCCUUACGAAGCAACGCAUAAACUAGGGUUUAAGCUUCUGUCACUCUAGCAACCCAUCAUCUACUUAUUGCUUCCCAAUGCCUUCCUCUAGGCCCAAAUAAUGGUGAAGUGUUAUGUAGUCGACGUUCACAUAACACCACUAGAGGCUAGACAACAUACAUCUUAUCAAAAUAUCAAACGAAUACCAAAUUCACAUGACUACUAAUAGCAAGACUUCUCCCUUAUCCUCAGGAACAAACGUAAUUACUCACAAAGCAUAUUCAUGUUCAUAAUCAGAGGGGUAAUAAUAUGCAUAAAGGAUCUGAACAUAUGAUCUUCCACCAAAUAAACCAAUUAGCAUCAACUACAAGGAGUAAUCAACACUACUAGCAACCUACUAGCACCAAUCCCGGACUUUGAGAAAAGAAUUGGAUACAAGAGAUGAACUAGGGUUUGGAGAUGAGAUGGUGCUGGUGAAGAUGUUGAUGGAGAUUGCCCUCUCCCGAUGAGAGGAGCGUUGGUGAUGAUGAUGGUGAUGAUUUCCCCCUCUCGAAGGGAAGUAUCCCUGGCAGAACAGCUCUGCUGGAGCUCUAGAUUGCUUCCGCCUCAGUUCCGCCUCAUGGCGGCGGAGUCUCGUCCCGAAAGGUUGCUUCUGAUUUUUUUUCUCAUCGAAAGACUUCAUAUAGCAGAAGAUGGACGUCGGAGACCCACCAGGGGGCCCACAAGGUAGGGGGCGCGCCCUAGGAGGGGGCGCGCCCCCACCCUCGUGAGCAGGGUGUGGGCCCCCUGGACUUCAUCUUUGGCGAGGAUUUUUAUUUAUUUAUUUUAAGAUGUUCCGUGGAGUUUCAGGACUUUUGGAGUUGCACAGAAUAGGUCUCUAAUAUUUGCUCCUUUUCCAGCCCAGAAUUCCAGCUGUCGGCCUUCUCCCUCUUUAUGUAAACCUUGUAAAAUAGGAGAGAAUAGCCAUAAGUAUUGUGACAUAAAGUGAAAUAACAACCCAUAAUGCAAUAAAUAUCGAUAUAAAAGCAUCAUGCAAAAUGGACGUAUCAACUACCCCAAGCUUAGACCUCGCUUGUCCUCAAGCGAGAAGCCGGUAACAAUAAAUAUGCCCUCAUGUUUAGAGGUAGAGGCGUCGAUAAAAAUAAAAUAUGGACAUGAAGGCAUCAUGAUUAUUCUCAUAACAGCAACAUAUAUAGAUUUUGUCAUAUGAUUUCUGAUGUUCAAGCGAUGAUCUAUUCACAAUGCAAAAGUAUGAAUCAUAAACCUUAUUGGGCGCCACCAAACUAUAAUCUCAGUCAUUGAAGCAAUUGCAAUUUAUCAUAACAUCGGAGAGAGUCUAUGUCAGAGCUUAAAAGCAAGUCCACAUACUCAACUAUCAUCUAUUCCUUCAUAAUUGCUAGCACUCACGCGAUACUUGUGGUUAUGGAGUUUUAAUCGGACAUAGAGAAAGAUAGGGGCUUAAUGCCCCCACAACCUUUUACCUCAAGGGUAAUGUCAACAAUAAUGGUUCAUGCUCCCCUACAUCCAAUUAGAUAUAUAUAUAUCAUGUUCUUUCCAACAUGCUAAACUUGCCAAAGGAUAAAAUGAAAAAGAAAAGGUGAAGAUCACCAUGACUCUUGCAAAAGGUAGAAGAUAAUAAUAAAAGAUAGGCCCUUCGCAGAGGGAAGCAGAGGUUGCCAUGCGCUUUUAUGGUUGGAUGCACAAAAUCUCAAUGCGAAAGAACGUCACUUUAUAUUGCCCCUUGUGAUAUGAACCUUUAUUAUGCAGUCCUUCGCUUUUAUUACUUUCACAUCACAAGAUCGUAUAAAGCUUAUUUCUUCCACACCAAUCAAUCAUACAUAUUUAGAGCAAUUUUAUUGCUUUGCACCGAUGACAACUUACUUGAAGGAUCUUACUCAAUCCAUAGGUAGAUAUGGUGGACUCUCAUGGCAAAACUGAUUUAAGGGUAUUUGGAAGCACAAGUAGUAUCUCUACUUGGUGCUAAGAAUUUGGCUAGCAUGAGGGGGGAAGGCAAGCUCAACAAGUUAGAGGAUCCAUGACAACAUACUUUAUCUCAGAUAUAAGAAAGACAUAACUCAUUAAGUUGUCUUCCUUGUCCAACAUCAACUCUUUAGCAUGUAAUAUUUUAAUGAGUGCUCCCAAUCAUAAAAGAUGUCAAUGAUAAUAUAUCUACAUGUGAAACCUCUCUUUCCUUAUUACUUCCUAUUAAUUGCAACGAUGACCAAAGCUAUGUCUGUCAAUUCCCAACAACUUUUAAUCAUCAUACUCUUUCUAUGUGAAGUCAUUACUCUCAAUAAGAUCAAUAUGAACUCUAUGUUUCUUUUUAUUCUUUUUCUCUUUUCUUUUAUUCACCCAAGAUCAUGGCAAAAUAAUCAAGCCCUCGACUCAGCACUAAUCUUUAUUAUAUAUAUAGCUCACGGACCCGAUUACAAAGAGAGAUCAUAAAGCGAAACUCAAAACUAGAUCAGGCCAUAAACUUUAUUCUACUAGAUCAAGAUACUACUAAUAGGAUCGAACUAAGAAAAAUGGUAAAGAUAGGAGUUGUGAUUGUGAUACGAUAUCGGGGCACCUCCCCCAAGCUUGGCAGUUGCCAAGGGGAGUGCCCAUACCCAUGUGAUUAUGUCACCUUUGUCGGUGAAGAAGGUGGUGGAGGUUUUGUCGAUGAAGCAAGCUUGUCGUCCAUCUUCCAAGGCAUAGGCUCACCAUCAUAGAAGGAUGAUCGAGUCUCUGGGAUCCUCAAAUCUGCAUCCAAACUCAUCCUUUUGAAUCUAUAUUCAUACUCACAGUUUUGAUUUUGCAGGUCAUAGAUUUGGACUUGGAGGUGCUCUAUCUUCUCAUGAAGCUUGAAGAUGGCCUCCCUGAUGUUGUCAGCAUCCAACUUGUGGUUGCUAGUGAACUCCGCGAUCAUCAUGUGGUUGGAGUUGAGUCCGCGUUCCACCAUCUUUUGACACUUGAAAACUUGUUGUUCCAUUCCUUCGAGCCUCGUCUCCAUGCUUCCGGUCCCCUUUGGUCCCUCUUCAUCGCGGAUGUGCAGCAACCCAUCACGCAACUCAAUGCUUUGAGGGUGUCGCAGCACCUCCGCGAGGUAAGGGUUGAUGACCUUCUCGAAGAACUUGUCCUUGGAAGCACUUGGGGCCGUCAUGAUAAUCUAGAUCUGUCAGAAAAACAGCUCGAAACAAGAACAUAGGAGAUUUGUGUGAUACGGGAGUCAAAACCUUCGGGAGAAUAUAUAAUGAAUUUUUACCGACCAAAAUACGUAUCGUGCAAGAAAACGGAGUCCGGAGGGCACACAAGGUGCUCACGAGGUAGGGGGCGCGCCUAGAGAGGUAAGGCGCGCCCACCACUCUCGUGGGACCCUCGUGUCCUUCCCGGACUACUACUUAUUUUUCUAUUUUUCUGAAUAUUCCAAAACGGAGAAAUACUGCCUUAAAAAUUAUUUUGGAGUCGGUUUACUUACCGUACCACAUACCUAUUCCCUUUUGGAGUCUGAAAGGUUCUGGAAAGUGUCCCUUAUGUAUUCCUCCGGGGUUACGGUUUCAGUAAUAUUGGUUUCAACAUUUAUGGGAUUACCUGAGAUAUAAUGUUUGAUUCUUUGACCGUUUACCACUUUCGGAUUUGUGCCUUCGAAGUUGUUGAUUUUCAUUGCACCGGAACGAUAGACCUCCUCGAUAACAUAAGGGCCUUCCCAUUUAGAGAGAAGUUUUCCUGCAAAAAAAUCUUAAACGAGAGUUGUAUAGCAAUACAUAAUCACCUACAUUAAACUCACGCUUUUGUAUCCUUUUGUCAUGCCAUCUUUUAGCUUUUUCUUUAAAUAACUUGGCAUUUUCAUAAGCUUGGGUUCUCCAUUCAUUAAGUGAGCUAAUAUCAAAUAACCUCUUCUCACCGGCAAGUUUGAAAUCAUAGUUGAGCUCUUUAAUAGCCCAAUAUGCCUUAUGUUCUAGUUCGAGAGGUAAGUGACAUGCUUUUCCAUAAACCAUUUUAUAUGGAGACAUACCCAUAGGAUUUUUAUAUGCAGUUCUAUAUGCCCAUAAUGCAUCAUCAAUUUUCUUGGACCAAUUCUUUCUAGACCUAUUAACAGUCUUUUGCAAAAUUAAUUUGAGCUCUCUAUUGCUCAACUCUACUUGACCACUAGACUGUGGAUGAUAAGGAGAUGCAAUUCUAUGAUUAACAUUAUAUUUAGCAAGCAUUUUACGGAAAGCACCAUGAAUAAAGUGUGAACCACCAUCAGUCAUUAAAUAUCUAGGGACUCCAAACCUCGGAAAAAUAACUUCCUUAAGCAUUUUGAUAGAAGUGUUAUGACCAGCACUACUAGUUGGAAUAGCUUCUACCCACUUAGUAACGUAAUCAACAACAACUAGAAUGUGUGUGUAUCCAUUAGAGGCAGGAAAAGGUCCCAUAUAAUCAAAGCCCCAGACAUCAAACGGUUCAAUAACAAGAGAAUAAUUCAUAGGCAUUUCUUGACGUCUACUAAUAUUACCAAUUCUUUGACAUUCAUCACAAGACAAGACAAACUUACGGGCAUGCUUGAAAAGAGUAGGCCAAUAAAAACUGGAUUGCAAUACCUUAUGUGCAGUUCUGUCUCCAGCAUGGUGUCCUCCAUAAGCUUCGGAGUGACACUUGCGUAGGAUCUGUUCCUGUUCAUGCUCAGGUACACAACGUCUAAUAACACCAUCUACUCCUUCUUUAUAAAGAUGUGGGUCAUCCCAAAAGUAAUGUCUCAAAUCAUAGAAGAACUUUUUCUUUUGUUGGUAUGUGAAGCUAGGUGGUAUAAACUUAGCAACAAUAUAAUUAGCAUAAUCAGCAUACCAAGGAGUACUACGAGAAGUGCUUAUAACAUUUAAUUGUUCAUCAGGAAAGCUAUCAUUAAUAGGUAGUGGGUCAUCAAGAACAUUUUCUAACCUAGAUAAGUUAUCUGCAACGGGGUUCUCAGCUCCUUUUCUAUCAACGAUACGCAAAUCAAAUUCUUGCAGCAGGAGAACCCACCUAAUAAGUCUAGGUUUAGCUUCUUUCUUUUCCAUCAGAUAUUUAAUAGCAGGAUGAUCAGUGUGAAUAGUUACUUUAGAAUCAACAAUAUAAGGUCUGAACUUAUCACAAGCAAAUACAACCGCUAAAAGUUCUUUUUCAGUAGUAGCAUAAUUUCUUUGAGCAUUGUCUAGAGUCUUACUAGCAUAAUGGAUAACAUUUAAUUUCUUAUCAACUCUUUGCCCUAGAACAGCACCUACAGCAUAAUCACUAGCAUCACACAUUAUUUCAAAGGGUAAAUUCCAAUUAGGUGGCUGAACAACAGGUGAAGGGACUAAUGCUUUCUUAAGUAUUUCAAAUGCUCCUACACAAUCAUCAUCAAAGACGAAUGGUAUAUCUUUUUGCAAUAAAUUAGUCAGAGGCCGAGAAAUUUUUGAUAAGUCCUUAAUGAACCUCCUGUAAAAUCCGGCGUGACUAAGGAAACUUCUCAUACCUUUGAUGUCCUUGGGACAUGGCAUCUUUUCAAUAGCAUCCACUUUGGCUUUAUCAACUUCAAUACCUCUUUCGGAAACUUUGUGCCCCAAAACAAUACCUUCAUUAACCAUAAAGUGGCACUUUUCCCAAUUCAAGAAAAGAUUAGUUUCUUCACAUCUCUGCAAAACUCGAUCAAGAUUGCUCAAGCAAUCAUCAAAAGAGGAACCAUAGACGGAAAAAUCGUCCAUGAAAACCUCACAAAUCUUUUCACAAAAGUCAGAGAAUAUAGCCAUCAUGCAUCUUUGAAAGGUAGCAGGUGCAUUACAUAAACCAGAAGGCAUACAUCUAUAAGCAAAAGUACCAAAAGGGCACGUAAAAGUAGUCUUUGAUUGAUCUCUAGCUGACACAGGUAUUUGAGAGAAACCAGAAUAACCAUCUAGAAAGCAGUAAUGUGUGUGUUUGCAUAAUCUUUCUAGCAUUUGAUCAAUAAAAGGUAAGGGUUAAUGAUCUUUCUUAGUAGCCUUAUUUAAUUUGUGGAAAUCAAUUAUCAUCCUAUAACCUGUGAUAAUUCUUUGUGGAAUCAAUUCAUCUUUAUCAUUAGGAACAACAGUAAUACCUCCCUUUUUGGGGACACAAUGGACAUGACUUACCCACUGACUAUCAGCAACGGGAUAAAUUAUACCUUCCUCCAGAAGCUUGAGUAUUUCUUUUCUUACCACUUCUUUCAUUUUAGGAUUUAGACAUCGUUGAGGAUCACGAACUGGUUUGGCAUCUGCUUCCAAAUUUAUUUUAUGUUGACAUAGAGUGGGACUAAUGCCCUUAAGACCAUCAAGAGUGUAUCCAAUAGCAGCACGAUGCUUCUUCAGAGUUUUCAAUAAUCUUUCUUCUUCAUGCUCUGAAAGGUUAGCACCAAUAAUAACAUGAUAUAUCUUCUUUUCAUCAAGAUAAGCAUAUUUAAGAUUAUCAGGUAACGGUUUAAGCUCAAACACGGGAUCACCCUUUGGUUGAGGAGGAUUCCCUAGAAUUUCAACAGGCAAAUUGUGUUGCAGAAUAGGUUCCUGUUCAAAGAAUACAUCAUCUAUUUCCCUUCAUUCGUUCAUGAACAUAUCAUUUUCAUGGUCUAGCAAAUAGUGUUCUAAAGGGUCACUAGGAGGUACGGCAAUAGAAGCAAGACCAAUAAUUUCAUCCUUACUAGGUAAUUCUUCCUCACGAUGUUGUUUAGUAAAUUUGGAGAAAUUAAACUCAUGAACCAUAUCAUCCAAGCCAAUAGUGACAACAUUCUUUUCGCAAUCUAUCUUAGCAUUAAUAGUGUUCAAGAAGGGUCUACCAAAUAUAAUGUGACAAAAGCUAUCUUGUGGAGAAGUAAGAACAAGAAAAUCAGCGGGAUAUUUAGUUUUCCCACACAAGACUUCAACAUAUCUAACAAUCCCAAUUGGUGAAAUAGUAUCUCUAUUGGCAAGUUUAAUUAUGACAUCAAUUCCUUCUAACUCAGCAGGUGCAAUUUCAUUCUUAAUUUCUUCGUAUAAAGUAUGCGGUAUAACACUAGCACUCGCACCCAUAUCACAUAAGCCAUGAUAACAAUGAUCUCCUAUUUUAACAGAAAUAACAGGCACGCCUACCACAGGUCUAUGUUUAUCUUUAUCACAAGGCUUAGCAAUUCUAGCAGUUUCACCUUUGAACUGAAUAACAUGCCCAUCAAUAUUAUCAGACAAGAGAUCUUUAAUAAUAGCAAUAUUAGGUUCUACUUUAACUUUCUCAGGGGGUACAUAAGUUCUGAUAUUGCUUUUACGAACAACAGUUGAAGCUUUAGCAUGAUCCUUUACUCUAACAGGAAAAGGUGGUUUCUCAACAUAAGGAGUAGGAACAGUAGGAUCAUUGUAAGUGACAAUCUUUUCUUCAACUUUAAUAGGUGCAGCUACUUUCACUUCUAUAGGAGGAUGAUAUUUAAACCACUUCUCCUUAGGGAGAUCAACAUAAGUAGCAAAAGAUUCACAGAAAGAAGCUACUAUCUCAGAGUCGAGUCCAUAUUUAGUGCUAAACUUACGGAAAAUAUCGGUAUCCACAAAAGAAUUAACACAAUCAAACUUAGGUGUCAUACCUGACUCCUUACCUUCGUCAAGGUCCCAAUCUUCAGAGUUGCGUUUAAUUCUAUCCAAUAAAUUCCAUCUGAAUUCAAUAGUCUUCAUCAUAAAAGAGCCAGCACAAGAAGUAUCGAGCAUGGUGCGAUUAUUUUCAGAAAGCCGAGCAUAAAAACUUUGCAUAAUUAUUUCUAUCGGGAGCUCAUGAUUGGGGCAUGAAUAUAACAUUGAUUUAAGCCUCCCCCAAGCUUGAGCGAUGCUUUCUCCUUCGCGAGGCCAUAAAUUAUAUAUAUAAUUGCGAUCACGAUGAACAAGAUGCAUAGGGUAAUACUUUUGAUGAAAUUCCAAUGGCUAGGUGAAAACUAGACAAAACUAUAGGCGUUGGUUUCAUCUAAUUUGGAUGAACGAGUAAGAAGUUAUGGCUAUUUGAAAAAUCAAGGCCAAGCUGUUUUACGGAGAAAAAUAUAUAAAUACAGAGACCAAUUGAUAAUCUAAUUAUUCUUCUGUACUAGUCUAGAAAUAAUAAGUUACGAAAGUAUAUAUGAAGAAAGAUACCUUUAUAAGAUAGAGAAAAAAUGACUUUGGAAAGAAGAGACAACUUCUAAAAGUACCGCACGAGAGGAGAAAUACAUUUUUCUUUAGUGAAUCUAGUCAAACCAAAAAAAUUGAUUUAACCCUAAUCGGAUGAUUUUUGAAGCUCUAUGGGUCUAUAUUUAUAGGUGGAAAAAAGGUUUAGGGGUCAAAGGUACUAACCUAUACAUAUGUAGAUGAAAUUGUAAAAAGAUCGCAUGGGCUAAAAGUUCGGCCCAGCCGCACGCUGUAGUUUUUUUAAAGCAAAAUUCGGUCAAAGUGAAAAAAAAGGCUGGCUGGGCCUGGCCCAUGUAGGAGAGAAGAAAAAAAAUAAAAUGAUGGGGCGCCUAAUGCCACUAUGCAGUGCACGUGAGCGACAAAUAAUUAUGGGCCGCAGAUACAGUUUUUUCUAAAUAGAAACAGAAUGGGAAACUGAAUAACGAAAAUAAAAUAAAACUUUUAUAUAGGCAAAUUAUAUAUCAAAAUUUUCAUAAAAAGCUUUUCUAUGACAUGGACAUUUUACCAAAGUCAAAUAAAUCCACGCAAAUUUAUAUAAAGCAAAGAGUGCUACUGCUCUAAUAAAAUCCAAUAAAAAUCAUUUCAAAAAUACUAAAAUGAUUUCAAAUUUAUUACUCUCCAAUUUUAUGUUGUAGGGAAUCAUGUUACCCAAUUUUCCAUAUAUUUUAUUUUUGGAGAAAAAUAAUUUGAAUAAAACCCAAAUAACUCCAAAUUGAAAAUAAUUCUCAAAUGGACUUUAAAUUUGAUCCUUUUAAACUCCCAACUCAUAUUUCAUAUAUUUUUAAGAAGUCAUUUUAUCUUCUCUAAUGAAAAUCUUUGAGUUGCUUGAAGUUUUCUGAAUUUGAAAAUAUUUCAAAUAAAAUUCAAAUCUUUUUUAAACCAUUUUCAUUUAUUUAAAAUGAAAGAAGUCAUGUCAUCUUCUCUCCAGGGUUUUGUGAUGAAAAUAAUUUGAAUUCAUGGAGAUCAAAAUACAAAACGAAAAUUUUGGGAAAGUCCUUUUAUUCCCUCUCAUUUAAAUUUCAAAUUUUUUCGAAUUUCACUCAAUUUCACAUAAUCAAUCAAAUAAGCAAUCAAAUCUAUCUAUUUAAUAUAACAUUCCAAAAUUUAGAAUUUUGGGAUGUUACAAACCUACCACCCUUAAAAUGAAUCUCGUCCUCGAGAUUCGGAGAGGCUAGAAAGAAAUAGGUUAGGUUUGGGGGUCUUCUCAAAAUCCAUUGAUCAUCUCCGGUGUCUCGGGUGCUGCCACCCUUAGAAGCAUUGUUACGGUUCCAUCAAAACUCAUAUACUCCAUCCUUAUCUUUGACAGUGUCGGUCUUCUCGGAUUCUCGGAAAAAUUCCUUCUCUGGGCUCUUCCGGUAGUGGCAUAACCUUUACUGCAAUUCUUUUGUCUUUUAAUCUGGGACUGGGUUUUCUUAGCUGGCGGGUCUGGCGCCAAUUCUAAACAACUAUCGAUAUCUCAUGGUGGUCAACAAUUUAUGGUUUCUCCUGUAGGAAAUGGGUUUGGGCUUCAUUCUCACCGUAUAACCUACGAUUGGCAACAACUGUUGUGUACAAGGGAAAAAUUCUUAUACCAUUCUAAGGUUUAAUCAAGGUUUAAUUUCGUCGUCGCUCUACUAUGGGUAAGUCACUCAGAUUUACCAUCGCAUAUAGCAAGGCGAAUAAUAAGAGUAAGUCGGUAUGGUGAUCAAUCCAUCCCGCACCCAAAUCAUUACCGUGUAUAUGGUUUAGCGAAUCUCGCAUUCUAACACUCGGUCAUCCUCACAAGCAUUGCCGAAUUUCUCUUUUCGACGAACUAAGUUCAGAUAUAUCCAUUGAUUCUGCAAGCCAAACAAAUAUCUAUCCUUCCUUCACCACUCUCAGGUUUUGCGUAAACUCCUAUAAGAUCGUCGGUGGGUAAGGUCGUAAUCUCAUCCAUGGUUUUUCCUUCAGCAAGAGUGUGCUUGCUUCUUGGUAGGUCCUGGGGCCUAUUGGUUAUGGCCCAUCUCAUCACUUGCAAACCUUGAAAUCCUCAUCAGGGCAAGUGAUCAUUAACCCAACAUCCAGCUUCCUAGCAUACUUAAAAUCCUUCCAAUUGUACUGUCUCCCUUCCUUCUAUUGGUACCAAACUCAAACGUAAUUACUCCGACUCAUCAUGGAGUUACAAUUGCUCCAUAUUACCAACCUUCUACCUCCUUUACAUCCAAUAAUACUCCAUACCUUCAUAGUCUUGGGGUAUCCCACAUAUCGAGACAAAACUAGUACUUAUCUUGUCCAACGUCCACUCCAUGGAAUAUCCUUAUCUUUUCCAAGGGUCAAAUCUCCUCACAGGGUACUACCAUCCUUGAAAUGCACCAAUAUCAUCCAUAUACCAUAUUUCUCAUAUCCUCGAAAAUGGUCAAAAAUCCCUCUUCAUAGAGUAACAACUCAUAAAAUCCAUAUCAAUACCAAUGAUGCUCACGUUAUUGAUUCUCCAAUUAUUGCAAUCUCCUGCAUUUCCAUUACAUGCCUCAACUCAACACCUCACUAUAAAGGAAAUCUUCCCACUUCUACUACUAUAUUUCUCACAAACACAACUAAUUAUCACAAGUCUCCUUCUCCUUGGGACAAUCUCUGGCAAAGUGCCCUGCUUCAUCACAACGAAAACAUAUUGCUUCUGACUAGUUCUGAGGUUUCCUUUUUUUUGGGAAACUGCUGAAGUGGUGCCCUGACUCCUUGCACCUGAAACAGGUGAUAUGACUCAGGUCCUUCCUGGAAUCCAAUCUGCUUCUCUUCCUGGACUUUUCCGUGCCAAUCAGGGCUUCCAUUUCCUGUGGGUCGUACUCUACUUCCUCUGUCGGGAAUUCUAGUAGAUCCCCAUUCAAACAAUUCUGGGAGAUGUGUCCUUCUUCUCCACAUGAAUAGCAAAACUUAGUGCAGGGUUUAAUCGAGUCUUCUUUAGGUGUGUCCUCCACCUCUUCCUUCAUCACCGGUUCUUCUAAAAUUUUCAUGAGGGAUCUUUUCAUUGCUUCCUUCUUCUACUGGAUGGUUCUUCGAACCAUGUGGUAAAUGCAACACUAAGCAGGGUAGUGGGUAGUCCCUUCACACAAGUAUCAAGUGAUCUGCCUAGUUGGCAUUCUUCAGCUGGGUGGCUUUCUUCACAAUGAGGGCAUUCCCCCUUGUGUUCUUUAUGGGUGUGUCCUAUUUCUCCAUGGAGCUUGCAUACACAAGGUUUAUUCAUAUCAUUUCCAUAAGGCUUCAAUUUCUGGGACACAAGACGAGACGUUAGCAAAGUCAACUUAAAUUCCUUCCAAAUGGUUACUCCUUGCCAUCCAUUGAGGGUUUGGUACAUCCUCCACCUAGUAGCAGCACCUCUUUCAAAGCACUUAAAACAUGUUGGGCCAUAUCCUUUCCGGCUAUAGGGUUAUUCUCCAUGUGAUCCUCCAUGUUCUGAAUCCAUCGGUGUGUCUCUAAUUGACUUAUUGGUCCCGGAAACACGAGUUCAUCUCCAUUCACCCUCUAUUUGGUCAAUGGGUUUGGGGUGGGAUAAGAGAGAUAGAGAGGGAAACACACGAUGUAAACAAUGGUUUUGAAAAGACAUAUUUUAUUUGUUGCUGUCGGAAAAACAUCAAACAAAUGACAGCUCACAAACAUUGCAUCUAACGUAGGUAUAUAACAGGGGUUUGGGUCUUCUAAAGGUCAAUAAAUCUUCAAAGUCAUCAAACUCUUCAGGUCUUAUUCAUGUCUCCGAUGGCUUCUUCCGAUCGUGCUUGUCCUUCUCAAGUUAUUUUGCCAUAUCAUUUCUAUUGACACAAAGUCUCUCGUGGCGUCCUUCAAUAUUUCUGGAGUUGCGUUCCAAACUUCUGGGUUUCAACAUCCUUGGCAUGAACCAUGGUCCUACUGUUCUUCAGUUCCGAAUGAGUUCUCUGAUAUCUCGAGGUUUUGCUCCUCCAGCUUGGCUACUUCCAGCUUCUGGGUCCUAAGUUCUUCACGGAAUGCUUUAUUGUCAAAUACGGCUUCUUGCAAGUCCAUCUUAAAAUCCUUGAUGUAAUACUCCAGAUCCUGGUGAUACACCAACUAAGAUUAAAACUUCCACUCUUGCUUAUAGGUGCUCCAUCAGCCUUCUACCAUCCAAUCCUUCCGAAGAAAUGCAUGCUUAACUCAGCACGGUGGCCAUAGCAUAAGCGGGCAAUAACAUCAUGGAUAGCCUUGUUUCUUCCCUUGUCAUUGCCAUGAGCUGUCAUUCCAUAGUUUAUAUCUCCUGCAUUAGGGUUUUCUUGACAAAAACUUUGAGUUCUAAUGCUCCAUGUUCCGGUCUUUCUCGGAUACACCUUUAUCUCGGGUAUUGACAACUUCCAUAGUCUGCCAAGUUCCAUAAGGGUAGCCUUCCUAGGUUCUACAAAUCUGGGAAUUCUUCAGAGCUUUCAAAUCCUCCUAGUCUUAGGAGUCUUCAACCGUUGUAGUUUCCAUUAUUAUAAUGCACGGAAAAAAAUCUUCUUCAUUCCAAAGUGGUCUUAGCUAUCCGAUAUCUUGUACUUCUUGGAGUGGUCUCAUCAGUCAAAUCUACGUGUGGUCAAAAGGGGAAAGGGGUAUGGUCUCACUUAAUAGGGAAUAUUUGAAUAAGCUCUGAAGAGAAGAGAGGUAAAAGAUCUUUUUGAAAAUGAAGUUUGUAGAGAAAAUCUUUCCUAUGGGCUUGUCAAUUUCUAGGGGUCAUGUCCUAUAGUCAACAUGUGCUCUGAUACCAUCUUGUAGCGAGCCGACCUCAGACGGUCAAGUCUCUGUGCUUAAUUGUCAUCCCUGGAUCGGUAUGCUGACACACACAGUACUCGAGGAUUUAUAACAGACGUAAAUCACAUGUAUAAAAUAACGUAUAUACUAUUACCUCAAUCCAAAUAGCGGAAGUAACAACAAGGUUGUGGAUUCCCAUCAACACCAACGGCAAAGUUGAGUGUAGAAAUCAUAACCCUAACGUAUUACUUACUCGUCGUAAGAAUCCUGCAACAUGUGACGUUGCAGCCACAAAUGGUCAGUACAUUGAAUGUAAUGGCAAAUUCACACCAUAGGUUAAUGAUGAAUAAUAGCUAUCACUACAUGCAUAUAUGGCUCGUGGAAAAGCUCUAUGGUUAUAAUGUUUUUGCGAAAAGCCAAUUUUUUCCUACUGCAAAGGAAUAUAUUUUUAUUUAACUACAAAUUUGUUGAAAAACAUUGAGAAUGGUAAAUCCCCAUCUCAAUCCCAAUUAAAGUAACCCAACAAAUUAAUUACAGAGUGAUGAGAUCCAUAGGAUAAUCCAAGAACCAGAUACUCAAGAUGUCCAUAACCGGGGACACGACUAAUCAUGAUUAGUUAGUACACUCUACAGAGGUUUGCGCACUUUUCCCCACAAGACUCGAUCUCCUCCGUUGGAUUUCUCGCACUACAGGGUGUUUGAGAAACGGAUGACCGAGACACAGUCUUUCAGAAGCAUUAACUCUUUACUUUGGGUGGACCGUUACACCUACUUUCCCUCUACAUCUGCUAACCCACCACUGAAAUAGGUCACACAACAUACUCAACUAUGCCAGAGCCCAUAAUGGCUUGUGGCUGCACACGGAAGUUUCUAACAUGAAUAAUCUUAUGAUCCCUUUGAGCCUGGGUGGCGUGCCGUAGGAGGAUCACACGGUAUAUCCCCGGGAUCUCCUAGGACAACACUGGAUUCCCCAAGUGCCCAAACAAGCAAUCCACCCAGAUAUGUAUUAAUGUUGCCACCGUAAGUUGAACUAUUAAUUAACUAUCUCACAUCUGCCAUGGAUUCACUCACCCAAACCACGUCUACGAGCAUAGCAUGGCAAUACAAGCAUAACGUAAUAGUAACUCCCAAGGUUUGAAUGCAGGACAAUAGGUUCUACCUCAUCAACUACUUCCCAAUACCCACAUGUUAUCAAGUCCUAACCAUGCAAUGUUUGAGGAUUGAAACUAAUGCAUAAAAACUGGGCAAUAAGGGGAUAUGAUCAAAGUGUGAACUUGCCUGGUACUGUUGAUGAAGAUGAUUCGCACUCAUAACUCCUGAUAGUUCUACUCGUCACACUCCAGUCAAUCUAUCGUGAGCAAGCAAUAGUAACCACACAUAAGCAAUCACUCAAAGGAUCGGAUUGAAGGAAGAAGACAAUUCAGAAAAAUCAAAACCAAGCAGAUAACUCUUGCAACAUAAUACAAUUUCUAACAGUACCAAAAUUAUGUGAAUUUGGCCUUAUCAGAAAGUUUAGGUCAAGAGCUUUGAUUUGCAAAAAGAAUCAACUCAAACGGAGUUAUAAAACUCAAGUUUUGAUCAAAAGAAGUUUGAAUAUGAAUCUGAACAAAUUUGAAAAUUUGAAAAUUUCAAAAGGUUGAUGCGACAAGUUCACUGGAUAGGUGAAAACAAGACGAAACUAUAGGCGCAGGUUUCAUGUAAUUUUGAUGAACGAGUAAGAUGUUAUGGCUAUUUGAAAAAAUCAGGACUAAGCUGUUUUAUGGGAGAAAAAUAAUUACGGCUAAAAGAAUUCUAUGUCUAAUGUAUAAAUACAGAGACCAAUUGAUAAUCUAAUUAUUCUACCGUAAUAGCUAGAAAUAAUAAGCUACAGAAGUAUAUAUGAAGAAAGAUACUUUUAUAAGGUAGAGAAAAAAUGACUUCGGAGAGAAGUGACAACUUCUAGUGAAUCUAAUCAAGCCAAAAAAUUGAUUUAACCCAAAUCAGAUGAUUUUUAGAGGCUCUAUGGGUCUAUAUUUAUAGGUGGAAAAGAGGUUUAGAGGUCAAAGGCUAGGCAAUGUGGGACUAAACCUAUACGUACGCAGAUGAAAUUUGAAAAUGAUCGCAUGGGCUAAAAGUUCGGCCCGGCCGCGCGCUGUAGUUUAAAAAAACAAAAUUCUGUCAAAGUGAAAAAAAGGCUGGCUGGCCUGGCCCAUGUAGGAGAGAAGAAAAAAAUAAAAUGAUGGGGUGCCCGGUGCCACUAUGUAGCGCACGUGGGCGACAAAUAAUUAUGGGCCGCACGUACAGUUUUUUUAAAUAGAAAUAGAAAGGGAAACUGAAUAACGAAAAUACAACAAAAAUUUUAUAUAGGCAUAUUAUAUAUCAAAUUUGUCAGAAAAAGAUUUUUUACGCCAUGAACAUUUUUUCACAGUCAAAUAAAAGCCACACAAAUUUCAAUAAAGCAAAGAGCGCUACUGCUCUAGUAAAAUCCAAUAAAAACCAUUUUAAAAAUACCAAAAUGAUUUUAAAUUUAUUAAUAUCCAAUUUUUUGUUUUAGGGAAUCAUGUUACCCUAUUUUACAUAUAUUUUUUGGAUAAAAAUAAUUUGAAUAAAACCCAAAUAAUUCCAAAUUGAAAAUAAUUUCCAAAAGGACUUUAAAUUUAUCCUUUUAAACUCCCAACUCAUAUUUCAUAUAUUUUUAAGAAGUCAUUUUAUCUUCUCUCAUGAAAAUCAUUGAGUUGCUUGAAGUUUUCUGAAUUUGAAAAUAUUUCCAAAUAAAAUUCAAAUCUUUUCGAAACCCUUUUCAUUUAUUUAAAAUGGAAGAAGUCAUGUCAUCUUGUCUCCAGGGUUUUGUGAUGAAAAGAAUUUGAAUUCAUGGAGAUCAAAAUGCAAAAUGAAAAGUUUGGGAAAGUCCUUUUAUUCCCUCUCAUUUAACUUUCAAAAAGUUUCGAAUUUCACUCAAUUUCACACAAUUAAUCAAACAAGCAAUUAAAUCUAUCUAUUUAAUAUAACAUUCCAAAAUUUAGAAUUUUGGGAUGUUACAACAACUUGCAUGUUGAGAUAAAUAAGGUAGUGGGGAUGAACUUGUUAUAUACAUAGGAUAAGAUGCUCUAACUUUUUAUUAUUCGAAUGUCCGUGGACACAUUUCAGUCCAUAUGCAGUAUAACGAAAUGUCCAAAGAUAUCUCAUAUUUGUGAAUGGAAGGAGUACUAUUUUAAAAAUGUAUUUGCUACAAUUAUUGACUUAUUGAAUUGAUGCUUUGCUUUUUCAGAAAUGUUUGACAUUAUUCUUUUUUCUUCAAUUAAACUGCUUGAAUUUUGAAUAUAUGAUAGACCAUAGGUGGUUGUCAUAUGCAAAACCACUUGAGAUGCAAUAAAGUAAAUUAAAUUCAUGUGCAAUGGGAGUAUUGCAAUCAAUGAUUCACAUAUCAUAGCUCCGUGAUGUGGCACUAGACAACUAUCGUAGACACUAUAUAUGUCAUUGCUUCUCACCUAGGUUUUCAUGUUGCAAAUGCCACUACAAAUGCUACCCCUAUCAACUCGUGUGUGAGCAAGAAUUUGAGUAUCUUGAUACAUGCAUAUGUUGUAGGAUUGGGAGUGGGAGACAUUGGGAAAAUUGUGCUAUGUGCAAAUUCAUAUGUACACAUGAACCAGAGGGUACCUCAUACAACAAAUUUGUAUCCUUCGUUGCUAGGAUUCUUUUGCUGUCGCCGUACCUUGUACCGGAUCUGAAGGAAUUGCCUUAGUUGUUCACUGUACAAUGCAAGUUAGCGCAGUACAACUUUCCUAUGCAUGGAGGGUGGUGCAUCAAGACUAAUUGGGGACUCAACCCAAACGGUUUCUUGCAGAAAAUCGUCACUUACGCAUAUAUGACUGGCUUCCUAACAGAACUAACAUAUAUAUGUUGCACUCAUCUGUGAUGAUUUCGUUCUAGCCCAGCCCUAUGCCAAUCAUGCACACCACUAAUUAGUUUCGGGAAACCAUCUGUGAUGAUUAUCAAUGACUAAUUAGCUCGUGACAUAAGACCCCGAACUGUCAUUGAGGUGUCGUGUGAUUCAACCUACUCUAGUUUCAAUUAAAUUCAGACUUUGAAGGCUCGACUAUUCAGUUGCAUGAAUACUGGCACGUACCCGUAUGGCUAAGCCUUUAAAAAGUGAAAUUCCGGCACUUGUUACUUUUAUGAAUCAGGAAAACAAAUAGUUUUGCUACCAACCCGUUUAGCUCUGUAAAGAAUGAUUUACAUGUACUCACUUACAAACAUCAGCCUUCGGGUAGUUUUAUUUGUCGUCGAUUGGAAACCUGGCGAGUUGUGUAAAGCUCAUGCUUAUCCGUCUUUACUAGUGCAUUUGGGCUCCUUCCGUUUCCCUUCCUAUUUGCGUGAAGUGGGAUUUAUCGAGAGAAGGAAAGCCAGCAUGGCCACCAGGGUAGUGUUGGAAACGAGUCACAACAAAGGCAAAGUAGGUUAGGUCCCUAUACUUUUAUUGACCCUCGAUACUUUUGAUUCACCUUCAGUACCAUCAGUAGUUGAAGCUUGACAACUAAUGUUAUGAUUUAAGAGCCAUGCUUGAAUACCUGGUACAUUUGACCAACCUGUCAUAACAUUGUAAACACAUACUAUUGUAGCAAUUUUGAUGAUGACAUUUAAGCUCAAAAUUAUUGGAUAUGUAAAUAAUAGAAUUCGGUCAGUGGAAGUAUUGUGAUAAUUGAUUCACAGAUAAUUACUGCAUCUGAUAUGAUACUAGACGACUAUCAAUGCCGAGUGCUAUAAAUGACAUUGGUUCUACCAUUUCAAUAUUCCAAAGGUCACAGCAAACACUACUACACGUAGCACAUUUUUUCAGGAAUCUACCACCGCGCUUUUAAAUUAUACAUACAUGAUUGUGAGCUUCUUGUUGCUUAUGGUUUGGGAUUGGAAGAUACUAGGAAAAUUGACUUAGUUAUGCACAUGUAUGUCGAGAUGAACCAGAGAGUACCUCGGAUGCCAGACCCAUGUCCCAGGUUGCCAGACAACCAUCCCAUCUCUAGCACGUAAGGAGAUUCUACAUCGACAUCAACAUAAUCAUCAUGUGUUUUAGUUAGGAACUAUUGACGUGAUGUUGAUAUUUUCUAGUUUGAUUGAGGAAGUGACCACAAAGCAGGCAGGUCCCACAGAUGAACCAUCUAUUUCUUCCAUGCCACGAAAAUAAAUUGAAGACACAUAUUCAAAGCAAUUAAAUUGUCACAAAGGAGUCUCUUUAAUCAAUUCGGAACACAACGGAAAUGACACUAACUAUUAUGGUCACUGCUACCUCUUGAGCACUGCGUUGGUUUUCCCUUGAAGAGGAAAUGGUGAUGCAGCAUAGUAGCGUAAGUAUUUCCCUCAGUUUCUGAGAACCAAGGUAUCAAUCCAGUAGGAGGCUAUGCGCGAGUCCCUUGUACCUACACAAAACAAAUAACUCCUCGCAACCAAUGCGAUAAGGGGUUGUCAAUCCCUUCACGAUCACUUACGAGAGUGAGAUCUGAUAGAUAUGAUAGGAUAAUAUUUUUGGUAUUUUUAUGAUAGAGAUGCAAAGUAAAAUAAAAGCAAAGUAAAAAAGCAAAGGAAAUAAAUAAGUGUGGGAAGAUUAAUAUGAUGAAGAUAGACCCGGGGGCCAUAGAUUUCACUAGUGGCUUCUCUCAAGAGCAUAAGUAUUUUACGGUGGGUGAACGAAUUACUGUUGAGGAAUUGACAGAAUUGAGCAUAGUUAUGAGAAUAUCUAGGUAUGAUCAUGUAUAUAGGCAUCAUGUCCGAGAUAAGUAGACCGACUCCUGCCUGCAUCUACUACUAUUGCCCCACUCAUCGACCGCUAUCCAGCAUGCAUCUAGAGUAUUAAGUUCAUGAAAAUAGAGUAACGCCUUAAGAAAGAUGACAUGAUGUAGAGGGAUAAAUUCAUGCAAUAUGAUAAAAACCACAUCUUGUUAUCCUCAAUGGCAACAAUACAAUACGUGCCUUGCUGCCCCUACUGUCACUAGGAAAGGACACCGCAAGAUUGAACCCAAAGCUAAGCACUUCUCUCAUUGCAAGAAAGAUCAAUCUAGUAGGCCAAACCAAACUGAUAAUUCGAAGAGACUUGCAAAGAUAACCAAUCAUACAUAAAAGAAAUCAGAGAAGAUUCAAAUAUUGUUCAUAGAUAAUCUUGAUCAUAAACCCACAAUUCAUCGGUCUCAACAAACACACCGCAAAAAGAAGAUUACAUCGAAUAGAUCUCCACGAGAGAGGGGGAGAACAUUGUAUUGAGAUCCAAAAAGAGAGAAGAAGCCAUCUAGCUACCAACUAUGGACCCAAAGGUCUGAGGUAAACUACUCACACUUCGUCGGAGAGGCUAUCGUGAUGAUGUAGAAGCCCUCCGUGAUGGAUGCCCCCUCCGGCGGAGCUCCGGAACAGGCCCCAAGAUGGGAUCUCGUGGGUACAAAAGGUUGCGGCGGUGGAAUUAGGUUUUUGGCUCCGUAUCUGAUCGUUUGGGGGUACGUAGGUAUAUAUAGGAGGAAGGAGUAUGCCGGUGGAGCAACAGGGGGCCCACGAGGGUGGAGGGCGCGCCCUGGGGGGUGGGCACGCCCCCCUACCUCGUGGCCUCCUCCUUUGUUUCUUGACGUAGGGUCCAAGUCUCCUGGAUCAUAAUUGAGGGAGUCCUGGAUUAGGGGGUGUCUGGAUGGCCGGACUAUACCUUCAGCCAGACUCCUGGACUAUGAAGACACAAGAUUGAAGACUCCGUCCCGUGUCCGGAAGGGACUUUCGUUGGCGUGGAACACAAGCUUGGCGAUAUGGAUAUGUAGAUCUCCUACCAUUGUAACCGACUUUGUGUAACCCUAACCCUCUCCGGUGUCUAUAUAAACCGGAGGGUUUUACUCCGUAGGACAACAUACACAACAACAAUCAUACCAUAGGCUAGCUUCUAGGGUUUAGCCUCUCUGAUCUCGUGGUAUAUCUACUCUUGUACUACCCAUAUCAUCAAUAUUAAUCAAGCAGGACAUAGGGUUUUACCUCCAACGAGAGGGCCCGAACCUGGGUAAAACUUCGUGUUCCUUGCCUCCUGUUACCAUCCGGCCUAGACGCACAGUUCGGGACCCCCUACCCGAGAUCCGCCGGUUUUGACACCGACAUUGGUGCUUUCAUUGAGAGUUCCUCUAUGUCGUCGCCAUCAGGAAGGAUGCCUCGCCCCGUCUUUAAAGACGGCACCGUUGCUAAGGGAGCUUUGGCUGUCGGCCAAACCCUCUGGCUAGGUGGUUUUCUUAUGACCGCCUGUUCGGCUUCUGCGUCGACGAUGACUUCUCGAGCCAUCGAAAACAAUCUUCAUGUCAGCUCAGAACUCGCCGAGCAGUUAGAUCCAAUGUAGCUCUCCUCCAUAAACGAGCUCUUGGAUCGCUUCACCGCCCUGGGAGUCACUACGGAUUAUGACCAGAUUGGGCCUAAACCCGAUCUGAGAGAGAUUAACUCUCCCCAAGUCACCCAUCACGUUGUCGUGGUAGAGGGACAGUGCGGCGACCCUUCAUCUAUCUUAAGGACUCGCUACAUCCGGAUUCCCGAUCCCUCCAAGCCGGAUACCCGCGGAGGGGAGGCUAUCACACAAGACCUGAACUUAGAGUCAGGCGACGGGCUGGAUUCAUUGGACAACAUCCAGGAAUCCAAAUUUUCGAGUUCGGAAAUUCCUCGGCCUCUGAGCCUUAGAUGGGGUGAGGCUUCAGAUUUAAUUCCACCCACCCACCCCAACAUAAGCGAUCUAUCCAAAAUCAGGCAAGAGCCCGAUGAAACAGUACAUCAUUACUGGGCCAGAUUCCUCCUGGUUAAGAACAGGCUAAGGGACUGCCGCGAGGAAGACGCAAUCUCAAUCUUCUGCAAUAAUUGCACGGACAAGGGAAUACUCAACGCCAUAAGUCGCGUGAUAUUACACACUUCACUGACUUGGCAUCCAUUGUACGAAAGUACUGUGCGAUGGAAAGCGCCUGGAAAACCGAAAUCAAAUUUUGGGACAAUCCGGCCCUGAAUACAAACCCAGUCCGAAAUAAAAGGAUGCAUCAUCACCAGACACCCGGGUUAAGCACUAAAAAGGAAAAACCCUCUACAGGGCAUGGAACCGUACUGGAAGGAUGGCUCAAUGGACCCUGUAACAUUCACAGUACAGAGGACGCCACACCAACUCACAGCCUCAGAGCAUGUUGGAUACUCCGGCAGGUGGCCAAAACUGGCGAAAGUCUCCUAAUUCCGGAGGCCAUAGAAAGCCACCCCAGAGACACCAAUACGGUAUUAAUAGUCUUCGAGACUUUCGCAUCAAAUAAUAUGCGAAAAAGGACACUCCGCAGCCUUGCCGAAGUCUACCAAGUAGCAACAAUAAACACAUGGAGUGACACGGCUAUUACCUUUAAUGCCAGUGAUGAACCUAAAUUCCGAACAGCCCAAGCACCAGCCGCAUUGGUCCUCAGUCCAAUAGUGGACGGCUUUCGUCUUACCAAGGUACUCAUGGACGGCGGCGGCGGAUUGAACCUCAUUUAUGAGGAAACCCUUCAAAAAAUGGAAAUAGACUGGAACCGCAUUGAGCGAAGCAGCACAACCUUUAGAGGAAUAAUCCCCAGUCGGGAAGCGCGCUGUACAGGAAAAAUCACACUAAAUGUGGUGUUCGGCGUGCCGGAUAAUUACAGGUCCGAAGAGGUCACGUUCCAUGUGUCUCCGUUCAGCAGCGGUUAUCAUGCUCUGCUAGGGCGGGAAGCGUUUACAAUCUUCCAAGCAAUACCCCAUUACGGGUACAUGAAGCUCAAGAUGCCUGGGCCUAACGGGAUCAUCACUCUCACUAGUGAUCCGGACAUAGCACUCCACGCCGAAAACAAGACAGCCGCACUGGCCCUCGAGGCACUAUCUGAAGCCCUAGCAGCUGAGGAACUGACUGCGCUGCGCUCUACGAUGAAUAGGGACGAUGUGGUACUCGACAAAAGAUCCAAGUCCACCUCCUUUAAACUGGCGGACGAAAUAGUCAAAUUCCAAGUCCAUCCAACAAACCCCAAUAAAACAGCUUCCAUCGGGGCACAGUUAAACCCUGAUGUAGACGCCGCACUGCGAGAGUUCCUAUGAGAGAAUUGGGACAUUUUCGCCUGGCACCCUUCAGACAUGCCAGGAAUCCCACGCAGGCUGGCCGAGCACAGCUUAAAUAUCCAAACAGGAUUCAAACCUGUCAAACAGGCUCUUCGGCGUUUUUCCGAACCUAAGAGACAUGCCAUGGGAGAGGAGCUAACAAAGCUAUUGGAGGCCGGAUUCAUCAGAGAUAUAAAACAUCCGGACUGGCUAGCAAACCUGGUGAUGGUACCAAAGAAGGACAAAUCAUGGCGCCUGUGUGUUGAUUUUAAAGACCUUAACAAGGCUUGCCCAAAGGAUCCCUUCCCCCUCCCCCGCAUCGAUCAAAUUAUCGACGCUACCGCAGGACACGAUUCGUUGUGUUUCCUCGACGCAUAUUCCGGCUACCAUCAAAUCAAGAUGGCAGAACCAGACCAAGCCGCAAUGGCAUUUAUCACACCAUAAGGCCCAUUCUGCUUCAACACGAUGCCCUUCGGGCUCAUAAACGCUGGCGCAACAUAUCAGCGCAUGAUUCAGACAUGUCUGGCAAGCCAGAUCGGCAAAAUAGUGGACCCAUAUGUAGAUGAUGUGGUCGUCAAAACAAGACAUGUUGAAUCUCUAGUAGAUGACUUGAGGCUCACAUUUGAUAACCUCCGAACAUACGACAUCAAGCUCAACCCGGAAAAAUGUGUUUUCGGCGUUCCAGCCGGAAAGCUCUUGGGCUUCAUUGUAUCCGGUAGAGGAAUUGAAGCAAAUCCAGCCAAGAUCCGAGCUCUGUCACAACUGGAUAUCCCAAAGGACCUCAAACAAAUACAAAAGUUAAUCGGAUGUGUGGCGGCUCUAAGCCGCUUUAUCUCCCGCUUGGGAGAAAAGGCUCUACCCCUUUACCGCCUCCUUCGGUGCACCGAAUGCUUCAAAUGGAUGGAUGCAGCCACGGCCGUACUCGACGAAAUAAAAGCCGUACUGGCAACAAACCCAGUCCUGGCCGCGCCAAACAUUGGUGAACCAAUGCUAUUAUACAUUGCAGCAACACAUCAUGUUGUAAGCGCAGUGCUCGUCGUCGAACGAGAAGCGGACGAACACAAAUUCCCCCUUCAAAAGCCGGUCUAUUAUGUGUCCAUUGUCCUCACUCCCUACAAAUCACGGUACCCGCAUUAUCAAAAGAUCGUACGCGGUAUUCAUGGCAUCCCGGAAGCUACGACACUACUUUCAAGAGUGUUCAAUAACAGUAGCCUCGGAAGUACCACUUAACGAUAUUAUAAACAACCAUGACGCAACGGGCCGGAUUGCAAAAUGGGCCAUUGAGCUCCUCCCGUUCGACAUAACUUAUAAGCCAUGGCAAGCCAUCAAGUCGCAAGUCUUGGCCGACUUCGUCGCAGAAUGGACGAAGGCCGAACUCCCUAAAGAGUACGACACAUAUUCAAAUUGGAUCAUGAAUUUCGACGGCUCCCAGAUGUUGGCCGGACUGGGGGCCGGCGUCGUUUUGACGUCCCCCACAGGAGACACAGUUCAAUAUGUACUCUAGAUUAUGUACACGGACUCCAACAAUCCAGCCGAAUAUGAGGCCCUUUUACAUGGUCUCCGGAUGGCAGUAUCCAUGGGCAUUCAACGCCUAGAGGUGCGCGGGGACUCGAACCUCGCAAUAUCCCAAAUAAAUGGAGACUUCGAUGCCAAGGAUACAAAAAUGGCAGCUUACCGCAACACCGUCCUAAAAAUGUCAUCUCAGUUCGAGGGGCUUGAAUUUCACCAUAUAGCCCGGGAAAAUAAUCAGGCGACGGAUGUCCUAGCACGCAUCGGCGCAAAACACGAUGUAGUCCCCCCCCAACAUCUUCUUGGAAAGGCUGUUCAAGCCAUCCGUAGUAUGGGAAGGGGGGCCGAACAAUAACAGCCCGGACCCAACCGCACUGCCCGACACCAAACAUCCUGACACAAUUGGAGGCUUUGCCAAUGAAAUAACACCUUCAGCCCACGUAAUAAUGGCCGUCAUCGCCCCGUGGACAGAACCAUUCCUCGCCUACCUUACUAGGCAGGAACUCCCCGAGGACCAAAAUGAGGCACGCUGCAUAGUGCGGCGAUCCAAAGCCUACAGAGUCCACGAGGGAGAACUUUAUAAGAAAAGCACUGCCGGAGUCCUUCAAAGGUGCAUCUCCGAAGAGGAGGGGCGGAACCUCCUGGCUGAAAUUCAUGCCGGACUCGGAGGUCAUCACGCUGCAGCUCGGUCCCUUGUAAGCAAGGCCUUCCGUACAGGCUUUUAUUGGCCGACGGCCCGGGCAGACGCUCAGGUUGCCAGCUCUUUGCAAACCAAAGCCAUAUGCCACCCACCGCCCUCCAAACUAUCCCCAUUACUUGGCCCUUCGCGGUCUGGGGGCUUGACAUGGUUGGACCCCUUAAAUGCGGAACCCACAAGCAAAAAUACUUACUGGUCAUGGUGGAUUAGUUCACCAAAUGGAUAGAAGCCAAGCCUGUUAAGACGGCCGAAUCCGGACCGGUGAUAGACUUUAUAUCUGGGGUUGUACACCGUUACGGCGUCCCCCACAGCAUCAUCACUGAUAACAGCACGAACUUCACGGCCGACGAGGUAAAACUCUGGUGCAAAAACAUGGGCAUCAAGCUCGAUUAUGCUUCCGUCUAUCACCCACAAACUAACGACCAGGUCGAACGUGCAAAUGGUCUUAUCAUGAGCGACAUCAAACCCAGAUUAGUGCGGUCCCUCAAGGAAUCUAAUACGCACUGGGUAGAGGAGCUCGACUCCGUACUCUGGGGGCUGCGGACCACGCCGAAUUGUACCACCGGAUACACACCAUUCUUUAUGGUGUACGGCGCAGACGCAGUUUUGCCUUGCGACAUAAUUCAUGACUCACCUCGAGUGUGCAUGUACGAAGAAAGAGAAGCCGAGCUCGAUCAGCAGAAUAGCUUGGACGAUUGGAGGAGGAGCGUGACGUGGCAAAAGCCCGUUCCGCAUUCUAUCAACAGCAGGCUCGAAGAUACCAAAGCAGAGAAGUACGGGCCAAAAAUUACAACGUUGGCGAAUUAGUUCUACGACUACCGGACAAGAAAAAGGACAAACUCAAGCCCAAGUGGGAAGGUCCCUUCAUAAUUGACCAAGUCCUGACUGGUGGAGCGUACCGCCUGCGGGAUGCAUCGGAUAACCGACUCAAGCCGAACCCAUGGAACGCAGCCCGUCUCCAAAGAUUCUAUGCCUAGCGCUGGACUCUGUGUUCGUCUCCUUCCUCUGUCCAUUUUUUAUAUAUAUUCUGUCUUACAUUUCUCUUCUCUCUCUCUCUCUCUCUCUCUCUCUCUCUCUCUCUUAUAGCCUUUAAAGGCUCAUAAAGUGACGCGCUAUCCGCGCUCAUUAAACCCGGGGGCUUCUUUAAACAGAAGCUUAUUCAUACGGGCUUCAUGCCCAGCACAUGUGUCAUACUUCCGCAUGUACCUUUUAUUCACCAUUAUAUGCAUCGAUAUGACUUAAGUUUUGUCCAAGCUGGGUUGCCUGGCUCCUGUGCUUACCCCUACGUUCCCGAUUGUUCGGCUAGGUGGUAAAGGGAGCACCUCUGCGAUUGUUACUGCCGGGUCAGCCGAACGUGUACCUCAGACUGGGUGAAGCCGAAAGCUAGCGUUCUUAAGGGAAUAUUCGGUCGGUGAACUAAAGAUGAUCCUUUUUCAUUUUUAUCUAUACGCCCCCAGAUAUUUUUCCUGCGUUUCUUUUCGCAGCAUGGACAUGCACCUUAGGGCAUGCCUCCCAGGGAAAGGAACCCCUAACGGAACUAUUCUCCCUGGAAGAUGUUUCUUACUAACCAUGUAAUAUAACAUAACUAGUCGGUCACUUGUCUAUUCACGCACUAAUGACCCCUACGCCUAGUCUCCAUGCAUUCCCCGGUUCCUAUAUAACCGCAUGGGAAUUCGGACACACUCUGGACCGUCAGGUCCCGAGGCUGAAGCAAAAAGGUCGGCCAUGACAAAUGAUCUACAAUCUGGCUAGAAGGCAUUAUAAAUGUCAAUUAAAUUACAUAGUCAUUUUGACUGAUUGUAUUCCUCUUCAAUACCAUCUAACAGGCUGUCUAAUUUACAGUCCUGCUGGGAAUACUUUGCGGCCAACUCUACUUGGCCGUAUACUAAGCUUACAGGGAUCUCCUUCCCAUCGGGCCCUACAAGACCGACCUCGGCCAUGUGGUUGGGGUCAGCCUUUGCGUACCGCGUCUUCACCAUGGCCCAGGCCUCCCUAGCGCCUUGACGCCAGGCCGAUAUCUUCCACAAUCGGAAGCGCAGCCGUGCUCCCUUUAGCUUCUCCGCAAGCUCUCCAAGACCUUCGGGCAUGGAGACGGAUGGCCACAUGGCCUGGGCGACGCCUUGCAUCGCCUGCUGAACUCGAUCGAGCAGUUGCGAGAGCUCGGGAAGAAGGUCACCCGUAGAACCGGGCAUCUCCUCUGCAGGACGACCUGUUAGCACACCUACAGACACUGCUCUGUUAGUUGACUUCCCCGCCGAACUUUCUUUCAAAGGUUCGUUCAGGCACUUACUAAAUAUGCAGCGCCGAAGCUGCUGAUUCUCCUUCAUGGAGUCUGACAGCUGGGCACGAACAUCUUUCAGCUCGACGGCCAGCUGGGUGUUGGCAUCUUGGAGAUCGUUCCUCUCCCGCCUCACCUUUGUCAGCACCUUCUCACCAGCCUUUAGCUGGCGUAGGAGGUGUUGCCUUUCCGGAUUCAAUCCAGCGCCAUCUGCAAUUUCAUUUGUCAGAUUCGCACCCAUGUCGUGCUUUGCAAAAUACUUAUCUUUCAAAGUGUAUAUUACCAGAGAGGGUCUCCUUGGGCUCCCCUGCCGCGGCUAGUGCGGCCUCAAGUUGGGAUUUGCACUCUUCCAGCUCCUUGGACAGUAGGGAAUUCUUUUCUAUAAGAACCUGCAUAACAAAUGAUCCUUAAAUCAGUUAUUCUAACUAUUUCAAGUCUCGGGGGCUACUGGUAUAUAUAUAUAUAUAUAUAAUUACCAAAAUUUUCUUACCCGUAUGUCUUUUACAUAUUGCUCCGUAGCUCUGGCUAGACCAUUUUGAGCGGCACGGAGGUAUGCAUCUCCGGAGUUGAAGGCAUCUAACGCCCCUUGAGAGAAACAAGCGUCGCGAAGAAUUGUCCGGCAACGCCUGUGGUUCAUGGCACUCUCCACCUCAGAGUUGGUGGCAGACAACCCGUCCACAUCCUCCAUUGGAGGAGCGUCUGGCGCGCGCCUUGCGUUCGCCUCCGCCUCCGGGCCAGGCUUUGGAGCCUAGCUGGUGGAGGCGCGAUUGGCAGCCUCUCCGGAUAUAGUCCGGCGAGGUCUCUUUGUCUGGAAGAAAGCACAAGUGUCAAUGUGCCUCGAAGGUAUAACACCUAGGAUAAGGGGGUGCGCCAUACCUUUGCGCUGACGCCUCGGUCCGUACUGCACUUCUUUUCUGCCCACGGGGCCCUACGGCCCCUCGUUGGCUUGUCGCCGCAGGUUCAGCCUUCCGCUUUAAAAACCUCCCCUGCAAAGUUCGGUUGUAAUCAGGAAACUGAAAACACGAGAGGGCGGACACCUAUUCGGGGUACUGGGACUUCGAUCUCAGUUACCUGGGAGGCCGGGAUUAGCCCUGGGUAAUCGGCUGUAAUGGCCACCAAGGCGUUGUCCUUGCUCAAUUGAUGGAACACACCAUCAAUCAGCUCCACAGAUAUGUCUGGAUCCUCUUGAGAGGCCGGGUCGAGGGACCAUCCUGGGUCCUCGGGUUGUGGAGGAGGGCUGCUUAUUUCCUUAAUAGCCAGGCGCAGUUCCUGCGUUGAAGUCGUCAGACUGAAUAUUUAACAAUGGGAAUACAAAACGGAUGGGCAAGUAAAUACGACCGCUUACCCAGCUUGGGUGAUUGUGCAUAGAGAAUCCACCCUGUGGGUUAACGCGGAGAAAUUCCUCCUCUUCUCCCUUAUACAAAGUGGACAAGAUUUUUAGUAGAGCGGCAACUGAAUCCGGCCCCUUACGGCCGUAGCGGGUGGCGUCGUCCUCCCCGUUGAAGUCCCACAUGGGGUGGCUUCUAUACUAAAGCGGUUGCACCCCCCGCAUAAUGCAUUCGGCCAUAAACCCGAUCAUGCUUAGUCCGGAAUGGGCUAACAAUCUUAUUCGGCCCAUCAGGUAAAUGAUGUCCCUGUCACUUUCCCUCUGAGGGCUCCGUGGAAGCCAGCUUAGGCGCUUCUUUAAGGUAGCACUGUCGAAUUCAGGGAGGCCGAUCUGGACAGGAUCCGGCAGCGGGACGUCUUCUAUAUAAAACCAUUCCGAGGGCCAGUCUUCGGACGCCUUCUUUGGGGUUCCGGACAGAUAUCCAGUCCCGGUGAUGCGCCACACUUUGGCUCCGCCCACUUGAUACAUUGACCCCUCCUUAGAGUGGGACACAAGGCAGAAUAACCUUUUCCAUAGCCCGAAAUGAGCCUCGAUACCCAAAAACAGCUCGCAGAGGGCUACAAAACCCGUGAUAUGCAAUACGGAGGCAGGCGUGAGAUUGUGUAGCUGGUGGCCAUAGAACUCCAAGAGCCCCUGGAGAAAUGGAUGGAUUGGAAAUCCGAGCCCCCUUAUUAAAUAAGGGACGAGGCACACCCGCUCUCCUUUGGAGGGAUUAGGGGCACUCUCCGCUUGCUCUCCGCCAUUAUAGAUGGCAAGGCCGGCUCGAACCGGGACCAUAUAGGCCGGGGGGAGAAAUCCCUUGGUCUGGAGCGUCACUAGCUCGCUAUGCGGGAUGGAGCAUCUCUCCCAGUAUCCAGGCUGAGGGUUGGAAAGGCGAGAAGAGGAGUCGCGACGGCUGGCCAUGGUGGAAUGGACCUUUGUCGGAUGCGCUCUGAUGAACACUCGCGAAGGGGGGAAGAUGUGGUUUGGAUCUAAAUCCUCGUCCCCUUAAAUAGGUCAGCUCAUUUACGCGGCUAGGGGUGUGAAUGUAAAAACACUCAGACUUUUCAUAUUCAUUUGACACGUGGGAAGCAGCCAUUAUUGGGCGUAGAAGCCAAGGAGCGCAACAUCUACAAGAAACCAGACUUUAUUCAACAGGUACACCGAAUUUGGAGAACCCGCAUUGCAAUGCCGAAGACAAUCUGCGCGGACUCAUCGUCAUUGAAGCCUGGUUCGGGGGCUACUUAGGGAGUCCUGGAUUAGGGGGUGUCCGGAUGGCCGGACUAUACCUUCAGCCAGACUCCUGGACUAUGAAGACACAAGAUUGAAGACUCCGUCCCGUGUUCGGAAGGGACUUUCCUUGGCGUGGAAGACAAGCUUGGCGAUACGGAUAUGUAGAUCUCCUACCAUUGUAACCGUCUUUGUGUAACCCUAACCCUCUCCGGUGUCUAUAUAAACCGGAGGGUUUUAGUCCAUAGGACAACAUACACAACAACAAUCAUACCAUAGGCUAGCUUCUAGGGUUUAGCCUCUCUGAUCUCGUGGUAGAUCUACUCUUGUACUACCCAUAUCAUCAAUAUUAAUCAAGCAGGACGUAGGGUUUUACCUCCAUCGAGUGGGCCCGAACCUGGGUAAAACUUCGUGUUCCUUGCCUCCUGUUACCAUCCGGCCUAGAUGCACAGUUCGGGACCCCCUACCCGAGAUCCACCGGUUUUGACACCGACAAUAAUCUUCCUAAAAAUCACGUUCCCGAAGGUUUCAUUCCGGUUGGACUCCGUUUGAUAUUCCUUUUCUGCGAAACUCUGAAAUAGGCAAAAAACCACAAUUCUGGGCUGGGCCUCCAGUUAAUACGUUAGUCCCAAAAAUAAUAUAAAAGUGAAUAAUAAAGCCCAAUAAUGUCCAAAACAGUAGAUAAUAUAGCAUGGAGCAAUCAAAAAUUAUAGAUACGUUGGAGACGUAUCAGUCACUCUCCAGAGUACAGACUGCAAGUGAUCUCUAACUCGCCACUACUACUCUUUCUUGUUCACUUUCUUUUUACUUUCUCUAGUUGCUUAUAUUCUUAGUGCAACUUUCUUGAGGGUAUUUGUUUUUUUUUAUAUUUGGCCACUUUACGAAGUACAGUUUGCCUGGAGGUCAAGGUCAGGGUGUGCUUUUUAAAUCUAUUCAUAGUGUAUAAUAACGGGUAUGCUAAAACUCAUUCGACUGAUAUUUAAUCAUGUCCCAGUCAACCUUGCAACAUUUUGUCCCUUUGUUUGCAACUUUUCUUCCUACCGGUUGCAACAUCAGUCUUGCUGGUUGUGGCAUGUCAUCCCUCGUUGAUUGUAGCAUGUCAUCUCACUGGUCGCAACAUCCUCAAUUGAUGGUUGUAGCAAUUUAGUCAGAAUGGUUGUAGGAUAUAUUGUCGUUGCUUGCAGUAUUGUCGUCUAAUUUUUCAUCAUCACUUGCAGCAUCCAGUCUUCUCGAUCAUAGCACCACAACUAUGCUGACGUCACUAGACUGAGACUUCAUUAAGUCUCAGCCGAUUGAGUUCUAAAGUUUGUGGUCAGAUCAGACUUCAAAUUUUGCUUUUCUAUGAUUUUUUUUAAUUAUUAACUUAUUUGCUACACUUACUAGUAGACUGCCCGUGCGUUGCCAUGGACCAACAAUUGAAUUUACUGAAAACGCUCUCACCCGCUUAUUAUACAUAGUAAAGCAACAAUUAACAUAAUAAUAAAGCAACAAUCAACAUACAUGCAUCCGCAUACAACAACCUAAUUGACUAAAAUGCCCCUUCCUUUAAUUUCACAUCUGCAGUACAUGGCAGCAUGCCUCCUCAAGUAGCUUUCGUCGGGUCUAGAUUGUUUGUGGUUCUUUACUAACUUGUUUGUAAGAGAACUGUUCCAUCCAAAUGUAGGAUGUACGCACUCUCUGAAGAAACAUAAGAUUUUUUAUUGAUAAUAUAGUACAAUAUUAAAGUGGCAUCUUCAUCAUCCCGGCGCUCUCCAUGACGAGGAGGGAGUAGUUCACCCUCGGGGCUGAGGGUAUGUACCAGUAGCUAUGUGUUUGAUCUCUCUCUCUCUCUCUCUCUCUCUCUCGUGUUCUUGAUUUGGCACGAUCUUGAUGUAUCGUGAGCUUUGCUAUUAUAGUUGGAUCUUAUGUUGCUUCUCCCCCUCUUCUCUCUUGUAAUGGAUUGAGUUUUCCCUUUGAAGUAAUCUUAUCGGAUUGAGUCUUCAAUGAUUUGAGAACACUUGAUGUAUGUCUUGCCGUGUGUAUCUGUGGUGACAGUGGGAUAUCACGUGAUUCACUUGAUGUAUGUUUCGGUGAUCAACUUGCGGGUUCCACCCAUGAACCUAUGCAUAGGGGUUGGCACACGUUUUCGUCUUGACUCUCCGGUAGAAACUUUGGGGCACUCUUUGAGGUUCUAAGUGUUGGUUGAAUAGAUUAAUCUGAGAUUGUGUGAUGCAUAUCAUAUAAUCAUACCCACGGAUACUUGAGGUGACAUUGGAGUAUCUAGAUGACAUUAGGGUUUUGGUUGAUUUGUGUCUUAAGGUGUUAUUCUAGUACGAACUCUAGGGAUGUUUGUGACACUUAUAGGAAUAGCCUAACGGAUUGAUUGGAAAGAAUAACUUUGAGGUGGUUUCGUACCCUACCAUAAUCUCUUCGUUUGUUCUCCGCUAUUAGUGACUUUGGAGUGACUCUUUGUUGCAUGUUGAGGGAUAGUUAUAUGAUCCAAUUAUAUUAUUAUUGUUGAGAGAACUUGCACUAGUGAAAGUAUGAACCCUAGGCCUUGUUUCCUAGCAUUGCAAUACCGUUUGUGCUCACUUUUAUCAUUAGUUACCUUGCUGUUUUUAUAUUUUCAGAUUACAAAAACCUAUAUCCACCAUCCAUAUUGCACUUGUAUCACCAUCUCUUCGCCGAACUAGUGCGCCUAUACAAUUUACCAUUGUAUUGGGUGUGUUGGGGACACAAGAGACUCUUUGUUAUUUGGUUGCAGGGUUGUUUGAGAGAGACCAUCUUCAUCCUAUGCUUCCCACGGAUUGAUAAACCUUAGGUCAUCCACUUGAGGGAAAAUUUGCUACUGUCCUACAAACCUCUGCACUUGGAGGCCCAACAACAUCUACAAGAAGAAGGUUGUGUAGCAGACAUCAACGUGUGCUGAACUUGGAGGUGACGUGCGUUCGGUACAUGAUCGAUCGGAUCGUGAAGACGUAUGACUACGUCAACCGCGUUGUGCUAACGCUUCCGCUUUCGGUCUUCGAGGGUACGUGGACAACACUCUCCCCUCUCGUUGCUAUGCAUCACCAUGAUCUUGCGUGUGCGUAGUAAUUUUUUUGAAAUUACCACGUUCCCCAACGAUAGCUUCUUUCAAGAGCAUAAGUAUUACGGUGGGUGAACAAAUUACUAUCGAGCAACUGAUAGAAUUGAGCAUAGUUAUGAGAAUAUCUAGUUAUGAUCAUGUAUAUAGGCAUCAGGUCCUUGAAAAGUAGACCGAAACGAUUCUGCAUCUACUACUAUUACCUCACACGUCGACCGCUAUACAGCAUGCAUCUAGAGUAUUAAGUUCAUAAGAACAGAGUAAUGCUUUAACUAAGAUGACAUGAUGUAGAGGGAUAAACUCAUGCAUUAUGAUAUAAACCCUAUCUUGUUAUCCUCGAUGGCAACAAUACAAUACGUGCCUUGCUCCCCCUGCUGUCGCUAGGAAAGGACACCGCAAGAUUGAACCCAAAGCUAAGCACGUCUCCCAUUGCAAGAAAGAUCAAUCUAGUAGGCCAAACCAAACUGAUAAUUCGAAGAGACUUGUAAAGAAAACCAAUCAUACAUAAAAGAAUUCAAAGGAGAUUCAAAUAUUGUUCAUAGAUAAACUUGAUCAUAGACCCACAAUUCAUCGGUCUCGACAAACACACCGCAAAAGAAGAUUACAUCGAAUAGAUAUCCAAGAGAAUUGAGGAGAACUUUGUAUUGAGAUCCAAAGGGAGAGAAGAAGCCAUCUAGCUAAUAACUAUGGACCCGAAGGUCUGAGGUAAACUACUCACACAUCAUCGGAGAGGCUAUGGUGUUGAUGUAGAAGCCCUCCGUGAUCAAUGCCCCCUCCGGCGGAGCGCCGGAGAAGUCCCCAAGAUGGGAUCUCAGGGGUACAGAAGGUUGCGGCGGUGGAAAUAGGGUUUUGGCUCUGUGUCUGAUGUUUUGGGGGUAUGUAGGUAUAUAUAGGUGGAAGAAGCCGAAAAUCAUGUUACCGAAGGUUUCAUUCCGUUUGGACUCUGUUUGAUAUUCUUUUUCUGCGAAACACUGAAAUAGGCAAAAACAGCAAUUUGGGCUGGGCCUCCGGUUAAUAGGUUAGUCCCAAAAAUAAUAUAAAAGUGUAUAAUAAAGCCCAUUAAACAUCCAAACAGAAUAUAAUAUAGCAUUGAACAAGAAAAAAAUUAUAGAUACGUUGGAGACGUAUCAAGCAUCCCCAAGCUUAAUUCCUGCUCGUCCUCGAGUAGGUAAAUGAUAAAAAUAGAAUUUUUGAUGUGGAAUGCUACUUGGCAUAAUUUUCAAUGUAAUUCUCUUAUUUGUGGUAUGAAUGUUCAGAUUCGAAUGAUUCAAGACAAAAUCUUAAUAUUGACAUAAAAAUAAUAAUACUUCAAGCAUACUAACUAAGCAAUUAUGUCUUCUCAAAAUAACAUGGCCAAAGAAAGUUAUCCCUACAAAAUCAUAUAGUUUGGCUAUGCUCUAUCUCCAUCACACAAAUUAUUUAAUCAUGCACAACCCCGAUGACAAGCCAAGCAAUUGUUUCAUACUUUUGGUGUUCUCAAGCUUUUCAAUCUUCACGCAAUACAUGAGCGUGAGCCAUGGACAUAGCACUAUAUGUUGAAUAGAAUGGUGGUUGUGGAGAAGACAAAAAAGGAGAAGAUAGUCUCACAUCAACUAGACGUAUCAAUGGGCUAUGGAGAUGCCCAUCAAUAGAUAUCAAUGUGAGUGAGUAAGGAUUGCCAUGCAACGGAUGCACUAGAGCUAUAAGUAUAUGAAAGCUCAACAAAAACUAAGUGGGUGUGCAUCCAACUCGCUUGCUCACGAAGACCUAGGGCAUUUUGAGGAAGCCCAUCAUUGGAAUAUACAAGCCAAGUUCUAUAAUGAAAAUUUCCCACUAGUAUAUGAAAGUGAUAUCAAAGGAGACUCUCUAUCAUGAAGAUCAUGGUGCUACUUUGAAGCACAAGUGUGGUAAAAGGAUAGUAGCAUUGUCCCUUCUCUCUUUUUCUCUCUUUUUUUUCUUUUUUUUCUUUGGCAUUUUAUCUUCUUUUUUAUGGCCUUUUUUUAUUUAGUCUGGAGUCUCAUCCCGACUUAUGGGGGAAUCAUAGUCUCCAUCAUCCUUUCCUCACUUGGUACAAUGCUCUAAUAAUGAUGAUCAUCACACUUUUAUUUUCUUUACAACUCAAGAAUUACAACUCAAAACUUAGAACAAAACAUGACUCUAUGUGGAUGCCUCCGGCGGUGUACCGGGAUAUACAAUGAAUCAAGAGUGACAUGUAUGAAAGAAUUAUGAAUGGUGGCUUUGCCACAAAUAUGAUGUCAACUACAUGAUCAUGCAAAGGAAUAUGACAAUGAUGAAGUGUGUCAUAGUAAAUGGAACGAUGGUAAGUUGCAUGGCAAUAUAUCUUGGAAUGGCUAUGGAAAUGCCAUGAUAGGUAAGUAUGGUGGCUGUUUUGAGGAAGGCAUAUGGUGGGUGUAUGAUACCGGCGAAAAGUGCGCGGUAUUAGAGAGGCUAGCGAUUGUGGAAGGAUGAGAGUGUGUAUAAUCCAUGGACUCAACAUUAGUCAUAAAGAACUCAUAUACUUGUUGCAAAAAUCUACAAGUUAUCAAAGCAAAGUAUUACGCGCAUGCUCCUAGGGGGAUAUAUUGGUAGGAAAAGACCAUCGCUCAUCCCCGACCGCCACUCAUAAGGAAGACAAUCAAUAAAUAAAUCAUGCUCCGACUUCAUCACAUAACGGUUCACCAUACGUGCAUGCUACGGGAAUCACAAACUUUAACACAAGUAUUUCUCAAAUUCACAACAACUCAACUAGCAUGACUCUAAUAUCACCAUCUUCAUAUCUCAAAACAAUUAUCAAGCAUCAAACUUCUCAUAGUAUUCAACACACUCAUAAGAAAUAUUUUUACUAAUCUUGGAUGCCUAGCAAAUUACCAUGCUGUUUUGUAGGACUCUCAAAAUAAUAUAAGUGAAGCAUGAUAGAAAAAUAGUUUCUAUAAAACAAAUCCACCACCGUGCUCUAAAAGAUAUAAGUGAAGCACUAGAGAAAAACUAUAUAGCUCAAAAGAUAUAAAUGAAGCACAUAGGGUAUUCUAAUAAAUUCCGAAUCAAGUGUGUCUCUCUCAAAAGGUGUGUACAAAAAGGAUGAUUGUGGUAAACUAAAAAUCAAAGACUCAAAUCAUACAAGACGCUCCAAGCAAAACACAUAUCACGCGGUGAAUAAAAAUAUAGCUCCAAGUAAAGUUACCGAUGGACGAAGACGAAAGAGGGGAUGCCUUCCGGGGCAUCCCCAAGCUUUGGCUUUUAGGUGUCCUUAGAUUAUCUUGGAGUGCCAUGGGCAUCCCCAAGCUUAGGCCUAUGCCACUCCUUGUUCCAUUAUCCAUCAAAUCUUUUACCCAAAACUUGAAAACUUCACAACACAAAACUUAACAGAAAAUCUCAUGAGCUCUGUUAGCGAAAGAAAGCAAAACACCACUUCAAGGUAUUGUAAUGAACUCAUUAUUUAUUUAUAUUGGUGUUAAACCUACUGUACUCCAACUUCUCUAUGGUUUAUAAACUCUUUUACUAGCCAUAGAUUCAUCAAAAUAAGCAAACAACACCGAAAAACAGAAUCUGUCAAAAACAGAACAGUCUGUAGUAAUCUGUAACUAACGCAAACUUCUGGAACUCAAAAACUUCUACCAAAAUAGGAAGACCUAGACAAUUUGUUUAUUGAUCUACUGCAAUUGGAAUCAGUAUUUUAUCACGUUCUGGUGAUUUUUUAACAUUUGUUUUAGUGAAUAGAAAGUUUCUGGAAUUUUCAGCAAGAUCAAAUAACUAUCAUCCAAGAAGAUCCUAUAGGUUUAAAUUGGCACAAACACUAAUUAAAACAUAAAAACAAAUCUAACCAUAGGCUAGAUCAAAUAUUUAUUCCUAAACAGAAGCAAAAGCAAAAAAACAAAAAUAAAAUUGGGUUGCCUCCCAACAAAUGCUAUCGUUUAACGCCCCUAGCUAGGCAUAAAAGCAAGGAAAGAUCUAGGUAUUGCCAUCUUUGGUAGGUAAUUCUUCAAUAAGACACCUAUAACCCCUAAGGGUUUCUUUCCUUUUAUUAAUUAUCAAACUCGUAGGCACAAAAUCAAGAAAAAUCGUUCGUAGUUUCCUUACUAGAGGAUUGGGAUGAACACUUAUUGAUUUUAAAUCCGCAGUUUCCUUACUAGAGGAUUCACCCUUAUUUUUAGGAACAUAAACAAGCUUGGAAAUUUUGGUAGGAGGAUUUGGAGUAUUUUUAAUGGAAUAAAAAGCGGACCCCAAGUUGGUGAUAAUUCCCUCAAGUUUAUCGAUUCUAGUAGAAUCUUGAUCUACUCUUUGAUUAACUAUGCGUUCUUUUUCCUUCAAACUUUUCAGAGUAACUCCCACCUUAGAUCCAUAUUGGUUAAUUCAGUUGUGGAUAUUUUUAUCCAAAUUCUCAAUAAACUCUACAGUAGCAACUUUAUUUUCAAUAAUUUCAAGCCUUUGCAUCACAUGUUCCAAAGUUAACAUAGUUCCAUUAACCAAAAGAGGUGGUGAGCCAAACAAAUCUAUCAUAGCAUUAUAAGAAUCAAAAGUAUGGCUACCCAAGAAAUUCCCUCCGGUAACGGUAUCAAGAAUAUAUAUGUACCAAGGAGUAACGCCUACAUAAAAACUGCGGAGAAGAACGGAAGUAGAUUGCUUCCUGGUAGAUCUAUUUUGAGCAUUGCAAAUUCUAUACCAAGCGUCUUUUAGAUUUUCUCCCUCCCUUUGCUUAAAAUUAAGAACCUCAUUCUCGGGAGACAACGGAGAAGAUAGGGACUAGCCAUAACGAUGAAGCAAGCGAAAAAGAGGCGAACAGAAAGGAGAGGGCGAAUAAGACGGCAAGGGUGAAGUGGGGGAGAGGAAAACGAGAGGAAAAUGGCAAAUAAUGUAAUGCGAGUGAUACGAAUUUGUGAUGGGUACUUGGUAUGUCUUGACUUGUGCGUAGACUCCCCGGCAACGGCGCCAGAAAUCCUUCUUGCUACCUCUUGAGCACUGUGUUGGUUUUCCCUUGAAGAAGAAAGGGUGAUGCAAUAAAGUAGCGUAAGUAUUUCCCUCAGUUUUUGAGAACCAAGGUAUCAAUCCAAUAGGAGACCACGCUCAAGUCCCACUCACCUACACAAACAAAUAAGAACCUCUCAACCAACGCGAUAAAGGGGUAAUCAAUCCCUUCACGGUCACUUACGAGAGUGAGAUCUAAUAGAUAUGAUAAGAUAAUAUUUUUGAUAUUUUUAUGAUAAAGAUGCAAAGUAAAAUAAAUGGCAAUAAAAAUAACUAAGUGUUGGAAGAUUAAUAUGAUGGAGAAUAGACCAGGGGGCCAUAGGUUUCACUAGUGGCUUCUCUGUAGAGCAUAAGUAUUACGGUGGGUGAACAAAUUACUGUCGAGCAAUUGAUAGAAUUGAGCAUAGUUAUGCGAAUAUCUUGGUAUGAUCAUGUAUAUAGGCAUCACGUCCGUGACAAGUAGACCGAAACGAUUCUGCAUCUACUACUAUUACUCCACACAUCGACCGCUAUCCAGCAUGCAUCUAGUGUAUUAAGUUCGUAAGAACAGUGUAAUGCUUUAAGUUAGAUGACAUGAUGUAGAGGGAUAAACUCAUGCAAUAUGAUAUAAACCCCAUCUUGUUAUCCUCGAUGGCAACAAUACAAUAUGUGCCUUGCUGCCCCUGCUGACACCGUAAGAUUGAACCCAAAGCUAAGCACUUCUCCCAUUGCAAGAAAGAUCAAUCUAGUAGGCCAAACCAAACUGAUAAUUCGAAGAGACAUGCAAAGAUAACCAAUCAUACAUAAAAGAAUUCAGAGGAAAUUCAAAUAUUUUUUAUAGAUAAACUUGAUCAUAAACCCACAAUUCAUCGGUCUCGACAAACACACUGCAAAAGAAGAUUACAUCAAAUAGAUCUCCAGGAGAAUCGAGGAGAACUUUGUAUUGAGAUCCAAAGGGAGAGAAGAAGCCAACCCGAAGGUCUGAGGUAAACUACUCACACAUCAUCGGAGAGGCUAUGGUGUUGAUGUAGAAGCCCUCCGUGAUCAAUGCCCCCUCCGGCGGAGCGCCGGAAAAGGCCGCAAGAUGGGAUCUCACGGGUACAGAAGGUUGCGCCGGUGGAAAUAGGGUUUUGGCUCCGUGUCUGAUGUUUUGGGGGUACGUAGGUAUAUAUAGGAGGAAGAAGUACGUUGGUGGAGCAACAUGGGCCCCACGAGGGUGCAGGGCGCGCAUGGGGGGGGGCGGUAGGCGCGCUCCCCUGCCUCAUUCUCUCCUCGUUGAUUGCUUUACGUAGACUCCAAGUCCUCUGGAUCACGUUUGUUUCGAAAAUCACGUUCCCGAAGGUUUCAUUCCGUUUGGACUCCGUUUGAUAUUAUUUUUCUGCGAAACACUGAAAUAGGCAAAAAAACAACAAUUUGGGCUGGGCCUCCGGUUAAUAGGUUAGUCCCAAAAAUAAUAUAAACGUGUAUAAUAAAGCCUAUUAAACAUCCAAAACAGAAUAUAACAUAGCAUGGAACAAUCAAAAAUUAUAGAUACGUUGGAGACGUAUCAACCUUUCGGUCAACGAAUAAGUUCACUAAUGUCCAGACUUUGUUCUCGUACUUGGAUCCUAUUUCGGAUUUCAUGGCCUCUAGCCAUUUUGUGGAAUCCGGGCUCAUCAUCAGUUCAUCAUUUUCUAACAACAUGACGUCCAAGACAUGAUUACCGUACCAUUCAUGAGUAAUACGUGUCCUGGUCGACCUACGAAGUUCAGUAGUAGCCUGGUUCGGAGUUUCUUCAUCAUCAUCAUUAGCUUCCUCUCUAUCUAGUGUAGGCCCCACAAGGACAUCUUUCUGUGUUCCGCUACUCUCCUAUUCGAGAGAAGGUUUGAUAACCUCAUCAAGCUCUACAUUCCUCCUGCUCACUUCUUUCAAGAGAAACUCAUUCUAUAGAAAUGAUCCAUACUUGGCGACAAAGAUCUUGCCCUCAGAUCUAUGAUAGAAGGUAUACACAAUUGUCCCUUUAGGGUAUUCUAUGAAGACACAUUUUUCGGCUUUGCAUUCGAGCUUAUCAGGUUGUCACCUCUUGACAUAACGUCGCAUCCCCAAACUUUAAGAAAAAUGAUAGCUUAGGUUUUAAUGGAUUUAAAUGGUGCCCUAUUUAAAGUGAAUGUGAUUGUUUCUAAUGCAUGACCUCAAUACGAUAGUGGCAAAUUGGUAAGAGACAUCAUAGAGCUCACCAUACCUAAUAGAGUAUAAUUACGACGUUUGAACACACCAUUACGCUGUGUUGUUCCAGGUGUUGUGAGUUGUGAAACAAUUUCACAUUUUCUUAAAUGCAUACCAAAUUCGUAACUUGGAUAUUCACCUCCACGAUCAAAUCAUACAAAAUUUAUCUUCUUAUUAUUAUGCUUUUCUACUUCACUCUGAAACUCCGUAAACUGUUCAAAUGUUUCAGACGUUUGUUUCAUCAAGUAAAUAUACUCAUAUGUACUUAAAUCAUAUAAGAAGAUCAACAAAUAACGAUAUCCGUCGCAUGCUUCAACACUCAUUGGACUGCAUACGUCGAUUAUUAUUUCUAAUAGUCACCUGCUCGCUCCAGUAUACCGAAAAAACGGGGUUCUAGUCAUCUCGCCCAUGAGGCAUGGUUCACAUGCUUCAAAUGAUUCAAAGUCAAGUGAUCUCAGAACUCCAUCAGUAUGGAGUUUCUUCAUGCGCUUUACACCAAUAUGACCUAAGCGGCAGUGCCACAAGUAUAUGGUACUAUCAUUAUCCACUUUGCAUCUUUUGUCAUCAAUAUAAUGAAGAUGUGUACUAUCGAGACUUACAAAGAAUAAACCAUUCACAUUGGAUGCAUGACCAGAAAAGAUAUUUUUCAUAUAAAUAUAAGAACCAUUAUUCUCAGACUUAAAUAAAUAACCGUCUCACAAUAAACAAGAUCCAGAUAUAAUGCUCAUGCUUAACGCAUGCACCAAAUAACAAUUAUUUAGGUUUAAAACUAACCCCGAAGGUAGACAUAAAGGAAGCGUGCUGACGGCCAUCACAUCAACCUUGGAGCCAUUUCCAACGCGUAUUGUCACCUCGUCCUUAGCUAGUCUCUGUUUAUUCUGCAGCUCUUGUUUUGAGUUACAAAUAUUAGCAACUGAAAAAGUAUCAAAAAGCCCACAUCAAUGACAUGUAUAUCAAAUAUACCAUGGUUGACGUUGCCAGCCUUCUUAUGCAUCAAAUACCAGGGACAAUUAUGCUUAAGUGGCCAUCCUCCUUGAAGUAUAAACACUUAGUGUCAGGUUCAGGUCCAACUUUGGGCUUCUUCAUGGGAGUGGCAACUUGCUUGUCAUUCUUAUUGAAGUUCCCAUCUCUCUAAUCUUCAACAUUCUAGGAUGUUAUCUAUCUUGCUCGAUGAAUAUAUGUGAUGUAAGGUAGAAUUUUGGAUGGUAACCUGCAUUCCAUUUCUCCAUGAAUGACCGACUCGAGUAACUAAAUACGACGGAGAGGUAAGACUAAUGUAGAAUGUUAAAUGCAUGCAUUCCACAAGAUAGGAAGUCCAUUAAGAGAUAAAGAAUCGCAAUAAGACCACUAGUCACUACAAGAGGACAGAGCUUUUGUAACACCGUCUCGUGUUACUAUAGGCCCAAAACUAUGUUACUAGCCAUAUAGUAACACAAUUUGAAAUGUGUUCCAUUAGACCGUGUUACUACGUGGUGUCAACUGUCACACAUAAUAAAUGUUACCAUAUAUUAAAAAGUGUGUUACAAUUACAUUGCAGUAAUAUGUGUAUUAUGUGUUACCAAACACACUGGUAACACAUUUUUGUACUUAUAGUAACACUGUUAGUAACAUAUUUGCAUAGACGCAGAACAUUGGUGGUAACAUGUUUCUGUAACAAUAGUAACACAACUGGUAACACAUUUUUCCAGCAUGGGAACACAACCAAUAGCAUAAUAUCCAAAUAUUGUAAUACUAUAAUUAGUUGUCAACUACUCUAGUAACAAAUUUUGUAACUAUAGUAACACCAUCGUUUACACUACUAUGUCAAUAUGGUAACAUAAUUAAUGUAUUUGUUUUUUAUUAUUACCCACAAAAUUUGAUACCCAUUUUAUGGAAUAUAAAUUUAUUUAGUAAAUAGAUGCAAUUGCAUAAAUAGUAAUCAUUUUAUUAUUAUGUUGGCAGCAUCAAAAUGAUAUUGAAACUGAACUAGAACACAUCUAUAAAUUGAUAUGAAGAUAUUUAUUACGAAUACACAAGAGUGUAUGAUACAUAUGCAUUACAAUAAAUAUAUCAGUCAUAUCAUUUUGAGCAGAGAAAACACAACUAUCGAGAAUAUCACACCAUAGCAUUUGCAUCAAUUCGACGAAAGAAAAAAAUCUUGUGGAUGAUAUUACAUUUUUCAAUCUAUCAAUGUAAACUACGACUAUUGGUAGCUAAAAUCUUCACAAAAAAUUGCUUCUUGAUCCAAGAACUCAGCUUCAACUCAAUUAUCCUUCUCCCGAAUCUGGAAAAGAAAAUUGCACCUUAGAUAUAUGUGAUUAAAUAUACACAAAUAUGAUUUCAGAAUGUGGAAGAGAAGAUUUUAACUUACAAAAGCUGAAGGCCAUGCAAUUAAGUAUCCUAAAGUGAAAGCCUCACCAAUUGUCUUGCAACCCAAUCCCUUACCAACUCCUCAUUAUCAUGAAUAGGUUGAUAUAUGCGCACAAUGGCAAAUUCAACACCUAAUUCAAUGCCACCAGCCUUAGUUCUUUGAUCAGUGCUCCGAAUAGUACCAUACACAACAUUUCGCUUGUUGGGAUAUGUUGAAGUCUUUAAAACUACUUUAGAAGCAGCCUAUAUUACAAUCAAUAUUAGCAUUCAACGACAAUGAUAAUAUAACUUGUAAUUUGCAUGAACAAUAUGAGAUCUUUAGAAUGUCAGCCCAGUAAGGUGCCCCAAAAAAACUAAAUAAACUGGACCCGACAUAAUUGUCUAAUAAUACCCAAGGUCACCUCGCUUACUCAUGCUUGGUUAAAUAUAUCCUUUACUUGCAUACAACAGAUUGAGCAAAAUUUGUAACAAAAUCCAUUUUUCAAGCAGGCAUGAUAAUGUGGUCUGGGUUGAGAAUUUAGGUGCAGUAAGCCAUGCCCCUUGGUGAAUCUUUACCUUGAUGGAAGAAGUACGCCUUCUUUUUGAGCUAGCUGGGUGUGGGUGUUCAGUUCUAUUCCCCUGGUGGUUCUGUGUUGAAACAGAUUCACCUGUAAGAUCCCUCAUUUCCCUCACCUACCAAGAGACAAUAAUAUUAGAUGGAAUGAUAUUCAUAUCUUGAAGCUACAGAAAGCUACAACUUCAAAACCCAAAAACACACAAAAUUUACCUCUGGCACAGAAUCAAUAACAAGGUCUUCAUAGUGCAGGUAUAUGGUUAGCAUGUCCAUCACCUAUAUAUAUAUAUAUAUAUGUGUGUGUGUGUGUGUGUGUGUGUGUGUGUGUGUGUGUGUGUGUGUGUGUGUGGCAAUUGAACCAUUACAAAUAAAGACAAAUUAACUAAUGACAUAACAGGGAUAAUUUUAUUUGCCAAUAGACAUGAAUUCGUAGCAGAUAAAUGAGGGAAGGAGAAAGGAGAAUCCACCUAGGACAAGAUUGUAGUCUCGGACAGGGAAAUCAAGCAAUACAAGUUGUGGAAGUCCCCUCGGCAAUUUGGGUCCCAAAACCGAUGAAACCUACCAAAAGAAACAUGUGAAUGUAGAGGGCAGAGAAGUACACAGUAGCAUGUCAAUGCACUAUCAGCUUAUCAUAACUCAAAAUAGAGAGAGGAGGUACAAGAACAUGGGUCCAGCCACACCCACACUCAGAUAUAACAUUGUCGACAUAUGGAUUCAGGACAGGUUUAAGUUGAAAACUGUAUAGAUUAUGUAAACUGAGCAGUAUUCAAGCGACGGAUAAGAUUCUGUUAAGAACUAUGUGAUAGUACAGCAGCAACAUGUUGCCUCAUGUGCCAUCCCAAUAAGUCAAGAAGCAGCAGCCAAGGUUUAUUCUAAGUCAAACUUCUUCACGUUUGAGUUUGUCAAAAAUAUAUCACUAUUUGGAACACUAGAUUAGUUUUAUACUUUUAUUAGAAUCUUUAGAAAAUAUUCACAAUAUGUAUAGUUUAUUUUGCAGAUCUUGCCAUAUUUUCUCUAUAAAUUUGAUCAAAUUUAAACACGUUUCACCUAGAACGCCCUAGCAGAAGUGUAGAACAUGCACCUACAUAUCAAUGGAUCGAUCUUAUUGAUGGAUUAAACACAGGCCCAACACAAAAUUAUAGCCAGCCACAACCGUACAUGGUUUAUGGGAUUUUCUAUAUCAGUGAUGGUUUAAUUACUUAUCUACGUAUGGGCUAAUUAUGCAAUUAGCUGCGGCCAUUAGCAUGUACAGUACACAUUGUCUGCUACGAAUCGUUAGGGGGGCUAGCGAGUGGCAGGGGUCUGACCCCUGAUCGCCCCUUCAUCUCCGCCCCUGCAUCUGUAUAGUGGCGUUCGUAGCAGUCAGAUCAGGGAAGGGGUGGGCAUUCAGAUCCAUACCAGCCAAGAGAUCGUACUCCUUGAGGAUGUAGGUGCCGGAGCUGAAGACCGACGAAGCGCUGAAGGGGCGGCGUGCUGGGCGUUGGAGCGUGGCGAGGUAGCCGCCGAAUGGGGGCUGGGCUGGAUGCAGAUGUAUUUGAGACCCAAUUUAUUUACCGUUUUCUAGUUAACUGGAGGGAAAAGUAAGCGCGAAAAUUAGAGCUUUUGCGCCAGAAUUAAUUUUUCACCAUCGAGAACUAGAGGGAAAUUUGGAUCUAUUUUUUAUCCAAGGAAAACUGGACGGAAAUUGUUUUGGAAGAUCUGCGACAUUGUUACAUAUAUUUAUUUGUUUGGCAUGGAAAUUUCCCAAAAAGUGUUUUUGGCAUGGAAAAUUAGAGCAUAUUUUAUAUUUUAUUUAUUAAUUAUUGAAAGGGAAAUUGGAUACAUCUAAAUAGUAAGGACUUGAUAAAAUUGAUUUACGUGACAUGUGCUAAAUAAUAUAUAACACGGUUUUCCUAGGCUAACUAGUUGAUAUAAAAAAUCAUUGAGCUUGCAGCUUCGACGGGCCUUGGAGAAUAUUGUGAUCGGGAGAGCCCCGAUGUUGGGACGAUGGACGUGCUGGUGUUGUCAUGAACAUCCGCGAUCAGCUGAUAGAUCUCGCUCCUGAUCGGUCACCUCGACCAAGAUCACGUCAUUCCCACACGACUUCCUAUGGAAAGUACGACCGAUGUGGGAGAAAAUUGCGACCGACAAUGCUAGAAGUUGCGACCGGCCCGGAACAUGUUAUGACCAGCGAGGUCGGUGACUUUUGAUCGGUACUAAGAGCGAAGACGGUGGUGCUACAAAGUGGCGACGACGAUAUGCGUCAGCUGCAACCAGCUGCCGACGGUGUUGUAACGACAUAUUUGAGAGGCUGUCACAUUAAUCUAGUCUCUUCCUUCCUUCCACCUUCAUGACGACAGAGAAUAAGGGGCGGGUAUCCCAACUACACCCAGGGUUUAAAAACCGACCGUAUUCGCAGUCGUACCGGAAAAAGGAAACCUAUGACCUCGAUGCUUGGUUAAAGAAACACAUUGUAAUUCUACCGACUGAUCUCGCUCCUGAUCGAUCGCCUCAACCAAGAUCACGUCAUUCCCACAUGACUGCCCAGGGAAGCUUUGGCCGGUGUGGGAGAAAACUACAAUUGUCAAUGAUAGAAGCUGUGAUCGACCCGGGAGCAUGUUGUGACCAGCAAGGUCGGAAACUUCUGAUUGGUGUUGAGACCGCAUGCGGUGGUGGUACAAAGUGGCGACAACGAGAUGCGUUAGGUACGACCGACCAUCGACAGUGUUCUAACGACAAAUCUGGGAGGCUGGCACAUUAAACUAGUUUCCUCCUUCCUUCCACCACCAUGGCGAUAGAGAAUAAGGGGAGGGUAUGUCAGCUACACCCAUGGUUUAAAAAACUGACUGUUGGUUACAGAAAAACAAUAUAAUUCUGCCUAGGACGUUAACUGAUUGACUUUACACCAGUCAACUGAGUCCAUGAACGUGGAGAUACGCAGCUGAUGAGCCUUCACUGAAGGGAGGGGCAAAUGGGCCGGCCCAACUGAUGAGUUCUAUUGAUAGAGUCACAACCAGAUAGUUGAAGUAUCAAACUUAUUUCGAAAAUUAUAAAAAAAAAUAUAGAAAUUGAGCAAUUUGUAAAAUUCCGUUGAACAUUUUAUUAAUGUACGACGAACAUUUUUAAUAACGAUGAAUUUUUUAAUACAUGGUUAACAUAUUUGAAAAAAUGAGUAUAUGCAUUGAACAAUUUUUUAAUAUGCAUUGAACAUUUAAGAAAAUAUGUUGAACAAUUCUUGAAUACACAUUGGAAUUUGUUUAUGGUAAUAUACACAGAACAAAUUAAAAAAAUAGAGUGAACAUUUUUAUAUUUGGUGAACAACUUCUAAUACACGCAAUGAACAUUGUAUAAGACACGAAAAAGGUAAUUAAAAAAGUAAAAUAAAAUAAAUAGAAACCGAAACAAAAAAAUUAGAAAAGAAGUGAACCGCGUAGCAACCAUAGGCCGGCCCAAAUUGUGGCGUCGGCAGCUCAAGCUUCAGGAAGACCCACCCUAUUAGACGCUUCAGGUGCCCGUUACAAGUGUUUUUGCAAACAGGCGCCUGAAGCGCCCCCGUGAUGGGCCGGCCCAUCUAACAUUUGUUUUCAUGUGUCUUAACAAAAUAUUUAAAUACACAUUGCAUAUUUUUGUGAUAUACACUAAAAAGUGUUUAAAUAUGCAUUGAACAUUCUUUUGAAUAUAUGUUGAACAAUUUUAAAAUACACAAUGAAAAUUUUAUUAAAUAUGUUGAACAUUUUCUUAAAUAUACAAUGAACAUUUUUUAUAUAAAUAUGCAAUGAACUGCAUAUAAUACACGAAAAAUAAACAAAAAUGAAAAAGACGAAAAAGAAAAGAAUAGAGACAGAAAAAUGAAAUGAAGGAAACAGGAAAAAGAAGAAAAAACAUCGUGACUGUGGGCCAGCCCAAAUGGGGCGUUGGGUGUGCAGGCUUCAGCGAAGCCACGUCCUUUGACGCCUGCGGGCGUCAAAUAGGAUCUUCCUUGAGAAUCAAUCAAGCGACUUCGCUCCUAAGGGUGGGUACGCUGGUGUAACCAUCAGGCCACCCCGUUCGGAUCAAAAUUUUAAUUUUUCAUCUCUUUGAUGCUUUUUUUCUUUUUUUAGCUCUUUUUCCUGAUUCAAUGAUUUUUCUCAAAUAUGUCAACAUUUAUUUAAUUCCAUGAACUUUUCCAAAAUUUUAUUAACAAUUUAUAAAUUGAUGACCGUUUUUUCAAAACCCAUAAUGUUUUUUAAUUUGGAUGAACUUUUUAAAAAUUAUGAGAUUUUUGAUAAAUCCAUGAAUAUUUUGUGAAUUUUGAUGAACUAUUUUUCAAAUUCAACGAACCUUCUUUAAACUCGGUGCACUUUUUUCACAUGGAUAUUUUUUUUAAAAUUGAUGAACUUUUUCCAUUUUUGAACUUUUUUCAGAAUUCAUUGUUUUUUGGGAAUUUCGUUUCAAAUAAUUAAUUCUGGGUUUAUAAUAUAUCUUUUUCUUGGUAACGGUUUAUAAUAUAUCUCUAGGAGAAGGGUCAAAUAGGCCUUGUUUCUUAAAGUGGACUAGCUUGGCAGCUUGGUGUGGUGGUUCUGACAUUGUUUACUGUUCAUUUAGGUUAGCACCAACUAGCGUUCCCAAAGCUUCAGCGAAGCCACGGCUAUUUGACGCAUGUGGGCGUCAGAUAGGAUCUGCCUCUUCCUAGUUCGCCCCCUCCUGAUCACAAAUUGCAAGCCCAAUUGGUAUUGGGUUGUUGGGCAUGCGGCUGCUCAAGGUUAAUGAUCCUAUUCCUAGUUUCACAUGAUUUUUUUAUUUCUCUAGAAGAACACUUUUUUAUAUAGUUUACUACUUUUCCCCUAAAAGGCCGACAUACUUAAAAACCUGGACAAGGCCUCGGUUCCCUUUUUUCGGUCGGACCACCGGUCCGGUUCUUAAAACCAUGUUCAAAUUUAAGCUCUUGUUUGAUGUUGAUCUUCCACUCUUGUGAGUAUUGACGUCAAAUAUUUAAUUUCAUAUGAUCAUCUCAAGGUGUGCAUUUUGCAUUUAUGGUCGCUGAGUCAUCCAAAAAUUUACAUAAAAAAUAAGGUUAAUAUGAUAUUCACUGCAACCAUACCAAAAAAUAGUUUGGUAUUUACCAACCAAAUUGUAUUGUUUGUCAUACCAUAUUACCAAAGAAUGAAAAUACUAUUUACGAAAACAAAACAUAUUGAAAAAAUCAUGGUGACUCACGGGUCUUUCUAGUUCCGCCUAGAAUAGGGAUUGUAACGCUAUGUAUCAGCCAUGAUUAUGUGUUACUCUAUGUAACACAUUCACUAACACAUAUUUAUAUGUUACCAUUCCAAAAACUAUGUAACACAUUCGACCAACACAUAUUUAUAUGUUACUAUUACAAUAUCACUGUAACACACUUAUGGCCGUAUAUAGUAUGUGUUACUGCCUGUCGUUCGACACAAAAUGAUGUGUUACAUUAAUUUCCCUUGUCACACAUUUUUCAAUCUAUUACAUGAUUGUGUUACAUAAAGUCUGUUUUGCUGUAGUGAGUAUUCAUCCAUCAUGGAUCAAGGAAACCCUCCUUCAAAGACCAAGUGCAUGGACAAGAUAUGACAAUUCUAUCCUUACUUUUUCUCUCCCCUUAUGUGUAUUUUGGUUUUUUCUAGAAUAAACAUUUUUGCACUUAAUUUUCCAUCUCCAUCAAGGUUAUUGGUGGUCAUUGUAUAAGGCUCUCAAUCUAUAAAGGCACCCUCUCAUGGAUCAUUUGUAACACAUCUCAUAUUAAACAAGAGCUCUUCCCUAGGGCGAGAUCUACUUUUUGAUUUGAUCAUUCCGGACACCAGGUUCGCGUGCAAUACCUUCGAGCAUUGGGCUUACGAAAAAGGAUGUCAACGAAAGUUGCGGCAUGUCAAAGAGGAUCCUCGACACAUCUCUGGAUUGUCAAGUUCGUGUGCGUAAGGUCGUACCAUUCAAUGGGAAAAGGCUUCUCUCGUUCCCGAGUCGAGGCUGCACCUGGUUAGCAAAAUUGAUUUUUUUCACUCGAGUUAGUGUCUUCUAUUUUACCUACAUUGUCAUGCACCCUCUCUUCAUGUUGUUUUUUCACUGACAGCAACCGUAUGGGAUAGUUCUGUGGCUAGGGUUUUGAAGGACUCGGGAAGAGAAGGGGAUGCGAACUUGGGUAGCAACGAUGCUGGGUUUUUUUCUGGGACGCAGAUGACGGGAACGUGUGUUCCUGUCUUAUGUAGAGGUUUUUAAGUGGACUAGCAGGCGUCAUGGAAUAUGGAUGGAUUAGUGGGUUUAUCUUGAGGAAUCCCUUGCAGACACGCUAGAUCGAUCAGUGGCCACUCAGCCGACAGAGUCGAGAUAGAACAGCGACACUGCUGUCACUUAGGUUUGCACGUGAGCAUGUGACACAGAGAGCGGAGUACAAAAGUAUUUAUGUGGUCAGCCGUUUGCGACGAACAUUCAUCUGCUUGGAUUCAGGAGGAUUGGAACGGAAGCUACGGAUUGGCAUGAAUGAUGGGCGCCGUCCCUGCUACACAUACUGCGGCCGGAGCUUUUUCUGUUGCCUUGAUGAUCAUCACAGUUUUCCGGCUUCUUUUAAAUAAGUUUUUUUUUUAGAAAAGGAGGAUGACCCCCGGCUUCUGCAUCUGGGAGAUGCAUGCGGCCACUUUAUUGAUUAUUCUCGAGGACCUUACAAAGUAUUACAAUAAUAGGCCUGAAUCCGCCAUCUUGGCAUCAUAUGCCACUACUCCUAUCCAUAUGAUGAAGGGGCGCUAGCUGGGCCAAAUACCCAGUCCACUCACCUAAGCCUAUCAUCAAAAGCCAGAAACCCCAGCCGAGCCACAUAUCGGGUCUGGGGCAUGAACUGGUCGGACGCACUCACAUGUGUUGUCGCCGCCAUCUUCCACUGAUCCGUCUUCAGAGCAGAUAUUGCUUCUACCUUGUCAGGCCACUCUGCCAUCGACGCCACCAUGACGCCAGACAACAUCCCCCUCCUGCGCGAGUCCAGCACCGCGCAUCGGGCGCCGAGUCUCCACUGCACCACGCCGCCUUCCUCGUAGCUGUUCUUGCUCGUAGCUGUUCUGGUCAUGUCUACCGCCUUCCUGCCCUGUAACCCAGACAGUAAGAACAUACAUUUCUCCUGUACAAUUUUUUUUGAAACAAGGCAACAUUUUUGCUUUUUAUAUUGAUAUAGUAGGAGCAAAGGACAACCCGGCCGAAGCCAAAAAUUUGUUGAGUAAAUAGGCAAUUUCUCGAUUAAAUUAAUCCACGAGUAAAUCACUAGCAUGGCAUUGACUAAGUUGAUGACGUACUGACUCUGGUCUAAACAUGCACGUACUAAGCAAACAGUAGACAAAUCUACACAUACUGCUAGUAAUGCUAAUACGAAAAUAAUCAGGAGCGGGAUAAACGCGUUAUACCCUCCAGUAGGCCAUGCAGACGCCGCGGCGGUGGUGGCGGCAGCAGCAUCCUCGGCGGCCUUCUUGUCGGCUUCAGCUUUCUCGGCGGCGGCACGGUCGGCGGUGGUGGACAUGGUGAUGAUGAAGGCGACACGGACGUAGAGGAAGUAGACGAUCGGAAGCGAGCAGUCGCGUAAUCGCUGCCCAAAAACCUAUUCGCCCCUCACCCCGUACAGGAACCAUAUGGCGUGGUUUCGGAGACCUGCUCUCUCGUCGACCGUGUACGCGGCGGACGGGAUGGAGUCACCGGCGGCAGCAGCAGAACGACGGUGGGCGUGCGCGUAGGUGUGAGCUCGGCUCGGCUCAAUCCCGCAACCCGCGACGCGUCAUGACGAGACGUGGCGUGGCGAGGCGGGCGGCGGAGGAGGAGUGCGCGAGGGCCUCUUCUUUUCUCAAGCUACAAUAGCAUGUAGAAGAGAAACCCUUAUAAACCACUCCAACUCUCCUUCCACUUCCGGGGUGGGACUAAACUUCCCACCACACCUAGUGCCAUAUAACCCACAUGGGCCCUUAGAGAUUUUUUAGAAAUUGCUAUAUGGGCCUAGAGCCCAUCUCAAAUUUCAGCAAUCCCCCACCAGAUCUCGAGGGCCCAUUGUGUCCUCUGUUCCAAUUGCUGUUUCGAUAUACCAGUGUUUCAAUGAAGACCUAUUAAGGUUGAACUUCACCUAGAGCAAGUAGCUACACUCCUUCACAACUGAACAAUGGACUAUGCCUUGAAUUGUCAGUUUGGCGCAAAGAAGUUUCACUACAUGUCUUACUAGUACUAGGCUGCCGAAGGCUGACCCCUCGGGUGGAGCAUAUAAAUCACACUCCUGGCCUAUUCAUGAGCUUACUAGAGAUCACCCCAAUCUCAUAGACUGUGACCAGCAGUCGGGCUCAUAUACGUGUGUUUCUCCAAAGAUCGCUCUGUAGGAUAGCAUCUUGCUUUUAUAAGCUUCAGAACACAUUAAGACAGUAGUCAUCCUACCAUACAGUAUCGAGAGUAUUGCAUCUCCAACGGAGUGGGUUAGUAUAUUUACGCUCCUCAGUUCACCACUGGCUUGUUUUCCCAGGUCCUACUUCACGGGAUCUCCGAUCACAUUGGUUGGGUUACCACCAUGGCAACUCAUGUGGGUCUCAUACCCAUCUCCCUCGAUGCAUUAUCUAUCACAACACGUGAUAGCCCUUUUGUAAAGGGAUCUGCCAGAUUCUGAGCCGUAUGGACAUAGUCCAACGCUAUCACUCCGGAGUUUCUUAAUUUUUUGACAGCUUUUAAUCUUAUUCUUAUGUGUUUGGUGGACUUCUUGUUGUCCUUUGAACUCUUCACCUUGGUGAUGACAGUCUGAUUGUCACAGUUCAUAAGGAUAGGCGGAACCGGUUUAUCAACCAAUGCCAAGUCCAUCAAAAGAUCUCGAAGCCAUCUCGCUUCAACACCCGAUGUGUCUAAUGCUAUUAACUCUGCUUCCAUUGUCGAUCUCGUUAAGAUCGUUUGCUUGCAAGACUUCCAGGAAACAGCGCCACCUCCAAGAGUAAACAUAUACCCAGUUGUGGCCUUCACCUCAUCAGCAUCAGAGAUCCAAUUCGCAUCACUAUACCCUUCAAGUACCGACGGGUAUCCGGUAUAGUGAAGUCCAUAGUUCGUAGUACCUUUCAGAUAGCGCAUAACUCUCUCAACAGCAUGCCAAUGUACAUCACCCGGUUUAGAAACAAACCGGCUCAGUUUGCUCACAGCAAACACGAUGUCAGGCCUCGUUGCGCUCGCUAGGUACAUCACUGAACCAAUGAUUUGAGAGUAUCUCAAUUGAUCCUUAGCCAUGCCUUUGGACUUUCGAAUCAACACGCUAGGAUCAUAUGGUGUUUGACAUGGUGUGCAGUCCGAAUAUCCAAAACGACUCAACACCUUCUCAACAUAGUGGGAUUGCAGAAGUGUGAUCCCACCUUCAUUAUCUCUCAGUAGAUUGAUGUUCAAGAUAACAUCAGUCACACCAAGGUCUUUCAUCUCAAAGUUCUGAGAUAGAAACGAUUUGACCUCCUCAAUGACUUUGAGGUUUGUUCCAAAUAUCAGUAUGUCAUCAACAUACAGGCACAGUAUAACUCCUUCGCCCCCACCAUGGAGAUAGUAUACACAUUUGUCAGCUUCAUUAACAACGAAGCCAACAGAUGUCAGAGUUGUAUUAAACUUAUUAUGCCAUUUCUUAGGUGCUUGCUUCAGGCCAUAUAAAGAUUUUAUCAACCUACACACCUUUCUUUCCUGACCAUCUAUCACAAAGCCAUCAGGCUGUUGCAUGUAGAUUUCCUCCUUUAGCUCUCCAUUUAGAAAAGCCAUCUUAACAUCCAUCUGAUGGACGAGAAGACCAUGUGAGGCCGCCAAUGAGAGUAAUACUCGAAUGGUGGUCAGUCUAACCACAGGUGAAUAAGUAUCAAAGAAAUCUUCCUCUUCUUGCUGGUCAUAGCCCUUGGCCACAAGCCUAGCCUUGUACUUUUCAAUCGUACCAUCGGGCGUAAGCUUCUUUUUAAACACCCACUUACAUCCCAGUGGUUUGCAACCAUAGGGACUGUCAGUGAUCUCCCAUGUCUCGUUAGCCAUGAUGGAAUCCAUCUCGCUACGGACCGCUUCCUUCCAGUAGUCAGCUUCUAGAAAGGCAUACGCUUCUGAGAUAGAAGUGGGAGUAUCAUCCACGAGGUACACGAAGAAAUCAUCACCAAAGGUCUUUGUAGUCCUUUCUCUCUUGCCCCUACCAAGGGUUUCCUCGUCAUCCUCCUCAGGAUUUUCAUCAUGUGUUUGUUCAUAAUAUUCCAUAGGGAUGGCAGGUUCAGGAGUCUCCUUAGAUUCCUGUCUAGAAGUGUUUUGCAUAUCUCUCAUAGGAAAAAUAUCCUCAAAAAAUGUAGCAUCCUUAGACUCCAUAAUUGUACCGACCUUCUGGUCAGGUACCUCAGAUUUCACUACUAGAAAUCUAUAGCCAACGCUAUUCUUAACGUAGCCCAAAUUAACACAAUCCACAGUCUUUGGUCCAAGCUUACGCUUUUUGGGGAUCAGCACAUUGACUUUCGCCAAACAGUCCCAAGUCCGCAAGUACGAGAGUGUUGUCCUUCUCUUUGCCCAUUUCUCAUAGGGAGUGAUCUCAUUAUCCUUUGUUGGAACUUUAUUCAGGACAUGACAUGCCGUCAAUAUAGCCUCCCCCACCAUGCCUUGGAUAAACCCGAUGUAUCUAACAUCGCGUUAACCAAAUCAGUAGAGUACGGUUUUUCCGCUCGGCAACCCCGUUUGACUGGGGUGAAUAGGGUGUUGGAAAUAUGCCCUAGAGGCAAUAAUAAAAGUGUUAUUAUUAUAUUUCCUUGUUCAUGAUAAUUGUCUUUUAUUCAUGCUAUAACUGUAUUAUCCGGAAAUCGUAAUACACGUGUGAAUACAUAGACCACAAUAUGUCCCUAGUAAGCCUCUAGUUGACUAGCUCGUUGAUCAAUAGAUGGUCACGGUUUCCUGGCUAUGGACAUUGGAUGUCGUUGAUAACGGGAUCACAUCAUUAGGAGAAUGAUGUGAUGGACAAGACCCAAUCCUAAGACUAGCUCAAAGAUCGUGUAGUUCGUUUGCUAGAGCUUUGCCAAUGUCAAGUAUCUCUUCCUUUGACCAUGAGAUCGUGUAACUCCUGGAUACCGUAGGAGUGCUUUGGGUGUAUCAAACGUCACAACGUAACUGGGUGACUAUAAAGGUGCACUACAGGUAUCUCCGAAAGUAUCUAUUGUUUUAUGCGGAUCGAGACUGGAAUUUGUCACUCCGUGUAAACGGAGAGGUAUCUCUAGGCCCACUCGGUAGGACAUCAUCAUUUGCGCAAAUGUGACCAAGGAGUUGAUCACGGGAUGAUGUGUUACGGAACGAGUAAAGAGACUUGCCGGUAACGAGAUUGAACAAGGUAUCGGUAUACCGACGAUCGAAUCUCGGGCAAGUAACAUACCGAUAGACAAAGGGAAUUGAAUACGGGAUCGAUUGAGUCCUUGACAUCGUGGUUCACCUGAUGAGAUCAUCGUGGAACAUGUGGGAGCCAUCAUGGGUAUCCAGAUCCCGCUGUUGGUUAUUGACCGGAGAACGUCUCGGUCAUGUCUGCAUGUCUCCCGAACCCGUAGGGUCUACACACUUAAGGUUCGAUGACGCUAGGGUUAUAAAGGAAGCUUGUAUGUGGUUACCGAAUGUUGUUCGGAGUCCCGGAUGAGAUCCCGGACGUCACGAGGAGUUCUGGAAUGGUCCGGAGGUAAAGAUUUAUAUAUAGGAAGUCCUGUUUCGGCCAUCGGGACAAGUUUCGGGGUCAUCGGUAUUGUACCGGGACCACCGGAAGGGUCCCGGGGGCCCACCGGGUGGGGCUACCUGCCCCGGGGGGCCACAUGGGCUGUAGGGGGUGCGCCUUGGCCUACAUGGGCCAAGGGCACCAGCCCCAAGAGGCCCAUGCGCCAAGAGAAGAGAAAAAGGGAAGAGUCCUAAAGGGGGAAGGCACCUCCGAGGUGCCUUGGGGAGGAUGGACUCCUCCCCAUCCUUAGCCGCACCCCUUCCUUGGAGGAGGGGGCAAGGCUGCGCCCUUCCCCUCUCCCUUGGCCCUAUAUAUAGUGGGGAAAAGGAGGAGCAAUCAUACCUAAGGCCUUUGGUUGCCUCCCUCUCCCUCCCGUGACACAUCUCCUCUCCCGUAGGUGCUCGGCGAAGCCCUGCAGGAUUGCCACACUCCUCCACCACCACCACGCCGUUGUGCUGCUGUUGGAUGGAGUCUUCCUCAACCUCUCCCUCUCCCCUUGCUGGAUCAAGGCGUGGGAGACGUCACCGGGCUGUACGUGUGUUGAACGCGGAGGUGUCGUCCGUUCGGCACUAGGAUCAUCGGUGAUCUGAAUCACGACGAGUACGACUCCAUCAACCCCGUUCACUUGAACGCUUCCGCUUAGCGAUCUACAAGGGUAUGUAGAUGCACUCUCUUUCUACUCGUUGCUGGUCUCUCCAUAGAUAGAUCUUGGUGAUGCGUAGGAAAUUUUUUGAAUUUCUGCUACGUUACCCAACAGUGGCAUCAUGAGCUAGGUCUAUUGCGUAGAUUCUUUGCACGAGUAGAACACAAAGUAGUUGUGGGCGUCGAUAUUGUUCAAUAUGCUUGCCGUUACUAGUCUUAUCUUGAUUCGGCGGCAUCGUGGGAUGAAGCGGCCCGGACCAACCUUACACGUACGCUUACGUGAGACCGGUUCCACCGACAAACAUGCACUAGUUGCAUAAGGUGGCUGGCGGGUGUCUGUCUCUCCCACUUUAGUCAGAUCGGAUUCGAUGAAAAGGGUCCUUAUGAAGGGUAAAUAGCAAUUGGCAUAUCACGUUGUGGUUCAUGCGUAGGUAAGAAACGUUCUUGCUAGAAACCCAUAGCAGCCACGUAAAACAUGCAACAACAAUUAGAGGACGUCUAACUUGUUUUUGCAGGGUAUGCUAUGUGAUGUGAUAUGGCCAAAGGAUGUGAUGAAUGAUAUAUGUGAUGUAUGAGAUUGAUCAUGUUCUUGUAAUAGGAUUCACGACUUGCAUGUCGAUGAGUAUGACAACCGGCAGGAGCCAUAGGAGUUGUCUUUGUUUUUUUGUAUGACCUGCGUGUCAUUGAAGAACACCAUGUAAACUACUUUACUUUAUUGCUAAACGCGUUAGUCAUAGAAGUAGAAGUAGUCGUUGGCGUGACAACUUCAUGAAGACACGAUGAUGGAGAUCAUGAUGAUGGAGAUCAUGGUGUCAUGCCGGUGACAAGUUGAUCAUGGAGCCCCGAAGAUGGAGAUCAAUGGAGCUAUAUGAUAUUGGCCAUAUCAUGUCACAACUAUAUUUGAUUGCAUGUGAUGUUUAUCAUGUUUAUGCAUCUUGUUUUCUUAGAACGACGGUAGUAAAUAAGAUGAUCCCUCAUUAAAAUUUCAAGAAGUGUUCUCCCCUAACUGUGCACCGUUGCUACAGUUCGUCGUUUCGAAGCACCACGUGAUGAUCGGGUGUGAUAGAUUCUUACGUUCACAUACAACGGGUGUAAGACAGUUUUACACAGCGAAAACACUUAGGGUUAACUUGACGAGCCUAGCAUGUACAGACAUGGCCUCGGAACACGGAGACCGAAAGGUCGAGCAUGAGUCGUAUAGUAGAUACGAUCAACAUGAAGAUGUUCACCGAUGAUGACUAGUCCGUCUCACGUGAUGAUCGGACACGGCCUAGUUUGACUCGGAUCAUGUAAUCACUUAGAUGACUAGAGGGAUGUCUAUCUGAGUGGGAGUUCAUAAGAUGAACUUAAUUAUCCUGAACAUAGUCAAAAGACCUUUUGCAAAUUAUGUCGUAGCUCACGCUAUAGUUCUACUGUUUAGAUAUGUUCCUAGAGAAAAUAUAGUUGAAAGUUGAUAGUAGCAAUUAUGCGAUCAGUAGAAAGCUCAUGUCCUUAAUGCACCGCUCAAUGUGCUGAACCCCAAACGUCGUUUGUGGAUGUUUCGAACAUCGAACAUACACGUUUUGAUAACUACGUGAUAGUUCAGUUAAAUGGUUUAGAGUAUAGGCACCAAAGACGUUUUCGAAAUGUCGCGGAACAUAUGAGAUGUUUCGAGGGCUGAAAUUAAGAUUUCAGGCUCGUGCCCACGUCAAGAGGUAUGAGACCUCCAACGAUUUUCUUAGCCUGCAAACUAAGGGAGAAAAGCUCAAUCGUUGAGCUUGUGCUCAGAUUGUCUGAGUACAACAAUCACUUGAAUCAAGUGGGAGUUGAUCUUCCAGAUGAAAUAGUGAUAGUUUCUCCGAAGUCAUUACCACCAAGCUGCUAGAGCUUCGUGAUGAACUAUAACAUAUCAAGGAUAGAGAUGAUGAUCCUUGAGGUAUUCGCGUUGUUUGACAUCGCGAAAGUAGAAAUCAAGAAGGAGCAUCAAUUGUUGAUGGUUGGUGAAACCACUAGUUUCAAGAAGGGCAAGGGAAGGAAGGGAUACUUCAUGAAACGGCAAAUCAGCUGCUGCACCAAUGAAGAAACCCGAGGUUGAACCCAAACCCGAGACUAAGUGCUUCUGUAAUAAGGGGAACAACCACUGGAGCAGGAUUACCCUAGAUACUUGGUAGAUGAGAAGGCUGGCAAGGUCGAUAGAAGUAUAUUGGAUAUACAUUGUGUUAAUGUGUACUUUACUAGUACUCCUAGUAGCACCAGGGUAUUAGAUACCGGUUCGGUUGCUAAGUGUUAGUAACUCGAAAUAAAAGCUACGGAAUAAAUCGGAGACUAGCUAAAGGUGAGCUGACGAUAUGUGUUGGAAGUGUUUCCAAGUUUGAUGUGAUCAAACAUCGCACGCUCCCUCUACCAUCAAGAUUAGUAUUAAACCAGAAUAAUUAUCAUUUGGUGUUUGCGUUGAGCAUAGACAUGAUUGGAUUAUGUCUAUCGCAAUACGGUUAUUCAUUUAAGGAGAAUAAUGGUUACUCUAUUUAUUUGAAUAAUACCUUCGAUGGUCAUGCACCUAAAGGAAUGGUUUAUUGAAUCUCGAUCGUAGUGAUACACAUUUUCAUGCCAAAAGAUAUAAGAUAGUAAUGAUAGUACCACUUACUUGUGGCACUGCCAUGUAAGUCAUAAUGGUAUAAAACGCAUGAAGAAGCUCCAUGUUGAUGGAUCUUUGGACUCACUCGUUUUGAAAAGUUUGAGACAUGCGAACCAUGUCUAUUGGUGUAUAUGCAUGAAGAAACUCCAUGCAGAUGGAUCGUUUAGACUCACUUGAUUUUGAAUCACUUGAGAUAUGCAAAUCAUACCACAAAGGCAAGAUGACUGAAAAGCCUCGGUUUCAGUAAGAUGGAACAAGAUAGCAACUCGUUGGAAGUAACACAUUUUGAUGUGUGCAGUCCAAUGAGUGCUGAGGCAUGCAGUGAAUAUCGUUAUGUUCUUACUUCACAGAUGAUUUGAGUAAAUGUUGAAUAUAUUUACUUGAUGAAACACAAGUCUGAAUUAUUGAAUGGUUCAAGUAAUUUCAGAGUGAAGUAUCAGAUCAUUGUGACAAGAGGAUAAAAUGUCUAUGAUAUGAUCAUAGAGAUGAAUAUCUGAGUUACGAGUUUUGGCACACAAUUAAGACAUUGUGGAAAUUGUUUCGCAAUUAAUACCGCCUGGAACACCAUAGUGUGAUGGUGUGUUCGAACAUCAUAGUUGCACCCUAUUGGACAUGGUGCGUACCAUGAUGUCUCUUAUCGAAUUACCACUAUCGUUCAUGGGUUAGGCAUUAGAGACAACCACAUUCACUUUAAAUAGGGCACCACGUAAUUCCGAUGAGAUGACACCGUAUGAAUUAUGGUUUAGAGAAACCUAAGUUGUCGUUUCUUAAAAGUUUGGGGCUGCGACGCUUAUAUGAAAAAGUUUCAGGUUGAUAAGCUUGAACCCAAAGCGGAUAAAAUGCAUCUUCAUAGGAAACCCAAAACGGUUGGGUAUACCUCCUAAUUCAGAUCCGAAAGCAAUAUGGAUUGUUUCUUGAAUCGGGUCCUUUCUCGAGGAAAGGUUUCUCUCGAAAGAAUUGAGUGGGAGGAUGGUGGAGACUUGAUGAGGUUAUAUGAACCGUCUCUUCAACUAGUGUGUGGCAGGGCACAGGAAGAUUGUUCCUGUGGCACCUACACCAAUUGAAGUGGAAGCUUAUGAUAUUGAUCAUGAAACUUCGGAUCAAGUCACUACCAAACCUCGUAGGACGACAAGAACACGUACUACUUCGGAGUGGUAAGGUGAUCCUGUCUUGAAGGUCAUGUUGCUAGACAACAAUGAACCUACGAGCUAUGGAGAAGCAAUGGUGGGCCCGGAUUCCGAUAAAUGGCUCGAGGCCAUAAAAUCCGAGAACGGAUCCAUGACUUUGGAAGAAAUACUUGAUGGUCGUAAGGCCAUUGGGUACGGAUGGAUUUUAAAAGGAAGACAGACAAUGAUGGUAAGAAUUACCAUUAAGAAAGCUCGACUUGUCGCUAAGAUAUUUUCCGACAAGUUCAAGGAGUUGAUUACGGUGAGGUUUUCUCACUCGUAGCGAUGCUAAGAGUCUGUUGGAAUUGGAUUAGCAGUUACUGCAUGAUUGAUGAAAUCUUGCAGAUAGGAUGUCAAAACAUUUUUUCCUCGACGUUAUACUUGAGGAAAGGUUGUAUGUGAUACAACCGGAAGGUUUUGUCAAUCCCAAAAGAUGCUAAUAAGUAUGCAAAGCUCCAGCAAUCCUUCUAAGGACUGGAGUAAGCAUCUCGGAGUUGGAAUGUAUGCUUUGAUGAUGAUCAAAGAUUUUGGGUUUGUACAAAGUUUAUGAGAAACUUGUAUUUCCAAAGAAGUGAGUGGGAGCACUAUAGAAUUUCUGAUGAGUAUAUGUUGAUCAGAAAUGAUAUAGAAUUUCUAGAAAGCAUAUAGGGUUAUUUGAAAGGUGUUUUUCCAUAGAAAACCUGGAUUAAGCUACUUGAACAUUGAGCAUCGAGAUCUAUAAGGAUAGAUCAAAAUGCUUAAUAAUACUUUCAAAUGAGCAGAAACCUUGACAUGAUCUUGAAGGUGUUCAAGAUGGACCAGUCAAAGAAGGAGUUCUUGCCUGAGUUGUAAGGUGCGAAGUUAAGACUUAAAGCUCGACCACGGCAGAAUAGAGAGAAAGGACGAAGGUCGUCCCCUAUGCUUUAGACGUAGGCUCUACAGUAUGCCGUGCUGUGUACCGCACCGAAAGUGUGCCUUGCCAUGAGUCAGUCAAGGGGUACAAGAGUGAUCCAUCAAUGGAUCAUAGGACAGCGGUCAAAGUUAUCCUUAGUAACUAGUGGACUAAGGAAUUUUUCUCGAUUAUGGAGGUGGUAAAAGAGUUCGUCGUAAAAGUUACGUCGAUGCAAGCUUAACACCUAUCCGGAUAGCUCUGAGUAGAGAGACCGGAUACAUAUAAUGGAGCAAUAAUUUAGAAUAGCUCCAAGUAGAACAGUUGUUUGGAAUAGCUCCAAAUAGAGCGUGGUAGCUGCAUCUAGGAGAUGACAUGGAGAUUUGUAAAGCACACACGGAUCUGAAAGGUUCAGACCCGUUGACUAAAACCUCUCUCACAAGCAACAUGAUCAAACAUAAAACUCAUUGAGUGUUAAUCACAUAGUGAUGUGAACUAGACUACUGACUCUAGUAAACUCUCGGGUAUUAGUCACAUGGCGAUGUGACCUGUGAGUGUUAAUCACAUGACAAUGUGAACUAGAUUAUUGACUCUAGUGCAAGUGGGAGACUGUUGGAAAUAUGCCCUAGAGGCAAUAAUAAAAGUGUUAUUAUUAUAUUUCCUUGUUCAUGAUAAUUGUCUUUUAUUCAUGCUAUAACUGUAUUAUCCGGAAAUCGUAAUACACGUGUGAAUACAUAGACCACAAUAUGUCCCUAGUAAGCCUCUAGUUGACUAGCUCGUUGAUCAAUAGAUGGUCACGGUUUCCUGGCUAUGGACAUUGGAUGUCGUUGAUAACGGGAUCACAUCAUUAGGAGAAUGAUGUGAUGGACAAGACCCAAUCCUAAGACUAGCUCAAAGAUCGUGUAGUUCGUUUGCUAGAGCUUUGCCAAUGUCAAGUUUCUCUUCCUUUGACCAUGAGAUCGUGUAACUCCUGGAUACCGUAGGAGUGCUUUGGGUGUAUCAAACGUCACAACGUAACUGGGUGACUAUAAAGGUGCACUACAGGUAUCUCCGAAAGUAUCUAUUGUUUUAUGCGGAUCGAGACUGGAAUUUGUCACUCCGUGUAAACGGAGAGGUAUCUCUAGGCCCACUCGGUAGGACAUCAUCAUUUGCGCAAAUGUGACCAAGGAGUUGAUCACGGGAUGAUGUGUUACAGAACGAGUAAAGAGACUUGCCGGUAACGAGAUUGAACAAGGUAUCGGUAUACCGACGAUCGAAUCUCGGGCAAGUAACAUACCGAUAGACAAAGGGAAUUGAAUACGGGAUCGAUUGAGUCCUUGACAUCGUGGUUCACCUGAUGAGAUCAUCGUGGAACAUGUGGGAGCCAUCAUGGGUAUCCAGAUCCCGCUGUUGGUUAUUGACCGGAGAACGUCUCGGUCAUGUCUGCAUGUCUCCCGAACCCGUAGGGUCUACACACUUAAGGUUCGAUGACGCUAGGGUUAUAAAGGAAGCUUGUAUGUGGUUACCGAAUGUUGUUCGGAGUCCCGGAUGAGAUCCUGGACGUCACGAGGAGUUCCGGAAUGGUCCGGAGGUAAAGAUUUAUAUAUAGGAAGUCCUGUUUCGGCCAUCGGGACAAGUUUCGGGGUCAUCGGUAUUGUACCGGGACCACCGGAAGGGUCCCGGGGGCCCACCGGGUGGGGCCACCUGCCCCGGGGGGCCACAUGGGCUGUAGGGGGUGCGCCUUGGCCUACAUGGGCCAAGGGCACCAGCCCCAAGAGGCCCAUGCGCCAAGAGAAGAGAAAAAGGGAAGAGUCCUAAAGGGGGAAGGCACCUCCGAGGUGCCUUGGGGAGGAUGGACUCCUCCCCAUCCUUAGCCGCACCCCUUCCUUGGAGGAGGGGGCAAGGCUGCGCCCUUCCCCUCUCCCUUGGCCCUAUAUAUAGUGGGGAAAAGGAGGAGCAAUCAUACCUAAGGCCUUUGGUUGCCUCCCUCUCCCUCCCGUGACACAUCUCCUCUCCCGUAGGUGCUCGGCGAAGCCCUGCAGGAUUGCCACGCUCCUCCACCACCACCACGCCGUUGUGCUGCUGUUGGAUGGAGUCUUCCUCAACCUCUCCCUCUCCCGUUGCUGGAUCAAGGCGUGGGAGACGUCACCGGGCUGUACGUGUGUUGAACGCGGAGGUGUCGUCCGUUCGGCACUAGGAUCAUCGGUGAUCUGAAUCACGACGAGUACGACUCCAUCAACCCCGUUCACUUGAACGCUUCCGCUUAGCGAUCUACAAGGGUAUGUAGAUGCACUCUCUUUCUACUCGUUGCUGGUCUCUCCAUAGAUAGAUCUUGGUGACGCGUAGGAAAUUUUUUGAAUUUCUGCUACGUUACCCAACAUAGGGAGGCGUCCUCUCAUGAAUAAUGCCAUGUUCCGAACAGAAGGAAUCAAACUCACUCGAGAAGUACUCUCCACCACGAUCUGACCGGACUCGUUUAAUUUUCCUUUCAAGUUGAUUCUCAACUUCUGCCUUAUAGAUUUUAAAGUAGUGUAGAGCCUCAUCCUUAGUAUUUAACAGAUAAACAUAGCAAUAUCUAGUGGAAUCGUCUAUCAAUGUCAUGAAGUAUCUCUUUCCACCUUUAGUCAACACACCAUUCAUCUCACAAAGAUCAGAAUGUAUGAGUUCUAAUGGUGCCAGGUGUCUCUCCUCUGCGGCCUUGUGAGGCUUGCGAGGUUGCUUAGCUUGCGCACAUGAAAGGCACUUAGAACCUUUGGCUAAAGUGAAACUCGGGAUUAAAUCCAAUUUGGCUAGCCGCGUCAUAACACCGAAACUAAUGUGACAAAGACGUGAAUGCCAAACUUCAGAUUCAUUAACAUUCAAAUGAAUAUGGUUCACGACUUUAUUACAAAAAUCUGCGAGGGAAAGGCGAAACAUGCCUCCGCUCUCAUAACCUUUUCCAACAAAGAGUCCAUAUUUCGUAACAACUAAUUUAUUAGACUCGAAAACCAACUUAAACCCUUCUCUACAUAGAAGGGAGCCACUAACGAGGUUCUUCUUGAUGGCGGGGACAUGUUGCACGUUAUUCAGCUGCACGAUCCUUCCCGAAGUAAACUUCAGAUCGACCGUGCCAACACCAUGAACAGAAGCACUCGCGCCAUUCCCCAUCAAUACGGACCCGUGACCUGUGACCUGGUAAGAAGUGAACAAUGAAAUGUCAGCACACACACAUGAACACCUGCACCUGUGUCCACCCACCAAUCGGUAGGCUGAAACACUGAAAAAACAGUAAAUAAAUUACCGUACCCAGAUGCACCAUUCUCAUUGUUUCCCACAAUCAUGUUGACCGACUUGGAGUCCAGUCCUGGCUUCUUGUACUUGUUUGGGCACUUGUUGGCCCAAUGUUCAACCGAACCAUAAGUAAAGCAGCCCUCAUCCUUCUUGUUCUUCUUGAAGUUCUUCUUGCCCUUCUUUUUAAAGUCGGUAUUGUGUUGGAUACCGUUCUUUCCCUUGUGUUUGUGGGACUUAUGGUUCCUCUGAUUCACCAUGUUGGCGACAGAAGUCCCUUCGGCCCCUUUUCCAUGCGAGUCCUUUGCCCUUGAAUUCUGCUCAACACUCAGAUGGCCAAUGACAUCCUCCAUAGGGAAUUCACGCCUCUGAUGUUUCAGAGUGGUGGCAAAGUUCCUCUAGGAAUUAGGGAGCUUAGCGAUUAUGCAGCCCGCGACAAACUUGCCCGGUAACUCGCACUUAGAAGUUCAAGCUCCUUAACAAUGCAUAUUAUUUCAUGAGCCUGCUCCAAUACAGGACGGUUUUCAACCAUCUUAUAAUCGUGGAACUGCGAUAUAAUAUACAUCUCGAUCCCUGCAUCGGCGGCCCCGAAUUUAGAUUCGAGCGCCUCCCACAAAUCCUUGGCGACAUGCACAUGUAAAUAUGCAUCGACCAGUUUAUCUCCGAUCACGCAAAGAACUGCUCCGAGAAACACAACGGUAGCCUCCUUGAACGCCUUCUCCUGUUCAGGAGCAAUUGUACCCGUGGAGACACCGGUGACCCAGAACAUGUUCAUAGCCGUGAGCCCUAACGUGGUCUUAGUCUGCCAACGCUUAAAGUAUGUACCGGUAAACUUAUCUGGUUUCAGUGCAGCGGCAAAGCCACUUGCCGAGAAAUUCCUGCACAUAAUAGGUUUUUGGAUUGCUGAGUAAAUAGGCAAUUUCUCUAUUAAAUUAAUCCACGAGUAAAUCACUAGCAUGGCAUUGACUAAGUUGAUGACGUACUGACUCUGAUCUAAACAUGCACGUACUAAGCAAACAGUAGACAAAUCUACACAUACUGCUAGUACUACUAAUACGAAAAUAAUCAGGAGCGGGAUAAACGCGUUAUACCUUCCAGUAGGCCAUGCAGACGCCGCGGCGGUGGUGGCGGCAGCAGCAUCCUCGGCGGCCUUCUUGUCGGCUUCAGUUGUGACGCCUGGAUAAUUAGGCUACAGUAAUCUCACGAUAAUGAUGCCACGUCACCAUGGUUACUGUUGUUAAUCUUGCAGUGUAUCACGUCCCUUUCGAAUUCUAACUUAAAAUAAAGUUAAAUGAUAAAAGUUUUCUAAAACUCAAAUCUAAAAUGUUCAAAGUGUAGUAAAUAAAUCAUAUAUGAUUAGGGUGGUGAACCCAAAAUUUUAUAAAAUGCUUAGAUGCACUAAAUAAUAGAAACAAUAGCUAAAUUAUUUAUUUAAUCGUCACUUAAAUGAUUAUAUUAUUGAAAACUACUUUUAAUAAAUAAAAGGAUAAUUGUGGCAGUAAUAUAAUUACUACCACUAAUUUAGGUGCUAGAAUUAUNNNNNNNNNNNNNNNNNNNNNNNNNNNNNNNNNNNNNNNNNNNNNNNNNNNNNNNNNNNNNNNNNNNNNNNNNNNNNNNNNNNNNNNNNNNNNNNNNNNNNNNNNNNNNNNNNNNNNNNNNNNNNNNNNNNNNNNNNNNNNNNNNNNNNNNNNNNNNNNNNNNNNNNNNNNNNNNNNNNNNNNNNNNNNNNNNNNNNNNNNNNNNNNNNNNNNNNNNNNNNNNNNNNNNNNNNNNNNNNNNNNNNNNNNNNNNNNNNNNNNNNNNNNNNNNNNNNNNNNNNNNNNNNCAUGGCCCAGUAGGCCAUCGGGCCGCCAGGCCGGCCCAGCCGCGCCCCACUCCCUUUUCCCCUGGUGCCGAAACCCUAACCCCCUAAACCUGGUUAGUUAGUGUUCAGCCUAUGACAUGUGGGACCCAACGGCCAGUUUGACUAGUCAAACAGUCAAAGCUGACCGCUGACAUCACCCAGACAUCUUGCUGAUGUCAUAAUUGCAUUUUCUAAUUUAAUUAAUUUUGUUCAUUCUGAAAAUGAUUUAAAUCUUUAAAAAUUAAUAUGAAAUAAUCCAUAACUCGGAUGAAAAUACUUUGUACAUGAAAAUUGCUUACAACGACGAGACGAACCCGGAUACGCAGCCCGUUUGUCCGCCACGCAUCCCUAGCAUAGCAAACACGCAGUUUUCCCCCUCCGGCUCCUCUGCCCGAAAACGCGAAACACCGGGGAUACUUUCCCGGAUGUUUUCCCCUUCACCGGUACCACCUCGUACACGUUAGGGCACACCUAGCAUCACGCUUUGUCAUGUCGUGCAUCGUCAUGCAUUUGUUUGCAUUUAUUUAUUGUUUCUUCCCCCUCUUUUCUCGCUAGACACCGAGACCGACGCCGCUGCUACCCAGUACAACUACGGAGUUGACGACCCCUCUCUCUUGCCAGAGCAACCAGGCAAGCCCCCCCUUGAUCACCAUAUAUCGCCUACUCUCCUCUAUACUGCUUGCAUUAGAGUAGUGUAGCAUGUUACUGCUUUCCGUUAAUCCUAUCCUGAUGCAUAGCCUGUCAUUGUUGCUACAACUAUUGAUAUCUUACCUGCAAUCCUAAAUGCUUAGUAUAGGAUGCUAGUUUAUCAUCAGUGGCCAUACAUUCUUGUCCGCCUGCCAUGCUAUACUUUCGGGCCGUGAUCCCUCGGGAGUUGAUCACGGGUAUAUACAUAUACUUUAUACAUGAUACAUGUGAUGACUAAAGUCGGGUUGGCUCGAGGAGUACCCGCGAGUGAUUCACGGAUUGGGGGCUGAAAGGACCUUUGUCCCGACGGCCCUCUGGGUGGAUCUUUGUGGCGGAGCGACAGGGCAGGUUGAGACCACCUAGGAGAGAGGUGGGCCUGGCCCUGGUCGGCGUUCGCGGUGUCUUCAAGAUAACACAUUUAACGAGAUCUUGGUAUUUGAUCUGAGUCUGGCUACUGGCCUAUAUGCACUAACCAUCUACGUGGGGACAGUUAUGGCAAAAACAUGUGAACAUGCUGAACAUGGCAAGUAUGUGAACAUGACAAAAACAUAAUCAGUUCUCAGACUAGUGAAAACUGGAACAUGCUGAAACAGAUAUCAAGUAGGCAUGUUUACGAGCUCGAUGCACUCGCUACAGAGCAAGUCAUGACGAGCUAAGCAUACAUCCAUCAAGAAUACACAAAAUACAAGCUAGACAUAGCAAGAAAAAGAACAUAGCAUGCACGGAUCAACUACAACAUCAUCGGCAAUAUCACUAACAAGUAGACAAUCUGCCCAGAUUCACGAAAUAGCAAAAGUAGAGCUCGAUUGACUCAAGUUAGGGUGCUCCAUAAUUGCAAACAAAUACAUGGAUGGAUAGAGCACUACAAGAUUAACAAAACAUCCUUACUGAUCAUCCUCAAAAGACGCACGUAUCACUAGGAAACAAUAUGAACAUAUGGCCAUAUGAGAUAAACAGUCCAAGGACUUGGUGGAAAUGCUAAGUCCCUGAAAUCAGCAUUAACAAAUGCCUCACUUUGCAAGCUUGCGCUAGUCACCACACACAUCACAAAAAUACAUGGGUUGCACCUCUGGAAAGAUGGCAAAACCCUUAACAAAACAUAUGUAGAGCUCAUGGGCAUAUCAUGCACACAAUAAUCAUGACAAAAAUGACAAAUAUCUACUUGGAGCAGCAAAUCUGACAAUUAUCUCAAAUAGCACUCUUCUAACAGCAUUUGGGGCAUCAAGAUGAACUCAAAUGAAAAUGAUGCAAUGAGAUGAAAUGAUGUACUCUCUGAGAUGAACAUUUUGAUAUGCUAUAUGCCCAAAACGGAGCUACGGAUGCAAAGUUAUGAUGCGAUGAACAGGAGCAAAUGAACUAGGGUUUCGGGGCAAAAGUCAACCCAAACAGGAUCUCAGAUCCAGAUCCGGGGCACGUCUCCCGAAGUUCACCGGAAUCGGAGGUGGGCCGCCGGAGUUGAAGUCGGCCGGAGCGGGGAGGCGCUCUCGGGCUCGCCGUAGUGGGGAGGAGCUUGCCAGCGGGGUCGGUGGCGUGGAGGCGAGGUCCGGCGGGGUNNNNNNNNNNNNNNNNNNNNNNNNNNNNNNNNNNNNNNNNNNNNNNNNNNNNNNNNNNNNNNNNNNNNNNNNNNNNNNNNNNNNNNNNNNNNNNNNNNNNNNNNNNNNNNNNNNNNNNNNNNNNNNNNNNNNNNNNNNNNNNNNNNNNNNNNNNNNNNNNNNNNNNNNNNNNNNNNNNNNNNNNNNNNNNNNNNNNNNNNNNNNNNNNNNNNNNNNNNNNNNNNNNNNNNNNNNNNNNNNNNNNNNNNNNNNNNNNNNNNNNNNNNNNNNNNNNNNNNNNNNNNGCCUGAGCUCGGCCGGCGACCGGCGCCGGGGAAGAUGAGCGCGGGGCGCUCGGGCGCGGCCGCGGGGGGAAGUCGGGCGGCGGGCGGAGGCAACGGGCCUCGAGGGCCCCUCCUGGGCCUCCCGGGCCGGCGAUGUGGGGCGACCGACGGGCGAGUGGCGGAGCGCCACGUGGCAGCCGGAGACAGGCCGGGGGAAGCGGGGCGGACACGUCCGUCGGUAGCGACUCUGUCCGGUGGCGCGCGAUGCUGAUUUGGAUCUAGGGUAUUUCGCGGGGGAAGGAGAAGGAGAUUUUCGGGGGUGGUCUUUAAAUAGGCAUAGAGGGAGCUAGAAGAGUCCAAAUGAGGUGCGGUUUUCGGCCACGUGAUCGUGAUCGAACGCUCUAGGUGAUGGAGAAGGUUUAGGUGGGUUUUGGGCCAACUUGGAGGGGUGUUGGGCUGCAACACACACGAGGCCUUUUUGGUCCCUCGGUUAACCGUUGGAGUAUCAAACGAAGUCCAAAUGAUACGAAACUUGACAGACGGUCUACCGGUAGUAAACCAAGGCCGCUUGGCAUGUCUCGGUCCAAUCCGGAAAUGUUUAAUCCCCACACACGAAAGAAAGGUAGAAAUGACCACCGGAGGAGAACGAAGCAUCGGAAUGCAAAACGGACAACGGGGAAAUGCUCGGAUGCAUGAGAUGAACACGUAUGCAAAUGCAAUGCACAUGAUGACAUGAUAUGAGAUGCAUGACAACGACAACAACACACGGAGACAAAAACCCGAACCUGAGAAAAUAAAAUAACUUAAGGCCGGAAACGGCAAGAUUUGGAUUACAUAUUGGGUAAAUCACAUCCGGGGUGUUACAAUCACCAGCAGACUUCGAAGAUAUUCUCCGAUCUACUCCCGAGAACUUGUGUUGAUUUAUUUUGCAGUCCCUUAACACCAUUGAAUCCUUAUGGAUAAAUGUGUACCCUCGCCGUUCAUACUUUCAUCCCUAGUUGUUCUUGUUAUUACAAGAUACCCGAAAGUAUUCUCCGACUUUUGAGAAUCCUUUUUCCGACUGCCUUGCAGUUCCUUGCCACCUGAAUACCCCUACGGAUAAUUGCUCGCCCUUAUCGAGUAUCCGCUCAUCCCCAGUUGUUCAGGUGUUUCACAAUUGUCUUCGAAGUACUAUUCGAUCCUCCAAAAUUCCUCAGUAGCUUAUUGCUCUGCAAUACUUGUCUGCUUGCAUUAUGGAUGCUUUCCAUAUGUCUGGCAAUAUUCGUUAGUAUCCUUAGACACCGUCAUUUUGAUACUAUUGACUCAACAUGAGUGCGAAUGAACGCAAUCAUCACUUGAUCCUUUUAAAUUAUCUUUCUGGCUCGGACGUCAUUUUUGAACAUAAGCUUGUUCUCGACCAAUCUGUUUGCCGUCAAUUGUACCCUUAGGUCUAUUGAACUUAUCCACCCUUGAUCAGAGCGUCUGCUUCUGAUCCUUCUAUUUGGAAAUCAUAAUUCCUUUGAUAUCUAAGCAUCGAAUCAUUCAGGUGUCCUAUAAUCUGAUGCCCUUGCAUCCUUCCUUCAAUUGAUAGUAUGCCGAUGCUCACAUCAGCUCCGCUAUGGACCGUCAGAUCCUUUAUUGGAUUAUUAUUCGAUAGUGUCCUCCUUGUUCAAUAACCUUGUGAGUUUUUCCUCGGAUACAUAAUGCUUUUGGUAAAUUGUAUCCUCUGUUUUCUCAACCAUGCUCUGUUUUAGAGCUGGUGGUAUUUACGAUUGAAGCUGGUGGUAUAUGUUUCCACGAUACCCUGAUGGGUUGAACCUACGCCUUUCUUAAUCUGUGUGAACCCGAAAGUUUUCACGGGUCAUACUCCUCUGGUAAUUCACCAGGUAGGUUUUGACACUGAAAUCAUUUUUAUCUAGAGCAGUGAAUGAAAGGUUAUGCAUUGAAGAAGUGGGAGUUGACCUUGAACUUUGUGUUCAUGCCCAUGGACACGAUGUAGAUCUUAUCAUUAGAGCUUCUCUUAAAUUAAACUUUCCCUUGGUAUAAGUUCUUAUAUCUGGGACCCGGCCUUUUGCAAUCGUGGUUUCGACCAUAUGUAUUUCUUUGACCCAUUUCACGGGCAAGUUUCAGCACUUGUCUUCUAUAGAUCAAUACACCAGUCCAACCUUUACUUUGAUAUUCCGUCGAGUAUUACACCAUGGUACCUCGAUAAUAUCAAGUACUACAUAACCUCUUAUGAGUUCUUCAUCGAGUACUACAUUCUCACUGAUUCCAAUUUUUCACGGGCUCUGAGUUAUUAAACACUCAAAGACCGAUAACUGAACCGAGUCCACACUACGGUUCAACAACUAUUAUAAAUCUUCUUUGCUUACGAGUUUGUACCCGAUCACGUCCUACCUACCCUAUUUGGCUAUAUCAUUACUGUGAUGAUUUUAACUGUGCUACCUGGUCCUUAUUCUCGAAGCAGAACUUUCGACGAUGAGCUAAGCUUACGACGAUCUUCCUCAUCAUACCAUUUUUCCUUAAACAAUGAGCUUGGUUUCGAGUUUAUGUCAUACCCUUGGGUUCAAGCAAGGUUAGCACACCCGGCUGGAGGCCCUAUGGUUAUAGAUUCCUUUUCAGCAAGGUUAUCCAUUCUUCCAUGAGGAAAUUGUAAGACUUAUUCUACAAGUUAUUCCUGAUGGAUCCUUUGUGUUUCCAAAGUCUGACCUUUGCCUGAAUACCAUGUCAAAGCUAUCUCGAAGCAUAUAUAUGAUACUCCAAUUUUCAACAAGAACAUUUAAAUCAUAAUGUUAAAUGUUUCCUGCUCAAUUAUCCAAACACCGUUGUACGGGUAAUGUCAUGAAAAUUCUCUCCCCUACCUAAAGAGUUUUCUACAUUAUAUCCUGUCAUGGAUAAUAUGUUCUGCUUGUCCUUGGGAAGAAUAUACCCUUGAAAUAUGUGUUUAAGCACAUUUUCCUUUCCAUUGUUCUGUUUAAAACCUGAUAAUCACUUUUCCUUUCCAUUGGUUUGUUUAAACCUUCUUGUGAUCUAUAUUGUAUAAGCAGUAAUAUAUCCUUGCUUAUGUGAACACCUCUUUGUACCACUCUGUUAGAAAGACCCUGUUACUUUUGUUGAUGGCAUUCCGGUAACCACCGAUGGACGAGAAUCUCGCCUACUGGUCCGCCUCGUUCAACGAGCAGGAAAAUGGUUCUCUUCGUCCCUUGCCCUUGGUACUGAUGUGUUGCCGACAUGACCGACAGACUAUCCUCUGACAUGCCUUGCUUACAUGAUCGUGCAAGAUGUCACCGACCUUCCUACUUUUAACCACAUGGUGGGCCCAUAACCCACGGUUCCAUAGGAUCGAAACCUAACUCUCCUGUACACCUUGUUAACAAAGUUAUCCCUUGCUCUUGGUUUCGUAGGUAAUUCACGAGCCACCUUCCUAGUGCUCCAUUCUGGCAUCAGAUGCAACACUUACUCUCGCUGCUCUGAACCCUUUCUCACUAUGGUUCAGACCUUGAGCAACUAUCUAUCCGCUUGGACCCUCUCAUUGUACCUUCGUACCUUACUCUUGAUGUAUUUUAUAUGUUCAACUCGAGAGGUAGUCUUAUGCUCAUUCAUGGGUUAACCCCCAGCUUGUUUCCCUCAUAAGCAUUCUGACGUAGCCAAGUUGCCUAUUACCUAUUCGUAAGUACGUUGGAGUUCCGAAGAAAGGAUGACGACUUGGUCAUGGUGACUUAAAUCAGAGAAAUGAAGACAUCAAUGAAAGGGAUCAACCUCUUCGAGAAGAGAAACCAAGACCGAGAAGACUCGAUAGAAUUUCAUAGCCACGUCUUUCCCUUACUCCCCUCUUAAAUCUCGGGACGAGAUUUCUUGUAGUGGAGGAGAAUUGUGAUGCCCGGAUAAUUAGGCUACAGUAAUCUCACAAUAAUGAUGCCACGUCACCAUGGUUACUGUUGUUAAUCUUGCGGUGUAUUACGUCCCUUUCGAAUUCUAACUUAAAAUAAAGUUAACCGAUAAAAGUUUUCUAAAAGUCAAAUCUAAAAUGUUCAAAGUGUAGCAAAUAAAUCAUAUAUGAUUAGGGUGGUGAACCCAAAAUUUUAUAAAAUGCUUAGAUGCACUAAAUGAUAGAAACAAUAGCUAAAUUAUUUAUUUAAUCGUCACUUAAAUGAUUAUAUUAUUGAAAACUACUUUUAAUAAAUAAAAGGAUAAUUGUGGCAGUAAUAUAAUUACUACCACUAAUUUAGGUGCUAGAAUUAUAUUUCAUAAAACUAAAAUAAUAUGAAUUAAAACCGUAAAAGAAAAAUGUUAUAAAUAGUUAAACAAAAAAAAGAAAUAGAAGAUCCCCCCCCCCCGCGCUGGACCAUGCCCCAGCAGGCCAUCGGGCCGCCAGGCCGGCCCAGCCAUGCCCCACUCCNNNNNNNNNNNNNNNNNNNNNNNNNNNNNNNNNNNNNNNNNNNNNNNNNNNNNNNNNNNNNNNNNNNNNNNNNNNNNNNNNNNNNNNNNNNNNNNNNNNNNNNNNNNNNNNNNNNNNNNNNNNNNNNNNNNNNNNNNNNNNNNNNNNNNNNNNNNNNNNNNNNNNNNNNNNNNNNNNNNNNNNNNNNNNNNNNNNNNNNNNNNNNNNNNNNNNNNNNNNNNNNNNNNNNNNNNNNNNNNNNNNNNNNNNNNNNNNNNNNNNNNNNNNNNNNNNNNNNNNNNNNNNNNNNNNNNNNNNNNNNNNNNNNNNNNNNNNNNNNNNNNNNNNNNNNNNNNNNNNNNNNNNNNNNNNNNNNNNNNNNNNNNNNNNNNNNNNNNNNNNNNNNNNNNNNNNNNNNNNNNNNNNNNNNNNNNNNNNNNNNNNNNNNNNNNNNNNNNNNNNNNNNNNNNNNNNNNNNNNNNNNNNNNNNNNNNNNNNNNNNNNNNNNNNNNNNNNNNNNNNNNNNNNNNNNNNNNNNNNNNNNNNNNNNNNNNNNNNNNNNNNNNNNNNNNNNNNNNNNNNNNNNNNNNNNNNNNNNNNNNNNNNNNNNNNNNNNNNNNNNNNNNNNNNNNNNNNNNNNNNNNNNNNNNNNNNNNNNNNNNNNNNNNNNNNNNNNNNNNNNNNNNNNNNNNNNNNNNNNNNNNNNNNNNNNNNNNNNNNNNNNNNNNCUCCUUUCGCCACUAUCGUACGCCGUCGCCGGUAGUCGGCCACGCCCGCUCAAUCCCGCUCCAGCCGCGGCUUCGCCUUGUCUCCCGCGGUCCGGUUUGGCCUCAGCGCGGGCAAUGCCAACGCCCCUGCGCCCGUAACCACUCCGGCCAGUGCCCGCCAAGGCCCUAUAGGCCUAUGACAGCUAGGCCCCACCCCAUGUGCCAAUGACAGGUGGGCCUAGCCCCAGAACGAAAACGAUUUAUAAAUAUAUAUAUAUAUAAUUAAUUAAAAAAUAAUGAAAUUAAUUAAUUAAUUAAUUAAUUAACCUAAUUAAUUACAGUUAAUAAACCUAAUUAAUUAGUUAGACUAACUAAACCUGGUUAGUUAGUGUUCAGACUAUGACAUGUGGGACCCAACGGCCAGUUUGACUAGUCAAACAGUCAAAGCUGACCGCUGACAUCACCCUGACAUCUUGCUGAUGUCAUAAUUGCAUUUUCUAAUUUAAUUAAUUCUGUUAAUUCUGAAAAUGAUUUAAAUCUUUAAAAAUUAAUAUCAAAUAAUCCAUAACUCGGAUGAAAAUACUUUCUACAUGAAAAUUGCUCAGAACGACGAGACGAACCUGGAUACGCAGCCCGUUCAUCCGCCAUGCAUCCCUAGCAUAGUAAACACGCAGCUUUCCCCCUCCGGCUCCUCUGCCCGAAAACGCGAAACACCGGGGAUACUUUCCCGGAUGUUUUCCCCUUCACCGGUACCACCUCAUACCGCGUUAGGGCACACCUAGCAUCACGCUUUGUCAUGUUGUGCAUCAUCAUGCAUUUGUUUGCAUUAUAUUUAUUAUUUCUUCCCCCUCUUCUCUACUAGACACCGAGACCGACGCCGCUGCUACCCAGUACGACUACGGAGUUGAUGACCCCUCUCUCUUGCCAGAGCAACCAGGCAAGCCCCCCCCCCUUGAUCACCAUAUAUCGCCUACUCUCCUCUAUACUGCUUGCAUUAGAGUAGUGUAGCAUGUUACUUCUUUCCGUUAAUCCUAUCCUGAUGCAUAGCCUGUCAUUGUUGCUACAACUAUUGAUACCUUACCUGCAAUCCUAAAUGCUUAGUAUAGGAUGCUAGUUUAUCAUCAGUGGCCAUACAUUCUUGUCCGUCUGCCAUGCUAUACUAUCGGGUCGUGAUCACUCGGGAGUUGAUCACGGGUAUAUACCUAUACUUUAUACAUGAUACAUGUGAUGACUAAAGUAGGGUUGGCUCGAGGAGUACCCGUGAGUGAUUCACGGAUUGGGGGCUGAAAGGACCUUUGUCCCGACGGCCCUCUGGGUGGAUCUUUGUGGCGGAGCGACAGGGCAGGUUGAGACCACCUAGGAGAGAGGUGGGCCUGGCCCUGGUCGGCGUUCGCGGUGUCUUCAAGAUAACACGUUUAACGAGAUCUUGGUAUUUGAUCUGAGUCUGGCUACUGGCCUAUACGCACUAACCAUCUACGUGGGGACAGUUUUGGGCACUCGACGUCGUGGUAUCAGCCGAAGCCUUUGUGAUGUCAGCGACUGAGCGGCGUGCGCCAGGUUGGACCGCGUAAAGCAACUUCCUUUAUAAUGGAGGUUGCUAGGUCUGCCCACCGGCCGCGUUCGCAACGUGCAGGUGUGCAAAGGGCGAUGGGCCCAGACCCCUGGACCAUAGGAUUUAGACCGGCGUGCUGACCUCUCUGUUGUGCCUAGGUAGGCUGCGACGUGUUGAUCUUCCGAGGCCGGGCAUGACCCAGGAAAGUGUGUCCGGCCAAAUGGGAUCGAGCGUGUUGCGUUAUGUGGUGCACCCCUGCAGGGAAGUUAAUCUAUUCGAAUAGCUGUGAUCUUCGGUAACAGGAUGACUUGGAGUUGUACCUUGACCUUAUGAGAACUAGAACCAGAUACUUAAUAAAACACACCCUUCCAAGUGCCAGAUACAACCGGUGAUCGCUCUCUCACAGGGCGACGAGGGGAGGAUCAUCAGUUAGGAUUAUGCUAUGCGAUGAUACUUGAAGGACUUCAGUCUACUCUCUUCUACAUGCUGCAAGACGGAGGCUGCCAGAAGCGUAGUCUUCGAAAGGAUUAGCUACCCCCCCCCCCCUUAUUCCGGCUUUCUGUAGUUCAGUCCACAUAUAAUAGCCUUAUUCCAGUUGAUACCAAUGCAUACAUAUGUAGUGUAGCUCCUUGCUUGGGAGUACUUUGGAUGAGUACUCACGGUUGCUUUCUCCCUCUUUUCCCUCCUUUUCUAUACUCGAUUGUUGCGACCAGACGAUGGAGCCCAGGAGCCAGACGCCACCGUCGACGACGACUACUACUACUUGGGAGGUGCCUACUACUACGUGCAGCCCGCUGAUGACGGCCAGGAGUAGUUUAGGAGGAUCCCAGGCAGGAGGCCUGCGCCUCUUUCGAUCUGUAUCUCAGUUUGUGCUAGCCUUCUUAAGGCAAACUUGUUUAACUUAUGUCUGUACUCAGAUAUUGUUGAUUCCGCUGACUCGUCUAUGAUCGAGCUCUUGUAUUCGAGCCCUCGAGGCCCCUGACUUGUAAUAUGAUGCUUGUAUGACUUAUUUUAUUUGUAGAGUUGUGUUGUGAUAUCUUCCCGUGAGUCCCUGAUCUUGAUCGUACACGUUUGCGUGUAUGAUUAGUGUAUGAUUGAAUCGGGGGCGUCACAUCAGCUUUCUCGGCGGCAGCACGGUCGGCGUCGGUGGACAUGGUGAUGAUGAAGGCGACGCGGACGUAGAGGAAGUAGACGGUCGGAAGCGAGCAGUCGCGUAAUCGCUGCCCAAAAACCUAUUCGCCCCUCACCCCGUACAGGAACCAGAGGGCGUGGUUUCGGAGACCUGCUCUCUCGUCGACCGUGUACGCGGCGGACGGGAUGGAGUCACCGGCGGCAGCAGCAGCAAAGGAACGACGGUGGGCGUGGGCGUGAGCAGAUGUGAUCUGUUCGUGGCGGCUAGGGUUAGGAGACACCACAUACUUAUAGGCGCAGCCGCGUGGAGAGACGUGGGCUCGACCCACGUUCGAGUCCGUGACAGCCCACGAUCCGACGUCUUAAAUCGUGGCCCAGCUGUCAGAGAACGCUCCGUUAGUGACUGGCAAAAAUAAGCGUGUAGGUGUGAGCUCGGCUCGGCUCAAUCCCGCAACCCGUGGCGCGUCAUGAUGUGGCGUGGCGAGGCGGGCGGCGGAGGAGGAGUGCACGAGGGCCUCUUCUCUUCUCAAGCUACAAUAGCAUGUAGAAGAGAAACCCUUAUAAACCACUCCAACUCUCCUUCCACUUUCGGGGUGAGACUAAACUUUUCACCACACCUAGUGCCAUAUAACCCACAUGGGCCCUUAGAGAUUUUUCAGAAAUUGCUAUAUGGGCCUAGAGCCCAUCUCAAAUUUCAGCAAAAUUUGCUUCCAUCAUCUUCUUUAUAGAUCUGUUCUUUCUUUCUCUUGGUACAAAACUGACCGUUCAUCUCUGUUCGUGCCGCUGUGCAGUCGACCCACCCAGCUGGUGCACGCCGGAGGCGGUUUGCCAGGACCCGGUUACGCCGGGAAACAGGGAAACGUGCAAAAGCAUCUGCAAAAGUUUUGGCUACAACCCGGAACAAGCCUACUGCAAUCCCGAUCCCACUCCGACGUGCAGCUGCAUCUAUUAAGCGCAAGAAAUAACAAUGUCACUGGAGUGGCAGAUGAUGGAUGACACAGCUAGCAAACUCAUUUUUAUGUGUAUCUUGUCUCAUGUAAAAAUCGGAACAGAUCAUGGUCCAGGCCUGACCGUCAAUAAAGAUUAGAAAAGUUUCUUAAAUAGGCGUGUUGCAGAAUUAAUAAGUUAACAUCUGGUAAACACAAGGGAACGAAAUGUCUUAACUAAAGACUUGAUAUUUACUCCUUGAUCCAGCGGACAAAAAAUAUAAAGGCAACGAACACCCCUUCACGUCAUAGCCCAACGGGAUAGCUAUCACUACAGGAAAAAAAUUAUAAGCCGAGUGCCCAAAACACUAGGCUCAUGCCGUUUUACGCUUGGUUUAUAUAUAAGCCGAGUGUUUUUCACGGCUUACAGUACACGGCUUUUUAAGAAGCAUCUUGCGUUCAUGCGCGAAAUACUUGACCACGGCAUUGACGCGAGCCUCGUAAGGCAUGUCUUGGACAAUCUUCUUGGCAAUCUCCUCCACGACCUCAUUAGCUUCAUCCUCCAUACCCUCAACGCAAGUAAAGAAGUCCUACCAAAGUGCAUAGAUUCGCAUAAGACAAUUAUCAAUGCAAUGAUUUGGAAUAUUGGCAAAGAAAUAACUAAGAAAAUUGACAAAGAAUUUUAUCCAAAAAUCGUUGACCACCCGCUCAGCAGCACUGCGGUACUCCCUGUCCCAAUUGUCUUUCGUAUCUGGAGCGCGUUUCCAGUGCUCCCAAGACCAAGCUGGCUCCUCCUCACCGUCUCCUAUGGGAAGUAGGCCGGGGUAAUAAUGCCUACAAAGACAUCCAAUAAUGGUGCUUGGCUGUCGUGGCGGGAUUGUGCCUUCUGGAAUAACCACCAAGGCCCUGCACAAUGGAAAGGCAAGUAAGUUAGUAUCUGCAAAAAACUUGAAUGUAAAGACAUAGUUAAGAGUCCACAGAAGCACUUACCUCACACCAACAGGUUUAACAAUGAUCCCCUUAUGUGGAUAUGGUCGCGAAGGGAGCGUGGACACCCCACGCAACCAGAUUUUGGUCUCCUGAAGAACCGGCCAUUCCAUGUCCUUUGCCGAUUCCUCCACCUCAUACUCUCCCUCCUCCAACUCCUCCUCCUGCACAUGUUAGUCGAUCCAGAAAGUUUACUUAAUAUCCUGGAAGACAGAGAUCCUCACCUCACGUCGGUGCUACGUGCUAUGUGGGCUGAGGAUAAUUGGCCAUGAGCAAUUUAGUUGGAGGUGUCCCUGGGAGUCUUCUUCCUCCAAACUGACGAAGUUGACAAGAACAUCGAGUACCU
This 98344-nucleotide long non-coding RNA is filed under the name Triticum aestivum (bread wheat). Its description in RNAcentral is "long non-coding RNA (TAES_LNC014065)". The record is from RNAcentral. Lineage: Eukaryota; Viridiplantae; Streptophyta; Magnoliopsida; Poales; Poaceae.